This 99538-nucleotide long non-coding RNA is filed under the name Ananas comosus (pineapple). RNAcentral describes it as "long non-coding RNA (ACOM_LNC027775)". The record is from RNAcentral. Lineage: Eukaryota; Viridiplantae; Streptophyta; Magnoliopsida; Poales; Bromeliaceae.
AUACCAUGUUUGCUCAUCCAAAAAACAUAGCUUAAAAAUGCCAUAGCUUAAAACUGCCAAUACCAUAUUUGGAACACUUUUGAGUAAGUAUUCCAUUUAUGCUAAAACUUAAAAACACAUCUACUAAUGCCUAAAUAUAAAGCCUAAUCCAACCAAAAAUAAAAGAUUACUUUACUCAACCCACCACAUCCAGUCCAUUUGGCCCAAUUACAAACAGAAAAGAAAAAAAAAAAAAAAAGAAAAAUCAAUUACUAUCUUUUCUUCUCUCUUCACUCAAUCCACUGAAAUUUUAGACGAAGAGCUUUUACUAUCGUCCUCCUCCGCCACCGCAGCCAACGAGAUAGAGUUUCGGCGGUUACUAAAUGCUUAAAUAAGUGUUGGUAAAUUAGCAGCACUCUUUUAGGUUAUAGUGACACUCUUUAACUGUCACUAUAUACCUAGCGACCCUACAUAUAGCAACACUUUUUAAAAGUGUCGGUAAUUUUAGCUAGCAGCACUUUUUUGACAUUUACCUAUAUUUAAAAGUGUCGCAAUAGACCGUUUUUUUUGUAGUGACUAGGCUAGCUUUUUACAUAUCUUUUUACUUAUAUAUAUAUACCCCUAAGGAAACAUCUAUUUGCAUAAACUACCCUUGUAAUAUCAGGAUUUUUAUGUAGGCUAAAGUACAGAAAGCUCUUAUAUAAAUAAAUACUUAUUUUUGAAUUGAGCUCGUAUGCUUUUGAAAGUAUCAAGUCAUCGAUGCUUAUAGGUUUUCGGCUCUUGGAUUAAGAGAUGUGCGGUUAGAAUGAUAGUGGUCUUUUAGCGUUCAGUGAGUGGUUGGUUGAAUAGUAUAAUCUAACAGGUGAAAAUGGUCAAAGGAGUAGAUCGAACAGCGAAAAAUUUACAAGCACCAAAUACUUUGUGCUUAUAAAAGCACCAUAGCCGGACUCCUUAUUUUUUCACUUUCCCCUUCAGUCUUUUAAAAACCUAUAUUUGGCCAUUUUAAAAUUUUAAAAAUAUUUUUAGAGUAUAACAGCAUUAAUUGACAAGGGUAAAAUGACCAAAACGCUAGCUCUUAUUUAUUCUGGAGGAAAAAAAUAAUUUUUUAACAUAUUUCUUCCAUUUAUAGGGUAUUUUCAGUAUAUUUAAUUAUAAAUUAUUAAAAACUAGCAGAACAAUGACAAAAUCGUGAUGGAGUGGGGCUAAGUGCACAUCACCUUACAAUUUUGAAAGGGCAAAAUAUAGGUUUUCAAAAGUCCGAGAGAGAGUGAAAAAGUAAGUUAUUUACUGGGAGAUUGUAUGUAUUUUAGCUUUUUAUGUAUGUCCUGACAUUGUAGUUUCUUACAAACGCACCCAUAUCCAAUGACAGGAAAUCAUUUAUUAGAUACUAAGAGGUUCUAUAUAUGAAGGUAAAAUUGCAUAUGACUUGUUUAAACUAUAGAUUAUUUUGAGUCAGUAAUCCAACUUUUAAAAUUUUUUUUAGACUAAAUUACAUAAAAUCUCCCUGUCAAAAUUCGAUUUUUCACUUUUCCUCCUGUCAUUUAAAAACCUACACUGUACCCCCUUGUAAAAUAAAAAAUGUUUACAGGAGGGUACGGUGUGUACUGUAAUGAUAAAAUAAUCAUUUUGCCUCUCACCAUUUUCGUCUUCUCCCUCAUCUUCCUCAACAGCAGCCUCUAUCGACCAUGGUUCACGCUUUGAUCGGCCGCGGUUUCUCCACGGAUCACGCCUCAUCUUCCUCCUAUACCCUCGCCGCCCCUCAAUUUCGGCGACAGUAGGUUGGAAAUCGAGAUGGGGGUGGGUGGAGAGGUGGGUAACGACAACGAGGGCGAAGGCGAGGUGGCGGAGGAGGGCAAAGGGGUGUUUGUGGGAGCAGACAGGAAUGUGGGCGAGGGCGAGGCAGUAGAGGAGGGCGAGACGACGAGGCGACGAGGCGGAGGAAGGCGAAGCAACAGGGAAGAGGGCGGAGGGGUAUUUUGGGCAUAAACAAUUAUUUUAAAACGGAACCCUAAUAGAUCACUAACGGUAGGGGGCGAAGUGCACAUUUUUCAUUUUACAAGGGGGUAAAAUGUAGGUUUUUAAAUGACAGGAGGGGAAAGUGAAAAAUGGCGUUUUUACAUGGAGGUUUUCUGUAAUUUAGCCUUUUUUUAUUUUACUAUCCAACUUUUCUAUUCGUUUCAUUUGAGUCAAGUAACAAUAAUUUGACUUCAAAAUUUAAGGUAAUUACUUUCUUAAUACAUUUAUAGUUGGGAGAAGUUUAUAGGGUAUACUAGUUAGACUUGUAAAGAUAAACAACGCAUUCAAAUUUUCAAGUCAAAGUUCCGUUGGCUGGCUGAAAUCAUAUAAAUUGAAAGGUUUGAUAGCAAAAUUAAAAUUUUGAAAAGUUGGAGAGUCGACUCAAAAUAAUCCACAAUAAAGAUAAGUUCCAUUAGUUUUAAAUGUAAGUAUAUAUUUAAAUAGAUAAUUUCGUAGGGAUGUAUGUGUAAUAUAUGUUAAAAUAACGUGAAACGACCAUUAUUCUUCGAAAAUGUAGUAAGACUCAAACUCAUGACCUUCUACUCUGAUAUCGCUUUAAAUAAUGUGAAAUGAUUGUUACUCUCUGAAAACUUUAACUACGAGAGAAUGGUUCUUGUUUCUGUACGCUUAUAUUGGAAAAGAAAAAAAAAUGCCCCCUACAGUUUAAUAUUUUCUCACUUUACUAUUCUAUAGUUUUGUUUUUCUCUUUCUAUUACCAUCAUCAUUAACUUUUUCGUUAAACCAGUAGUGAAGUUAAAACUACAUAAUAUUAAAAUAAAAAAAUUGGUAAACCAUAGGGGAGUAUUUUGAAAUUUUUUCCACAUGCUUUAAUGGAGAAGUUAAUAGAGGAGCUGACAUAAAGGGAAGGAAAAGUUAACACAUAUAGUACUAAUGUGAUACAUUUUAAAAUACAUGUUACUAAAGUAAGAAACCGUUAAACCACAUGGGUUAUUUGAUGUUUUUCUUUUUACAUUCAACAUGUAAUAUUGUUGCAAAGAUAGUGAAGAUUUAGAAACUUGAGAGAGACUAAUUAUAUAAAACUUCAGUGGGGAGAUGAUCCACUCUCAUGUGUUAGUUCGCUUUCUAUUCAAUAGUUCAUUGAGUAUCUUUUAAUACUAAAAAUUUAUAAAAAAAAAAUUUAAAACCCUAGAGAGAAGGAUUAUAAUUCUUGGAUAGAGAUUAGGAUUAUAACCCUUGGAUAGAGAUAAAAGUGACACGUGGCGACAGAUUGGGGCUCGUUAACGAGACGUCAUUGGGGGAGCUUCCUGCUCAAGUUUUCCCUUUUAUAUUAAUUCAACAUGUAUAAGUAUGUCGCGGAGAUGGUGCAGAUUUAGAACGAGGGAGAGACUAAUGGAUAGAACUUCAGUGGGGAGCGUUCCAACAAUGCAUUGCUGGGGAGCCAUCGAUUCGCUCUCAUGUGUUAGUUCUAUCCCUAUCUAGUAAUUCGUUGGGUAUCUUAUAAUACUAAAUUCAUAAAAAAAAAUUUAAACCCUAGAGAGAAUGAUUGUAACUCUUGGAUAGAGAUAAAAGUGACACAUGGCGACGAAUUAGGGCUCUUUAACAAGAUGUUGUUUGGAAGCUCCCCACUGAAGUUUUUUUUCGAAACUAACCUUGUGGGUGGAUCUGAUGCUCCGCGGCCUCCGAUCGGACGGCCACGAUCAUCACGAAGAGCAGCAUCAGCAAGAUCCAAGUGAUAGGAUGAGGACUCUUCCCCUUCAUUUUGUCUCUCCUCUUUCUCUUAAUUUCUCACUUGCACUACAAUGAAGGAAAAAUGAGCAAAUGAAAACCUUCUACAUUGGAAACUAUUUAUAAGAAUACUUGGAAUCUUUAUAGGUAUCUCCAUGGGUUAAAUAUGCUACUACUUUUGCCAAAAUUUUUUUACUUUGGCCACCUUCUUUUUAGGUAAAUCGUACAAGGAACUUACCUGAAUGAUGAAUCAUUUUCAGUUAACUAUCCAGUUAUUUAAAAUUUUGAUUCUACUAUCCACUAUUUUAAUUUAUUUAAUCUGAAUCAGUCAACGGUAGUUUGACUUACAAAAUAUGAUUGCAUCGUUUAUCUUCACAUUUUAGUUAGUAUACUUCGUGCAAUUUUCGCGAUUAUAAAUUCAUUAAAGUAAUAAUUAGUUUAAAUUUUAAGCUCAAAGUAUCGUCAACUGACUCAAAUCAAAUAAAUUAAAAUAGAAAAAUUAAAAUUUUAAAAAAUUGAAUAGCCAAUUCAAAAUUGUCCAUAAGUUCGGUACGUUUUCACUUUUUCAAAAAAAAUAAAAUUUACACCUCCUGAGCUAUUAAUAAUAUGUCGAAUUGGUCCACUCCAUUAUUAGUGGUUAAGUUCACCAACAGAAUGAUAAUGUUUAAACAUUUAAUCAAUGCAUUUUUCUUGCAAGAAACUUGGCAUAAGUUCUUUUCCACAUGAAAAGAAUAUCGUACUAUAAAUUUAAGCUAUAUUUUGAAAUGUUCAACUAGAUGUUUUUAUUACACGGUACGUUUCAGCUCGUGAGCCUCUCGCACUUUUUCAUAUUAUCCGAUGUGGUAUUAUUACAGUGUCACAUAUAUAUACUUCUUUCACAUUAUCCGAUAUGACCCUACUAGCUAGGGUGUCACAUAUAUAUGCUCCUUUCGUUUUAGAUCUUGACAUUCUCGUGAAUCCAAUCGCACAACCAUCGAAUGAUGUGAGACUUACCACACCUUUUUGGUUGGUGAAGCACCCCGAUACUAACCGUAGUGAAUGAGCCCACUAACAUCAAUAACUUAUUGGGCCCAAACUACUAAUAAAAAAUACUUAAAUCCAAGUUACUAGUUCUAGCAAAUCCAUCACAUAUAAAUCCCUCAUAUUUUUUCACAUUAUUCCAUGUUGGACUAUUUUGGAGUAUCACAAAAUGGGCCAAUAGUCUUGUUUUUUUUAUCAUAAAAAUCUUACGUGAUAGAACUUAAAAGCUUUUGUGGAGUCUUAUAAUUCUUUAAAAUGUGGGAUUAUACAUCUCAUUUUUAGUUUUCUACUCUCUCUCUCUCUCUCUCUCUCUCUCUCUCUCUCUCUCUCUCUAAACCCAUGCAUGUGACUUUUGAAGAGAGGAUUCUGGCUAAACUUCCAAAACCUCAUGGUUUUUUGGAUAUCUAUGAAUUAAUGUUUUCCGGGAAGGGCAUAUAUAACUGGGAGAUGAGGUCAAAGAAUAUGUAUCAUAAGAAUAGGCCAAAGAAUAUUAUAUCUAGCAGUGCUCAUCAAAGAAUUGGAAUUUAUGCAAAUUAGUCCAUGAAGACCCCCAAAUUAGGAUGUGAUACCUAAGAUCUCAUAGCUCAGUGGUCCAUUUUAUAAAACAAUAGGAGAAAAUUAACUAUAUUAGGAGUUUGGAAUGACGCGAACUUAGAACCUUCUGCUCUAAUACCAUAAUAAAUUAUAUGAAACAACUGUUGUUCUCUAAUAAUUUAAGCUGAUACAGAAUGAUGUUUUUAUAUUUAAGUCUCCCCCUCACGUCUGAGCUCAAAACUGUUUUAUAAACCCAUGAUGUAGACUUGAAUUGUAAGGACUGAGAUUUUUGACAGUGCGACUAAACUCUCUGUUGAUGAUGUUUAUGUGUGUAAUUUAAUUACAUAGGCACUCGUCAAGUUUCAGGAGAAACUGAGCUAAAAUGGAGAAGAUACGCGAUUUUCAGUUUUCACUUAAGUGAAUAGUAACUCCGGUUUUCCGGGGAAGNACUCUCUGUUGAUGAUGUUUAUGUGUGUAAUUUAAUUACAUAAGCACUCGUCAAGUUUCAGGAGAAACUGAGCUAAAAUGGAGAAGAUACGCGAUUUUCAGUUUUCACUUAAGUGAAUAGUAACUCCGGUUUUCCGGGGAAGCCACGGAGUAGAGUCGGCUUCUGGUGUGUAUCGGACUCCGUUCAUAUCAGUCCAAUAGCUCGUUUCGACCGGUUCAGCUGUUCUGGAACUUGUGGCGCUGAUGGAUUUUGAGUUUGAGGCACGGAUUUCGAGAAAAUCCAAAAAUACAUGUUUUAUAUGUAUUUGUGCGUGAGUGUUUCCUUCUAUUGGAAGAAGGUUGGAUUUUGUCGUGAAUCCGUGGUCGAUCGAGAUGAAUCGAAGGUGUAGCUUUGUUGUCUCCGAGGUGCUGAUCGCACUGGUGCAAUCCGUUCGCAAAUCUGACGGACGGAUCUGCGGAGAUCGCGCGUUGAUCGAGGAGAGGUCGGUGUUGGCAAAACGGUAAUUUCGCAAAAGUCGCGACAUUUUAUGUACCGUUACGCGUGAAAUCGCACGUGGAGGGGUAUUCGCGCGUUUUACUUGUGCUGUGAGGGACUAGGAUCAAAUUGUUGAGUCUUGGUGGACUUUUUCGCAAGUUUCUCCUUGGUAUAGAUUCAUUCUAGGGUUUUCUUGGAACCCUAACCCGUCUAGCCACUUCCAGCUAACCCUAGCCGCCCCCUUGCUUUCCUUGCCCUAGCCGCUCGCCUUCCGGUCGCUGCCGACCAAGUCCGGCCGGCCGCCGCCGCUGCAGCACCACAUUCCUCCCUCUCCAUCUCUCUCCAUCUUCUUUUUCUUCCGGGUUGGAGCUCGGGCCGAGGUUAUGUUGUCUCUUGGCACCUUGUCGACGUAGCCCCGACCCCUCGGCGUCCCUCUCCGCCGAUCGCCGCCGCCCUGAGCCGCCCGGAGCGCCGCCGCUGCCGCUCCAGCCGCUGCUGCAUCCUGCAGCUUCCCAGCCCGAGCCCAGGCCGGGUCUAACCCGCGGCCUCCCCGCGCGCAGCCACCGCAUGAGCCUGCUCCCGCCGCCGUCCUCGGAGUCUCGGCGGCCCUCCCCGCAGGUCGCCGGCGCCCCUGCGGGCCGCCACCGCCGCCUCGGCCGGCAGCAGUCGCCCCAGCCCGAGCUGAGGUCUCUGUGCGCCCUCUCCUCCGCGCCGCAGCCACCUGGGGUAGCUUCCGCGGCCGUCUCCUGUGUUCCCCCCGACCUUCCCGGCCGGUCGCCGCCGCCCUUCGGGCCGUCGCCGCCGCCCUGAACCCUGGGCGCCGCCGCCCAGGUCUGCAACCGAGCCUAGCUCGAGUGGCAGCGCUCGAGUCGUGGGCUGCCGCUGCUGCCGCCCGCCGCCUCCCUUCUCCUCCUCCGGCAUCUGGGGACCCGCCGCUGUCGUCCCCGACCUGUCCCGGCCAUCGCCGUCGCUGGGAGGAGCCGCUGGACCGUGCCCUAGCUUGUGCGGGCUCCGCUCGUUCCGCCGUCGCCGCCGCCACUCUCCGCCGCCAACCGAGGUGAGCAUCGUAUUCCUCACCUCCCCCGCACCCAUCUCUGGCCUGCGCGAACCUCGGCGUGCCGCCGGAAGCCGGCCGGAGCAAGCUUGCUCCGGCCAAGCCCAAAAUAGGGCUGUUUGUGGGUUGUUUGUUGUUCUGAGCGACCCGAGCCUCCCCGAUCCCUACGGAAGGGAGCACGGUGAUCGUGGCAAAUUGCCGAUCAUCGUGCUCACCUUAGAUUCUGUUGGGGAGACUCCGUUCUGCUGUUUUCGUUGUGUCGACCCCGUGGAGCCUGUUUGGCUGCUGUUUUGGGUUUGCGCGCGCUUAUCCGGCGAUCCGAGGCUGUCCUGAUGCCUCCGGAGGUGAGCACGGUGAUCGUUGGUCUGUGCCGAUCACAUCGCUCACCUCACUUUGGAUCAACAGUGUCGGGUCAGCCCUGUUUGGCGCGAUCUUCCCUGACUGCGCGCUGUUUGCAGAACUUCGGGUUGCUCCCGCACUUCCCACAGUGACCUGUUGCGCUCCAGACCGUGAGCACGGCCUCCGGCACGUCGAGACCUGUCAGUACGUGUCUCGGCGGAACUUCGAGGUCAUCAGUUUGUGAGAACGAGUCAUAGGAGCCGCCCGAUUUACAUAAAAUGAUGGAUUUUAUAUAAACAUAGGGGCUUUUGUGCAAUUGUACUCCUUGUGGCUACUGUGGGCAGCGUGUAAGAGUGUGUUUGACCUCUGGACUGAUUGUCCAUGAUCCUGUAGCUUUCGUGGAAAUCGAAAGAUCGAUUUCGGUGCGUUUUUCGGCAAAAUUCGUCGAAAGAACGCGAUUUCGGUUCGGAUUCUUCUCGACGGUGUUUGUUUGCUCUGUGUUUUGUCGCUGAGCCUUGUUGGCUGGUCACCAUCAUUAUUUUGUAGGUUCGAGGAUGAUAGGUGAGCGACGGAGGGUUCCGGUGUCGAAAUAGACACUUUCGGGAACCCGGAUUUGUACAAUUAUCCGGCGAUAAUUGUGUAGGGGUGUUACCUUGUGUUUGCUGCCAAAACACCCAAAUUGGAGUGUUUUUGGGCAGCAGGUGACUUGUGACACGAGUCGGUGAGUUUCGGGACACUUAGUGGGUCCCGACGGCGUCACGGUGUGGUUUUCGGGACUUCCGGCGAGUUACGGUAAUCGGUAUUGGGAAACCUAUCUUCGUGGGAUUGUUUGUGGUUAUGCUUUUAGGGUUUCUUAGUUGUGGGUUAGACACUAACCCAGUUGACCCUCCUUAGGUCCAGUUGACGUUCUUUUGCAGUCAGGAGACAGACGCGACAGUCGUGCAGGUGGGUACUUCGAUCCGAAGUCGGUACAGUGGUGCACGCUCGGUGAUAUCUCUUCUAUCCCUGUUCUUCUAUUGCUAUUUUCGUAUUAUAUAUUGAGCUUGCAUCCCCGUUGUUUCUAUCAUACUCUACUCAUAUGUUCUAUGCUUAGUAUCAUGUGUAGGAGUAGAGUAGUUUAUCCCUAUGUGAUACUGGUAAUCUGAUUGGUCGGUUCUCGUACUUCGUUCGGUGACUUGAUUGGUCGGUUCUCGUACUUCGUUUCGGUGACCUAGUUGAUCGGUGCUUUUAUCUUAUAUCUGUUGACCUGGUUGGUCGUGUUGCACUAUGUAUUGGGUUGGUCUAUUUCUUGACUUCUGUCGUUCGAUGACUUUGAGGUCGGUGGUACCCUGAGGUAGGAUUGUCGGCUGGUGCUGACGGUAGUUCUGGACUAUAUCGAAUACACUCCUGUGACAUAUCGGUCGGUUCUUACGUUCGUACUUUUAGUUGACAUCGAGCAGUAUCUAUAUACUAUCUUUAUUUACCUGCCUAGUUGUUCUAUGUGUAGUAUCCUGUAUAGGGUAGAGUAGAUGGCAUUCGUAUAUCACAUACUUGUGACCUGGUUGGUCGGUUCUCCUUUUUGCAUCGGUGACCUGUUUGGUCGUUUCGUUACUUUCCGUACAUUGACCUAUCUCGGUCGUUCACGUUGUUGCUUGAUGACCUACACGGUCGGUAUGCCCAGAGGGGAGUGAUUGUCGGCUGAUUGCCGACGGUUGGCUAUUGAUCAUAUCCGCAUUGAUCGCCACAGCUCGAGUGCUUUCACGUACACCAGCGGUGAUCCCCCGCGAGGGUGUUUUCUUUCCGGAAAAGUGGUCGUACAUCCGACCCGUGAGCCCAGCGGUGUUCUCUUUGUGCUAGGUGUACAUGCCAGGUGUGAGCAGAUAGUGGCUUUUGCCUGAGCGUCCUUAGACCGACACGAGGUUAGAUUGGGUACUUUUGGACUUCUUGUCCGGUUGACGGCAUAUAGCUAUAGUAGCGGUUGUUGCAUAUGUACUUCUAGUUCUUUCUUUACAGUUGUCUUGCUACUAUAGUAUUGAUAUCCUUUGUAUGCUUGCAGUUGUACAUUAUAGUACGGUAGUUGUGUUUUUAUAUAUAUAUAAUCAUUCGUUCAUAUCGUUGCUACAGUAUAUUUUACUUACCGCAUACUGUUGGUUAUCUCUCCUGAUCCCGGUGAUACUCCUCGCCUUCUUCGGCUUGUGGUACCCACUAGGAGGGGAGACAUGUUUACAUGUUCUCACCUCCCCCACAAUUUUCAGGUAUCGUGGGCGAUGAGUAGUGGGACGAGACGUGAGGUACGCGUGUAGCGGUCGAUAGAGCUUUCGACCCGGGUUAAUUCGGUUUACUUUCUUACCCUUCUUAUUUUGGCUGAUGAAUAGUUUAGUUGAUUUAUGUGGUUCAGUGUUUAUUUACAUUUGAAAAUGUGGAUUUCUGGAUUUUGUAAAAUAAAAGGUUUUCUACCCCUCGUGGUAGCGUUUUUUUUAACGAAUAAAGGUUUCCGUAUAGGGAACAGUUUUCAAAAGAAUUUUCGUGAAUUUCUAUUUAAACACUGAAUGUAAAACUGUGAUGUGAAUGGUGAAUGUAUGAAUGUAUAGUUAUCUUUAUAUUCAUUUGGUUGUGGUUGUUUCCUGGCUAUACUCUUGUACUUGUGCGACGCCGUGCAAAUACAGGGGAGACUCUAUCCGUGUGAACAGUGGAUUCCCUGUAUUUGUGGCGGAUCUGGCAUACCCAGGGGUCAGGUUUGCAAAAAAAAAAAAAAAUUUUUUCCGCUGUGUUUUUAACCUAAAGGGACCCCGGGGCGUGACAUGAAUUAAAUAGAAAAAAAUCAAUUUUGCUAAUACGUGACUCAAACCCAUAAUCUCCUACUUUGAUACCACGUUAAAUUUUAUAAAAUAACUAUUAUUCUUUAAAAGAUUAAGCUGGUAGAGAAUGGUCGUACUUUUAUAUUCUUAUAUUUAAGAAUCUACAAUACGCUUUGAGCAUAUCUCCUCAUCACCAUGUGUUUACGACAAAAAUUGAAAAGAUCUAAUGUAUCGAAUGAGAAAAUACUGAAAAAAAUAAAAAAGAAAGAUGGACAAAUAAAGCAUACAAGUAAUUUACGUGGUUUAGCCAAAAGCCUACGUCUAUGAAUGAAAAAUAGGGUGAAGACUAUAUAAUAGAGUCAAAGCAGAGUACAAAAAAUGUCUUUCAUAAAAAAUUCUAGUCCCAAAAUAUAUCUCAUAUUCUCUCUCUCAUUCGCCACAGCAAUUCAUAGAAUACAGGAUAUAUUUACAUUAGUUGCUAAAUUCUAGUAAGACAAAGAAUAAAAUCAAAUAAGAAUAUAUUCUUACUUAACUAAAUCAAUCAACAAACUUAGAAUAAUGGGUUAUAAAAACUUGUGGCCUAAGAAUUUAAGACCUAGACCAUGUAGCAUCAAAUUAAGAUGGUAAAAAUAACUAACUAGAAGAGAAUUUAUUUUAUUGUAUUGGCUAAAGUAUAAAAAAAUUUCGUAUAAAUAUCCACUCUUUUUAUUUUUUUUCUUUGACUUUCAAAAAUCUAUAUUUUUCUACUCAAAAUUUCAGAAAUAUUUUUAGAAAGUUAUUAUAAUAUUAAGGGAAAGAGCAAAAUGAUGAGAAUGCCCUUAACUGUUUGGGAGUAAAAAAAACAUUUAACAUAUAUAUUUCUGCUAUUUUCAGGGGCACAUUCUAUAUAUUAAUUAUAAAAUAUUAGAAAUAGAUGGAACAGGGAUGUAACCUUAAUAAAGGAAAGUUGAAUGUAUCAAAUUGAAAUCUUGAGAAAACAAAAUAUAGAUUUUGAAAGUCAAAGAGGAAAAAUAAAAAGGGAGAUAUUUACAUGAAAGUUUUCUGUAUUUUAACCUAAGUUAUUUUAUUUUAUUUUUUGAUAACUAGUUCCAUAGGCAUGCACAAUCUCUUCUAAACCAUAUAUUAAUUGAAAAAUUAAUGUACAUCUUCUAAGUAUGUAUGCAGAGAAAAGGUAGAAAACUAAGGAUCUGUUUGGUUCCUUGAAAAAUACGUCAGAGAACCUUUUUCAGGCUAAAAAAAAAAAUCGUGUGUUUGAUUUGCAGAAAAAAUAAAUUCACGCACACAGAAGAAUCAUCUCUAUCUCCUAUUCAUCAUCUUCAACAUCUCAGUCACUUUUAUCAAAUUAUAUUAUAUAUGCCAAAAUAUAAUUAAAAUUUAUUUUUAUUUUAUUAUUUAUUAUUUAUAUUGUAAAAAGUUUGUGAGUAUUAUAUUGAUACAUUUUAAAAGGUUCGUAUAUAAUCUCACCCUCUUUUUGUAGAAAAUAAUUAUAUACCAAAAUUUUCAACUAAUCAAACAAGUAAAAUAGAAAUGAAAAACUUUUUUUUCUUACCAACGAAAAAUGCAUACAUGAAAAAUUAUUUUUCUUUUCCAUCGAACCAAAUAACAGAAACUAGAAAAUUUCUUUUCCAGAAAAGACUUUUUUCUUCAUAAAAUAGUUUUCUAUUAUUUUCCAAAAAGCCAAACAGGCCCAAAGCAAAUGGAUAAAUAUCAAUCGCUAACUAGACAUCACGGAUACAGACACGGUCACAGGACACGAUACGACUCAAACGCAGCAACUGAGAAGCUUUCGAAAAAUUAGAAUACGGGCAUGACAUAAAAUAUUAUUAAUAUAAUAGAUAUAAUAAAUAUAUUUUAUUAUAUAUAAAAGUAUUAUUUUUGCUAAAAUGUUAUUAUAUUUCUCAGAAGAAUAAAAAUUAAUAAAAUUGAACUUAUUGAUAGUUCAUAUAUUUUAAGAAAAAAAAUUCUCCACAUAUAUAAUUUAUUUAUAUUAUCCAAAAAAAUUUAUAUGUAUUAUAUCAUCUUAAAUUAUAUAUGCAUAAAUAAUAAUAAAAAAAAAGAACAUUGAACAUAGUAUCCAAUCCUAGAUAUUUAGUUAUGCUCCUCGACUACCAAGCGUACAAGUUUUCUGAAUAAAUUAAAAAAAUAUACGGAAUAAAAUAUUCAUAAAUUCAAGCGUGAUCAAAAAAAAAAAAAAAAAAAAAAAAAAAAAUGAAACACUAAUUUUUAUUUAGAAAAAACUUCAGAUAUUGUUCCUGUGGUUUAUAGCUUUUCAGUUUAGUAUCAUGUCAUGUCAUGUGGUUUUAACUAUAUUACUUAAGUAUUCUAUAUAUGAUUCGGUAAUUAUCUUCCCAAUUAAAACUUCAAACAGCCGCAAUCAUUUUUUCACUUUACUAUUCUCUAGAUCAUAAAAUAUAUUGUUUACAAAUUUUAACACUUUAAUAUCCUACCUAACGGCGAGUUCACAUGGUGAAAGAACAAUAAAAUGAAUCAUAUGGUAGUAAAGUGAAACGUUUCAAACCACACAGUGCUGCACCACGAGGGGCUUUGUAACGACCCAAUCCACUAGCAAUAAUAAUUUGUUGGGCCAAACCACAGGCCCAAAAUGUUUAAGCCCAGUUAUUAUUACUAGCGUGUAGGUCUCAUAUAAACCGAUCGGAAUCAGCCCUGUUUAGACCCUGACGUCCUCGUCGGGUUCAAACCAGAUCACAGACAAACAAAUCAGGACCAUUACUAGGUGAUGUGAGAUUCUAGAGGUGGCUCCUACGGGUUCAAGAGGUGGCUCCCACCAAACCCGUUGGUGUAGCACUUUGUCCCGCAUAGCACUUAGUUCUCACACUUUCGGCUGAUAUUCGGUUCUGAUACCAAUUGUAACGACCCAACCCACUAGCAAUAAUAACUCAUUGGGCCAAACCACAGGCCCAAAAUGCUUAAGCCCAGUUAUUAUAACUAGCGUGUAGGUCUCAUAUAAACUGAUCGGAAUCAGUAUCCCAUCCGAUGUGAGACUAUUGGGUGCGUUACAGGCUUAGUUGUAAUUAUUAGAUUUUCAAGCUUAAUGGCAACUUUGAUCAUAAACAUCAUUAAAAAGAAGGCAAAUACGUUUUAAACAUGCUUCAAGUUGACAAAUUACAAAAAAUUUGUAGAAAAAUAUUACAUGCAUUAUUUCAAAUAAUGUCAUAAUUUAUUGGUUGAGUGAUUGGCUGUCAUAUAUUGGUUUUGUCACUCCCCUCUAUGAUCAAUUUUAAAAAAAAAAAUUUAUGGGUUUUAAUAUAUAAAAAGACUAAGAAACUUUUGGAUAUAGUCAAACUUACACGUGUCCACGGAUCGGAGGCUCUCUAAAGAAGCAUCAUUGGAGAGCUUUCCAUUGAAGUUCUAUGACUCUAUCCAAGCUUUAAGCGUAAAACUCGAUAUGCGCAUCCUAAACGGAGGGCUCUACGAUAAGGAUGUCAAUUGGUACAGAUAUCCGAGAAUUUAUCCGAAUCCGAAUUUUAAACAUAGCGGGUUUAACCGAUGCUGAACUAGUAUGAUUUUUCUUACACAGUUUACAAAAAAUCAAAGCUCGACAGACUCAGGUUCAAGUACGGAAAACCAUACCCGACCCGGACCCGAACCCAAAAUCAAAUUCGAACAAAAUCCGAACCGCUUUUACAUUAAAUUAUAUAUUUUAAAAUUUGGUAAAGUGAAAUGAUUGCUUUCUAAUUCGGAUUUUCGGGUUCGAUUUCGAGCUUGUAUUUUCUUGCCAAGUUCGGUUUUGAUUAUGAAUUUUCAGAAUCCGACAACUUCAAAUUCAAAUUCGAAUUUCAACGCCGGUAAUCGAGUUAAACACGUUCAUGUUCUUAAAAACCCAUCCCAAAUCCAACCCGUUGACAUACCUAUCACAGUACUAUACUAGUUAAUAUGUAGUACCCCUAUUGCACCUAUAUCCUAAUAUUUUCACCAAAUAGUAAAAGAUUAUUAACUCCAAUUGAGUUAAGGGCGUGUUUGGUAAAACCGAACUACACUCGACCGAAGCCACGAGUUCCGUCCGUAGGCGGAGCUCGACUUCGCUCUCGUCGCAGGCAAAGUCGCCAGUUUGCAACGUACGUGAACUCGCAACUCUGUGAGACGGCGUAGGCCCCACGGAAGUCGAGUUUUGCGAUUCUGUCCAAAUGUCGGCAAACUUUGGUUACGGGAACUCAGACACUUCAACCCCGAGUUCGAUCAAAACAGACACGCCCGUAAUCGUCGAAUGUGACUCCAAAUCUAGAGCAACUGAGUUUUCGUGCCGAAUCAGCUCGAAAUCGCGAAACCCGACCGAGUCGAGGAAACUGAGUCCAAGUUUCGAGUCGACUUGCCGAGUUUUAGUACACUUUUUAAGACCCUAGAGUAUCAAUCUCACCAUUCAGAGUGUCAAAGAAAACAAAAAAUGAUGCAUAAGGAUUCAACUCAACUUAACUACCAUAAGUAAAAGGUUCAAAUGUAUAGACACACCCUAAACUUUAACCGGUUUUGAAAUGAACCCCGUGAACUUCUUUUUAUUCGACUUACACCCCCCACCCCCUACUUACUAACCGUUUGAUUUAGCUCCUUCCACAAGUAAUUUUGAAAAUUUUAAAAACUUUUCAGAAUCAAACGGCCACGAGAGAUGCAUUUGACCUUCUUUUUGAGUAAAAUAAUUGUCAAUCAUGUGCAUCACUUAAUAAUGGAAGUAUCUAAAUCAAACGACCAGGAAGUAGAGGGGGGUGUAAAUCAAAUAAAAGAAAGUUCAGGGGUCAAUUUCAAAACAGGUUAAAGUUUAGGGGAUGUUGUGACAACCCUAUAGGUCCCACAUCUGAUGGAAAUAAAAUUGUCAUUGGAUAUAUAAGAAAACUCCACCCUAAUAAUAAUAGCUAAAUGCAAGCAUUUUGGGCAAGCAGUUUGGACCCAACGAGUUAUUAUUCCUAGUGGACCAGAUCGUCACUGGUCUCUUUUUGUGCUACAAGUAAUACAGAGACCUGAACACAAGCAUAUAUACAAUAUCUACAAUAUCAGAUGUCUCGCAAAUUCACCGACGACGAAAUUGAGAUUUCUCGGAACAUAUUUGAUCUCCGUACGCGACUCGAUCGAUCAGUAGAGCCUAAUCUUUGCGGUUAUAUUGCUUUGGCAUAUCGGGCAGCGCUGCAAAUCUCUUCCGCACUCGUAGCAGGUCUGAAGCCGAAGAGAAAAAGUAUUUAUCAGGCAUAUAAUCUGAUGAUGAUCAAAAUAGUACAGAAAGAAAGAAAGAAAAAGAAUUUAAACACAUUUCGCGCGCGCACCUGAUGUCCGCAGCCGAACGCGAAAUCCUUCGAUUUCCACAAGCAAAUGGGGCACAACUGCAUGUAGAAAAUACACGUAAAACUUUAAGAACUUGUAAGCAUUUCGUUGGACUAGUCGAGGUAAGGACAGCCUAAGCAGAUCUGAAAUAACCAAAUAACCGGACUCAAAAUAGAAAAAAUACAAAACCUUCAAAAAUAACCUAAAAAAUGCAACAAAUGAAGAUCUAAAUAGUUGAAUUCGGAUCCCAAACUAGGCCGAAACAGCUUUGCGGUUCGACGCAUAGAUCUUGAGAAGUGUUUUUCGAGGCAUUGCACACUGGAAACAGACAUCCAAACAAAAAGUUAUGAUCGUUUAAAGAUUUUCCGCACCAAUUGUAAAAUUUGCCAAACUGAACGAGAUUUUUGGCCUUGCUUGGUGGAGUCAUGCUUUUUCAGGAACUCUAAUGCUAAAUUGGACGCAUCACGAAGGCUAAUGCAUCACAUUUUGGUGAUCAAAAUUAUUGUAAAGGUAAUUGUUGCAGAUCGAGCUGCCUUAAUUCUGUUACGAAAAGCAAUGAAACUAGAUCUUGAUGCUCCGAUCGGGUAACACGAUAGAUUUUGGUAAGGGCAAAAUAGUCAUUAUAGUAGAGUGGGAAAACUUCAAAUUGCCCUCCUAUGAUUUAGCAUAUUUUCAUUUCGGUACUCUGUAGUUUGAAGUGUUUCACUCGCUACCCUAUGGUUUUACUUUUGUCUCACCCUUAAAGACCUGCCAUUAAGCAACAUACUAAGUCGAUAUAUUUUACAAACCACAGGUCGGCUAUAUGAAAAUAUAGAUAAGCAAAAUGCUACAAUUCGUCGCCCUGUGGCUUGUAAAAUAUAUUAAUUUACUUCUCUGGUUUAUAAAUUUUAUCUCUUAAGUACCCUACUUACCGGCAGAUCUUAAUGGCGAGAUAAAAUUAAAACCACAUGAUAGCAGAGUAAUAUUUUUCAAACCACAGGGUACCAAACUGAAAAUGCGCUAAAUCACUUAGGGGGCAAACUGAAGUUUUCCCUAGUAGAAUAUAGUGGAAUUUGACUAGAUCAGGGGUAUACUUGUGUGUUUUAUAUAUAUAUAUAUAUAUAUAUAUAUAGAGAGAGAGAGAGAGAGAGAGAGAGAGAGAGAGAGAGUCCGGCUGGGAUACUAUCGAUAGCACGAAGCAUUUGGUGCUAUCAAGGUUUUCUGCCGUUAGAUUUAUCUCUUUUAUCACUUUCAUCCGUUAGAUUAUACUAUUCAACCAACCACCCACUUCAACCCUAGGGAGCUCAUAUCAUCAUAAAUCGCACAUCUUUUAAUCUAGGGCAGAAAACUUAAUAGCACCAAGUCAUUGGUGCUAUUAAUAGUAUCCAGCCUAGUUCUAUAUAAUAUAUAUAUAAAUAUAGAGAGAGAGAAGAGAGAGAGAGAAGAGUUGGACUGGGCUACUAUUAGUAGCAAAAUUCCAUUGUUGCUACCAGUUUUUUAGCCUUUGGAUCAACUCUUUUCAUCAUUUCUAACCAUUGGAUUAAAUACUAUAACCCAGUAGGACCACUCAACCCUAGGGGGACCACUCAACUCUAACUGACUAAUAUCCCUAACCCUAUAAUUUUUCAUCCAAGGAUUAAAAACUUGAUAGCAAAAAGAGAGUUUUACUAUUAAUAGUAUUCCAGUCUAAUUCUAUAUAUAUAUAUAUAUAUAUAUAUAUAUAUAUAUAUAUAUAUAUAUAUAUAUAUAUAUAUAUAUAAUUUUGGGGGCUAUACAAACAAGAAAAAUGCUUCUUGUACAUCCGAAAAGAGGGUCUAGAUCUUUACAACAACAUUCUAGGGUUGAUAAAAAUCCAAAUGGGUUUAGUAAAAAAAAAAAAAAAAUUAAUGUAACGCCAAGUAGAUAAUUAAUGGUCCACUGGAUGGAGUGGGUGUAAGAUAUACACCCCACAUUGAGGUGUACAAGUAGUAUUGCUCUACAAACAAUUACUCCUAGAAAGGAAUCUUCUUUACAUAUAUACCCCUGCAAAUAUGAAAAUUAUGCAAAUAUCACUAAAAUGUUGGCAUUGAAACAAGAAAGAAAAGGAAACAAACAAAAAAAAAAAAACUUAUGUAACCCUAGCAGGGUAUGUGCGCAAAUAAACUGUUACCAGAAAAAUCGAUCGGGCACGAAAAAUUCUCAAUAUUAGUACAAUUUACAUAUUUGUAGUGGCGUAUGCAGAAAAGUGUUGGCUAUUUAUUAUUGGCUAAAAUUGGCCCAAAUUUCUGUCUUGUGACAAUAGGCCCAGACGACCAAUAAGUUGAGUUAGGUUGAGUCUAAUAAGUUGAGUGGGGUUGCUGUCUACAAUAGACCUAACGGCAAGAGAUUCAAUAAUAGACCUAACAUUCAGGUAGAUUGUAUCAGGUUGAAACCCGUGAAGUACUGUGGUUGAACCCUUGAGUGUGAUGGGUGCACCCUUCCUAUCAGCAUGUAUUUUUUGAGAUUGUUGAUUAGUGCUUAUGAUCGACAAAAAGGACCAAAGAAAAUGGAUGAAUAAAUACCAUCUUUUCUUCAAGAGAAUUUUCCGAUGCGAAAGAGGCAGUAGCUCUUCUAUUUGCUGCAGGAGUUUGCUCGAAGCUGCUCGAUCGCGAAUAACUCUUCAUACUUGGCGGCGGGAGACAAUGCCUCUCUGGUUCUCCACGUCUUCGACUAAAAUGAAGUUAAAAAACAGAAAAAACAAAAAAAGAAAAGAAAAAAAAAGAGUUUAAUAUUAUUUUGCGCGUAGUUAAAUUAUAAUUUUCAAAUGAAGUCCUUGAACAGUGGUUAAAAAAAAAAAAAAAAAGAUUUUUAAGUACCCUAGAAGAUUCAGGUCAAUUGUGGCUUUGUACUGUGAAGGAAUUUCCAUCAAUGCCCCAAGGGCAAAUUCUGCCUCCUUUUUGUCUGCGGGGAUGUUUUUCGACAUAAUCUCCGUAAAAUUCACAAACUGCAUCAAACCACGAAUGGCAGAUUAAAUCAGAAACUAUUAGUGCAAAAAGUACUUUCAGAAUAAUAUAUAUAAUGCUACUAUACAAUCAAUAGUAUAGGGGCUCCGGUAUUAAUCUCGUUUUGACCUUAAGGUGUUCAAAUUGACGAUCCACACAAUUACGCAUGAUAUGCAUAUACAUACACAUACAUACGUACAUACAUAUAUAUAUAUAUAUAUAUAUAGAGAGAGAGAGAGAGAGAGAGAGAGAGAGAGAGAGAGUAGGGCUACUAUACUCUUAUGAGUAUUGGGCCCUUCGUACUCAUAAGUUGUUUUCGAUGAUGGGGCUUCCGAAUCGACGAUCCACUCCGUUAAAUAUGAUCUAGAGUAUUUGAAACUUAUAAAAAAUAAAUUUUGUAAUUUUUCGAAAUCAUAAUAAAGUCAAUCAAAUGGGCAUAAAAUAAACGAUCAAAAUCGAACGACGUCCUAAAAAUGGAUGAUCGGAUCCUUCAAUUUAAGAUCGGAGUUAUUGAUCUUUAUCUAAGUAGUGAAUAGAAUUUUCUAUCAAAAAUUCAACCUAUUCCAAUUCUUUUACACCGUUAAACUAGCAAGUAUCCCAUACCGGCCGUUAAAAAUUGUCAAUUUUGUGAGCUUUUGAUCGUAAGGUAAAUGAUGUCAAAAAAUUAUGAAAUUUGAUUUCUAUAAGUUUUAAAUGCUCUAGAUAAUGUUUAACGGUAUAGAUCGUCGAUUCAGAAGCUCUAUCAUCAAAAACAACUUAUGAGUACGAGAGCGAUCGUACUCAUUAGAGCACAGUAGCCGGACUCUAUAUAUAUAUAUAGUUGAGCUGGAAUACUAUAGGUAGUAAACGAGCUCUGUUGCCACCCAUUUACUUUCAAUGAUGGAGCCUUCAAAUCAAUGAUCGGCACCAUUGAACAUAAUCUAUAUCAUUUGAAGCAUGUAGAAACCAAAUUUCAUGUUUUUCCGAUAUUAUUCUCUUGUCCAACUAGUGAAUACAAAAAUGAACGGCUGAAAAUAAAUAUCCUUUAAAAAGUGAUGAUAGGAGUCUCGCAAUCAAGAUCAAGAGAAUAGAUCUUGUUUUAAAUAGUUCAAAAAAAAAUUUAAUAGAAAUCCAAUUGAUUUGGAUAUCUUUACACUGUUAAACAAGAAAACGUCUCAUAUCGACCAUUAAAAUUACAAAUUUUAAAACCCUUUAAUCAUUAGACCAAUGAUAUCAAAAAAUUUGAAAUUUGAUUUCUACAUAUUUCAAGUGAUAUAGAUCAUGUUCAACGGUGCCGAUCGUCGAUUUGGAGGCUCCAUCAUCGAAAAAAAUGGGUGGCAACAGAGCCCGUUUGUUCAAUAGCAUUCCAGCUCAAUGUACUAUAUAUAUAUAUAUAGAGAGAGAGAGAGAGAGAGAGAGAGAGAGAGAGUAGGGCUGACUACAAUAGUCUUAUGAGUAUAGGGUCCUUUUAUAUUCAUAAGUCGUUUUCGAUGAUACAUACUGUUAAACAUGUACAUGAUAUAGAGCAUUUGAAACUUCUAGAAACCAAAUUUCAUAAUUUUUUGAAAUUUAUGAAUUAUGAAUUAUCAUUUGUGCUCUCCGAAACUUAAGCUUAAACAUGUCUUUUCUUACGGCAAUGAGGUACCUAAAUAGACGAUCAACAUUAUUAAAUAUCACCUAGAGUAUUCAAAGAUUCUACGUUUCAAAUUUCGUAAUUUUUCGAAAUCAUUUGCCUGGCAUUUAAGAUUGUUCCAAAGUUGACAACUUUCAAUGACUAAAAUAGAGUUUUGAAAUCCAGUUUCUAGAAAGUUCAAAUAACCUAGAUCAUGUUUAAAGAAAUCAAUCAUGAUUCGAAUGCCCUAUUUGCCGGAAAGAACAAAUAAAUGGACCUGGAAAUUAUCAAAUGACCGGGCGGGUAUAUUGUCGUCAAACUCGCGCAUCAUGUCCCACGGUCCGUCACCGACCCCAACUAGAACAAUUGACAAGGGAUAUUGGCUACAAAAGUUUCAAAAGGGCAAAAAAAAAGGGGGGUUAAAUGAUGAAUUAGGAGAGAAAAUGAAGAAGCUCUCUCUAAAAGUCGAAUUCGAUAUGCACCUAGCUUUGACUAUGGCAUUCAUCGUAUCUCGUUCUUGCGGACUUAGUUGCCCGUAUUGCGUAUCAACACUUCGCGUCACCUAUUGAUCCAAUAAUUAGAGUACAAGAUUACUUUGUUAGCAGAAGAGACGAUUGAUAGAAAAACAAAUAUGCGAAGAAAUUAAAAGAAAAUGAAAAAAAAAAAGAAAAAUCAUACCUGUCCGUCAGCAAUUAUGAGAAGAACAUGGUACUGACCACCAGUAUUGUCUACAAUUCCGAUGGCCGUUUCGAUUAUUGGCGCAAACGACGUUGGUCCUGUCGUAUAACAUGUUUUCAUAUAUUAAGGCGAGAAUAACAAGAAGCGCUUAUUUUACACCUCGAAAUCAUACAAGAAUUGCACAUAAAUAUAUAUAUACCAGCUAAACGAAGAUUUGGGACGAUUUCUUUGUAUCUUUGUAAUGCUUCUUCGAAUCCAUUACACGGUCGGUUAUCCGGAUAGAAACUGAAAACCUCCUGAUCAUGGGUCGUUGCUGCACGAAAAGGUAAAACUUAUGCAACUAGACAGGCCAGAAAAUUAGCUCCUGAUCUAAGUUUUGGUUUCUGUAAAUGUGCGUAAAUGUUAGUUCGUAUACGUGAGAUUUAGAAUAAGAAAAGGUAUGGUAGCUUACCAUCGCCGAAUCCAAAGCAUGGGAUGAGAUUAUCCUCGUCGAAAGCCGAGAGGGUCCUCCCGAUAAUAGAUAUCGCCUGCUCGUAUGGGUUUUGGACGCCUCCGAUAUCGUGCAAGCACCGUCGAUUGAAUGAAAUUUUGCCUAGCAGCAUUGAAGCACCAACUGUUUCAAUCUUGCGAAACUAGAGCUAUAGUGUGAUAACCAUUCGAGGGAUUUAGCUUUGAAUAAGUUCAUUUUGACUCAACAAAAAAGGACAGGGAUAAAGUUGCCAUAAUCAUUUGAGAAACAAGCAUUGCAACUGUUUUGUUUUGCUCAGAAGGGCAUGUAAGUGUCUAAAAAUGGAGGUUUACUUUAGUUUGGUGCCGUGAUCGUUCGGUGUAUCUCGUUUUGUUAUUUGGAAAGGCAUGUAGUAAUUAAUUGACGAGGAGUGUGAAAAUAUGUCUAUAGUUCUUUAGUAUGUACAGCAUCUAAACCUACUAUUUUGAAUUUCAGAAUAAUUAUAAUUCACCAAUCAAAAUUGUAGGUAAGAUUUUCAGUGCCCAUCGGCACGGGCCGCGCACAUUGUAUCAUACUGUGCCAACAACAUAUCAGUACGAUAUCACCCCAUGCUGAUGGCAUGGCUCAAGAUCAUCUUUUCUUUAACAAGUAGUUAGUUCAUUAGAGAGAAAAUGAUUUGAUAACGAUAUAUAAUAAGCAAUAAGAAUUAUAUUGGUACCAAAAAAAUAUAUAUAUUUUAUGUCAUAGUGUGUCGGCACACAGGUUUUUUUUUUUAACCGGCGCACAUCGGCUCAGCACGGCACACCGUGUCAACCUGACCCCGUGCCAUGGCUCUUAAACCCUUUCUUGUAGGUUGUAACCAUAGAAAGAAACCCCAUGUGCGCACAAUUUAUCAUUGGAUAAGUUGCUCUGACAUCCGAAAAGAACAUCUCACAUUGCAUGCCUGUUUUGCUUAUUCAAGGGGUUAUGCUAAGUGAUUGCUACAAAAAGAUAACGUAGGCCAUUCCCCUGUCCAUUUCCUAUCAGAUCAAUCUUCUGGGUAGAUCUAUCAGAGCUAAUCCUUAGCACCCCUCCCACCCCGCUUUCCAAGAAGUCAUGAAUUUGAUUAUGACAUCCGCUGUUUUACGGCUUAUAUUCCUGUCAACUAUUCCGUUAUCUCUUCCAUUCCCUUUCCAAUCGGUGCAAGUAGCUUGGUUCACCUGAUGUCCACUAGGCAUGUCAGCACGGGUGUUAAGACUUAAUCCUCGACCAUUUCCUACUAAACCGAUUUUCUUGGUAACAGCCUACAACCACAAAGUAUAAAAGGUCUGAAACAUUUCCUCGGUAAAUGAUAAAUCAAACCAUAAGUAGAAUAUGCACUAUCCUAAAGUAUCAUGGUUACAAAGACCUCGCAAUCGACUAAAAUCUAACCCGUAAGUUGCAAUCAAGGAACAGCGUUCUCCACACGGCAUGUGCUUAUCACUAGAUAACUUGUAAAUCACGAAAGAUUGAACAAGCUGGAACAAUUUAUAAAUUUGACACUGCUUUCGCUCCUUAAGUCGAAAUCAUAUAGGACAACCAAUGGCCUGUUUAGCCAAACUGGAGCUUAACACAUAAGUGGUGUUUGAAUAGAGAAGAGGCAUCUUUACAACUUCUCACCGCAGCAGCAGCAACAGAAGUUCAGAUUGCGCAUUUUGGGGCCUAGAAGCUUACUUUAGCUCUUGACAAAAAGCAGUCAAUUUGUUAGCCAAACACCUGCUUUCUAGAAUAAAGAAGCUGUUCCAGAAACCAGGCCAAAUAGUGACGAAACACAUUCUAGUAAUCCAAUCCUGACCACUUACUAAAGUAGUGUUUGUUCCUUUUUUUUUAAGAAAAAGUAAAAGAUAAAGUACCUCAAUCAACUUCAAUUAUUUAAUAAAUGAAUUAACAAGCAUAAGCUAGCUACUACCGAAGAAACAAAAGAAUAUGUUGCAGGAUAAGUUUCUUUUGUUAACCUGUCCAUUCAUUGCUUUUCGUAAAGUCGAUUCCCACAAUCAGAUUUGAAGAUUCCAGGCCUGCUUGCGCAAGAGCUUCAGUUACCUGAAUCAACAUAAAACAAUCUAAGCACUCAGGAAAAAAGCAAAAGAAAGGCACUUUUCUCCACUUUUAACUUGAUAAUUCAAAUUGAAUCAUUUAAGAAUGUUUGAAAGAAUAAAAUGUGUUCUUAUUCAGCCUUUCUGACAAAAAACAAAGCAAGCAUAAAGAUCAAACAAUAAUUGAAAGCAUUUUAGAGGUUAAAUUGUGUAUGGUAAUAGAGACCAACAUUUCAAAAACUCCGAUUUUACAACCUAAAAUUACAUUGUAUUACAAAACUUUUUUCCCAUGAAAGCCGCUAAGUUUUAAGUGAACUCGAAGGAAUUUUCCAAACUAGAUAUAUAACCAUAACCAUAAGUUUUAACAAUGUCUCAACAUUUCAGUUUCUCCUACAUUAGUCGGCACGUAGACUAUUAUAAGAGAAUAAGUACUAUACUUGAGCUAGAGAAUGGUAAUUAUCCUCGAUCCUCGAAUACUUUCCCUGCAACCUUCUUCUGGUCUCAGGCUGCACAUCAUUCUCUCCGUAGGAGGCGUAUCUCGAAGAACUGUAUCGCGAUGACGAACCCCCGUAAUCGUAAGAUUGCUGACGACGGCCGUGCGAUUUGGAUCCACUUAGCCCCAUUCUUUUUUGCAAAAAUUUGUUCAAAAUUUUAUAGAUUUAUGAAGAUUAAGAGCCCCCCCUCUUCUGACCCAAAUAAUCUGCCAGUUUAAGAUUAUUUCACAUGUAAAUUGGAUGUAAAAUACUUCAAAAUCUGCAGCUAAAGAACAUAAAACUAAUGUCAGCGUAAAUGAUGAGGAGAGAUUUUGACUUGAGUUUUUCCAUUUGGGGGUUUUGAAUUGCUUAGAACACUUUUCCAUCAAUUUUUUCAAAAAAAUAAUAAUAAUAAUAAUUAUCUCCAUAGCUCUCUCAUAAUUAAUUACCUCUUUUCUAACCCUAUGAAUGAUUCAGAUUCCUUUUUUUUUUUCUUUCAGAAACCCAAAAUGAGAAGUUCUUGCCCCCAAAAAAAAAAAAAAAAAAAAUUCAAGUUUUGUGGAGUUGAAGUGAAGGAAACAAUUUAACUUAUAAUGCAAAAUGAGAAAUUUAGCCAGAUUUUAAAAACAGCUAAGGAAAUUUGACAAAUAUUUUUCUUUUUUACCAACAUUUUCUGAACAUAGGAAUAUACCCUACAUCAUAACAAGGAAUUGAGUUUUUUUUUUUUUUUUACUUCUUAAAAAAAAAAGAAAAAAAAAACAAACAAACACAUCAAAGGAUUUUUGUUUUAUUACACUAUCAUUCAGUGGCAUCAUGAACCAAGAUGGUUCAAAAAAAACAAAGAUCAAGAUCAAGAUCAAACACCAGUAAAAGACCAAAAUACAGAGACCCAAAAAAAAGGAUUCAAAUUAAUUUUCCUCAAAAAGGAUUCAAAUUAAAGAAAAGAAAAACAAAAAAUCCUCUAAAUUAGCAGUUUAUCAACACUUACCAACUCUCUCUCUCUCUUAACACCUCCCCAUGUUGAGGCCUCUUCUGAGGAAGCAAUGAAGAGAGACAGAGAACACAAGCAAGCUAAAGAAUAAAAAAACAAAAAACAAAAAAAAAAAACUACACUUUUUUCUUAUAUUCAUUAAAAAAGGGAGACUGGAGGGGCCAAGUCAAGUCCAAUGCAGGAUUUUUCCUCAUAGGUUUCUUGUGAGAUAUAUAUAUGUACUAAGAAAAUGUAUUAAAAUAAUUGGGAAUAUGUAAAUAAAUGGUUCAAAAAAGCUAAGGUGGAAAUGAGGUGAAAAUAGGGAUGCAAAUGGAUCCGGGUUGGUGGAGCUCCGCCCCGAUCCGCCCCGAAUGGGGUGGUAAGUGUGAAUAAAAAAUAUAAAAAAAUAUAACCCGCCCCGAAUCCGCCCCGAUCCGCCAAGUAAAUGGAGCGGCAGGUGGAAGACUCUUUUCUUCCUUUAAUCCGCUCCGAUCGGUCAAAAAUCCGGCUCCCGCCCCGAUCCGUCCCGAAUGGAGCGGUAAGUGGGAGCCAAAAAUAAAAUGAAAAGUAACCCGCCCCGAAUCCGCCCCGCCCCGAUAAGAAAUGGAGCGGGAGAUGGGGGAACUCUCCCGCCCCCAGAUCCGCCUCAUUUGCAUCCCUAGGUGAAAAUUACAUGUAGGGUGAAUUGCAAUCAUUAUUAUUAUUAUUAUUAUUAUUAUUAUUAUUAUUAUUAAUUAUUAAAGAGUUGACUUGGUUUGUAAUUAAUAUGGUUGGUGGACUGUAACUUACACUUGGGUUGAUUAUAAGCUACAUAUGACACCUGGAGGAACUGGGAAAGAGUGAUUCUAUAAGCACAUCAAAGCUUGAGCUUUUUAAAUUAUUGCAAUUAAAUUCUACGGCACAAAUUUAGUUAAUUCAAUAUUAAUAUAUUAUUACUAAUGUAAAAAUAAUGCAGUCGUAUUGUGCUUAAUGACCGAAUAAUCGUUAAGAUGUCAAAUUACUAUCGUGUCAGUAAAACGUUAAUAUUUAGUCAACUAAAGUCGGUAGUGAAAUUUGAUUGAAACACUUAAUAAAAUUUGAGUAUAAAUUCUAAUAAAUUAAAGGGAUAAUUGCGAAUAUAUUUCUCAAUGCUUCUGAAAUAUUUGAUAUAUCCUUACUUUUUUUUAAUUUUAAAUAUACCCCUCGUAUAUUUUUUCGUUUAUUCAAAAAUACCCUCGCUGUUGGUACCCGUUAAGUUAUCUCGAAUUAAACUGGGAUUAAAUUUGUCCUAGAGUGAAAAGUUGUCGACAUACCAUUUUUGCCCCCGACUUAAGGGCAAAUACGAAAAGUUGGUGACAGUAAAAGAGUAUAUUUGAAAUAAAAGAAGUUCAAAUACUUCUUUUUGCUCCCGGCUUAAGAACAAAGAACAAAGUUUGUGAUGCGCGAAGGGUAUAGUUGAAAGAGUAAAACAGUAAUUUCACAUAGAUAACUGUUAUUUUUAAUAGUUUACUAAUAUAAUCUAACUCUACGGAUACAUUUGAGAGAAUUUGAAAUGUUAAAAGGUAUUUUUAAUAUUAGCAUUCUAAGAGGGUAAAUAAAAAAAAUAGGAAACCUUGCAAGGGUAUAUAAACAAUUGUCCUUAAUAAUUGCCCCUAAAUUAAAAUGACAGGACUAAAAUAAUUUAACCAACCCACAAAUAAUUUAACCAAUCAUUCCUAAAAAUGAGUCAAUUCUGUAAGGAGAGGGACAUUCAAUGGCAAUUCAUAUUAGGUAUAAUUAUCUAUAUACCCCUCAAAGCUUUUAAAAUAUUUUAUAUAUUUCUAUUUUUUUCAAAUAUACCAUUGUACAUUUCUCCGUUAUUCAAAAAUAACUCUGCUAUUAGUACUCGUUAAAUUAUCUCGAGUUAAAUCUGAGUUAAAUUUCUAUCAAAGUUAAAAAAAAAUCAAAAUACCUCUUUUAUCCCUUAAGGACAAAUAAGAAAAGUUGAUAAUAAUAGAAGGAUAUAUUCUAAAUAGCCAAAAGUCAAAAUACUUUUUCUAACUUAAGGACAAAUAAAAAAAAUUAGUGAUGGUUAAAAAGUAUAUUUGAAAGGACAAAAGAGUAAUUUCACAUAGAUAAUGAUUGUUUCUAACUGUUUGUUAACAGAAUUAAACUGUAAGGAUAUAUUUUAAAAAAUUUGAAACGUUAAAAAAGUAUUAUUUUUUAUAUUGGCCGUCUAAUUAAGGGGGGUAAAUAAGAAAGUCUAGAACCUUUUAAGGGUAUAUAAGCAAUUGUCCAUUCAUCUUAUUGCCCCACUCUUUCUCCGUCUACGGACCGAACACAGUCCCAAAAUCCGAACCUGACAGAUUUUGAAAAUUCAUAUUUAAAUUCAAACCCAACCGAAAACCCAAAAUCUGAACCUAAAUCCGAAAAUUCAAAUCCAAACAAUUAUCUCUCUUUACCGUAUCUCAAAACAUAUUAUAUGAAAAUUCAAUUUUAAAAUACUAGUUCAAAUAUAACAUUAAACGUUCAUAUAUUAUAUAAUAUAUAAAAUCAAUUCGGAUUAGGGUCAGGCUCAAAUUCCGGACGUAUAUAUAGGAACAAAAUCGAUACCCGAUUUCAAAUCUGUACGAUUUUUAUUUUUUAUAUCUGUGUUUAGCAUCUGAUAAACCGGCCUUACUCGAAUUCGGGUCUAGAAAAAAUUUCAGAUAUUCGUACCCAUUAACGUACGUCGCUAUCUCCACCUAAUAAUUGCUUUCUUUAAUAAGCAAAGAAAAGAAGAGACCUUUCCUUAGUUUCUUUCACCAAUUAUAUCAUAGCUUUAUGUCUAAUUAAUAAUAUUGAGAAAAAGAAUUAAUAUUUACAAAGCUAUUUUAUACAUUAGGGUUAAUUUCGUAUUUACCCCUCCUCCAAUCCUUAAUUACACAUAAACCCCUAUAAAAUUAUCAAUAUCAAAAAUACCCUUUUAAUUUAGAGAAAUUAUCAUAAAUAUCCAUAUUGACAUUAAUCCAUCUGAAAAUUAUAUAUAAUUUUUAUUUUUUCCAUCUUCUAUUAUUAAUACUUUUUUUAAUAAACUAAAAAAUCUUUUGCUUGGAAAUAUUAUAAAUACAAUUAAAUGUAUAGUAAAAUAGAAAAAAACUAAUUAAAGCAAAUUAAACUACAAAGAUAAUAAAACAAAAAAAAAAUCAUACUAAUUUAGAAAAAAUAAGAAAAAGGUUUACAAAAGAAUAUAACAUAUAUUUAGUUUUAAUUAAGAUCAACAUGAGAUCAUAUGAUAUUGAAGUAAAAAAAUAAUAAACUUCAGUUUGAUAGAAAAGCCAUUCACAAACUAAAAAAAAAAAAAGAUCAAGUCAUUGUUAAGUUAGGAAUAAAUUUGUUAGCCCCACAUAAUACCACAAAUUAUUUAUAAUUAGGUAUGCAUAUGGGCAAAUUAGUUUAAAACUCUUAAUCAAUGUGAUGGAGGAUAUUUUUGAUAUAAUUCAUUAAUUUAUAGCAGUAAAAAUAAUAUUGACAAUUUUGAAAUAAUAUUUUAUGAUAUUUAUAAAUUUUGAGGGGUCCGUUUGAAAUUCUCUCUAUAUAUUGUUUGUAGUGCAAAAUACCCUAAAUCGCGACAACGUAUAUACGAGUUGAACUAGAAUGGUAUCAGGAGCAAAUAGGCUCUAUUGUUAUCAAGUUAUUUUCGAUGAUAGAGCUAGCUUUUCAAUUCGAUGAUCGGCACUGGUCAAUUUGAUCUAGACCAUUUAAAUAGUUUAGAAUCGAAUUUUAUAUAUUGUCAACACUAAUGACCUAAUGAUCAAAGGAUCGUAAAUUUAACAAUCAAUAUGGGGUAUUUGCCUGUUUAACAGUGUAAAAAAAAAUUCAAAUUAGUUGAAUUUAUGUCACAAAUUUUUUUAAACUAUUUAAAACUAUUGGGAAUCCGGUAUCGCCCUGGUGCUGGAUUUUGUGAAUCCGCAACCUACUCCGAUACCGACGGUUGUUAAUUCGGUACUGAUUGUUGGGAUUCCGCAACAGAAGCGUCGAAUUAGAUUUUUAGCAUAAACUUGUUCUCUCAGCAGAAGCCGAUACAAUCAUGAAAGAGAGAAAACAACUAAAUAGAAAAUAUGCGAGUAAAAUAAGAUUCAUUAAAUAAGAGAAGAUUACAUCUGACUCCUCUUCUUUAACAGAGUAGUUACAACCCGAGCCCUCUUUUUGAAUCUCUCCUAUCCUUCUCUCGUCUUCUAUAAACCCACAAAUAAGACAAUUCUCCACGUGCACCCAUGCAUUAGCUGCACUCAACCAUGACUUUCUCUCUCCUGGUACGGUUUCACCUAAGAAAGCACUCUCUUUCUCACCGUACUCUCUACUCCAAAGCAUCCCAAAAAGUGUUUUUCUAAUGUAUCAUCUAAAACGUACGUGAAUCCUAAUCCAAUUAGGAUUCCGAUUAUGAUUAAUAUUUAAAUCUAUAUUUAUUUAAAUCUAGAUUUAUACUCUAAUUAAUAUUUAGAUCUUAAUUUAUCUCCAACAUAUUUAAAUAUUUAUCCUAAUCUAGUUAGAUUCAUACUCUAAUUAAUACUUAGAUCUUAAUUUAUCUCAAACAGAUUUAAAUAUUAAUCAUAAUCCAAUUAGGAUUCAACUACAAAUCUAACAAAAUCCUAACAAUUUAAAACAAGAUCUACUCCUUGAUCUUGAAUACAAAAAUUCCAUCAUUGAUUUUCGAAGGAUACUCAUUUUCAGCUGUUCAUUUUUGCAUUCACUGGAUACACAAGAGAACAAUGUUGAAAAAAAAAUGAAAUUAAGUUUCUAGAUACUUUAGAUGAUCUAGAUCAUACUCAACGGUGCUGAUCGUUAAUUUAAAAACUCUAUCAUUGAAAAUAAAUCAAUAGCAAUAGAGUCCAUUUACUGCCGAUAGUAUCCUAGCCCAACUUGAUGUAAAUAUCAAUUAGUGAAUUCAAUUUUUUAUGGACAUAUUGAAUCUGUUUUAACCCAAUCAACUUUCACCAACUACACUGUAGUUGUGUGUAAUUACAUACAUGGGACAAAUAUGAAUUAAAAAAUAAAAAAUUAAAGUCAGUCAAUGGGUAAUGAUCUAAUUCAACAAUGGAUAAAAAGCUACAUUUAGAUUUCUAGAAGGAAUGGGAUUGUAGGGAUUUGUGAGAGGGGACGUGCCUAACCACCAAGAAAAAAAAAAGUUAAAAAAUUAAUAUUGGAGUUCGAAGGGUUAUGUGUCAAUGUGGUGGGCCCAUGUUGAUAAGCUCCCAAGUUAGGCACUGAUUUGACCUGUGCAGAACUACUCGUUGGUGCUAAUUAUUAAUUUUAAAAAAUAUACGGUGCUUACGAGUCUCGAUUAUAACUUGGCUCAAGCAGACUUACUCUAGUUCGAACAUGACUUGAUCCAAACCGGCCUCUUGCCAUUUCGAACGCGACUCAGUCCAACCUGACCUUCCGCUGCAAAGCAGAAUACUAGUUUCUUUAAGCCAACUUACUAUUCUGUCGGAUUUAGGGUUUAAAAUUUAGAACCGUCCCUAGAGCAAGUGGCAAAGGGCUUGGUAGUUGGUAUCCGAAAUUCAAGUUCGAAUCCUAGCUAGUUGAUUCACAUUUCCAGCUAAGUUUAUUUCUAAAUGAAAUAAAUGACGUGGAUAGCGUGCUCCCUAUCUCUCAAAAAAAAAUAAAAAAAUAAAAAUGUUUAGAAUUAAAUGUUUAUGGUGUUCACAUAUUUAAGAGCGUAGAAUAAUGAGAUUCAUAGUUGUUGUCUGUUAAAAUAAAAAAAAAGGAUUUUAAUUUUCACUUCACUUUGAAAUAAAAAUGAUCCAAUCUAUUUAUCAUCCAAUCUGAUCCAUUCGAGAGAAAACCAUUAUCUCACAUAUACCUCUCCCUUCCUCCUCUCCCUUUAUCAGUCCUCUUCUUUAAACAAAUUCCCACUUUCAAAGUUCUAGAUAUCCAAUUAUCUAUUCCGAUUUUCAUUCCAAUAACGAAUCAAACAGUUUAGUUUCAAACCAAAAACCUCACUAAACCAAAUCAAAUAAGACAAUUUGAUUCGGUAUAUUUACUUUUCAAAAUUGGAAAAAAAUUUUGAAUUUGGUUGUUGGUUUCUGUUCUAUUUUGACACAUCUCUUAAAUUUUCUAUGCAUAUAAUACAAUAUUACUUUCACAACAAUUUAUUAAAAGUUGUACGGUCCUGAGUUUUCAAAACUACCCCUAAAAAUUUUAAAAAUAUCACAUUUGCCCUUGAGAAUUAAAAUAUCACAUAUGACCUUCUAAUGUAAUGAGUCCUCUCAUUAUCUUACAAUACGAAGCGUUACCCUAACCUUUCAAUACUGGUUAAGUUUUAGAAUACCAAUUUUAUUUCUAAAUAAUUUCAAAAUUUAUAGCUUGAUUUUUUAAAAAAAUUUAAACUUCAAUCUAAAUUUUGAUCUUACGUUCACCCAAAAUUUAAAUUCUAAUUCUGACUUUAAAUCUAAUUUUGAAUUUGAAUUUUAAAUUCAAAUUUAGCUUUGAAUUAAAAUUGAGAUUGUGUACUUAAUUUUACUUCCAAAUCUGUAUGUCGAAUUAGAUUCAAUUUCAAACUUCCAUUUUGAAAUUGAUUCAUAAAAAACAAUAAUAAUAUAUAGCCUAAGUCAAUAUCAAUUGAUUCAUAAAAAACAAUAAUAAUAAAUAUAUAUAUAUAUAUAUAUAUUUUUUUUAAAAAAAACAAAGGAUAUUUGGUUAGGCCCCGUUUGGAUCGCGGGAUAAGCGGGGAUAACGAAAGUUAUUCCCGUUAUUCCGCCAAACGGGAUGAAAUUUGGCCGGGAUAUUUUAUCCCGGUCAAACCUUGCUAUUCCCGGUUAUCCCGGAAUAGCAAGGGAUUUGCUAUUCCACCAUUUUAGUAGAAUAGUGCUAUUCCAAUGCUUAAUUUCAAACUUAAUUAAAAUUAUAAAUUGAAUUAAACUAAAUUAUAUAAAUAUAAUAUGUUAUAUAUUAUAAUACAUUAUUUUUAUUAUAAAAUUAUUAAUUGUACUAUAUUAAUACAUAUUAUUUAUAUUUAAAUAUUAUAAUAAAAUUUAUAAUAAAUUAUAUUUAAAUAUUAUAAUAAAUUCUUUUUAUUAAAUUUAAAUUUAAGUAGAAUUUUUAAAAAAUUUAUAAAUUUAUUAUAAUAAAUUAUUUUUAUUAAUUGUUCCCACCACUAUUCUUAUUUUAAAAUUUUAAAAAUUAAAAAUUUAAAUUUUUAAAAUUUAUAAUUUAUACUCUCAAAAUUAAAGUUUAAAAUUUAAAUUUAAAAUUUUAUAUUUUAUAUUUUUUUAAUUUAAAUAUGAUCUUAAAUUUAAAGUUUGAAAUUUAAAAUUUAAAUUUUUGAAUUUAAAAUUUGAGAUUUUAAAUUUCAAAGUUAAAAUUUUAAAUUUAGAAAUAUAAAUUUAAAAAUUUAAAAAUUCAAAUUCAAAUAUAAUAAGUGGAUAAUAUCAUUAUUUUUUAUUUACAAAACCCAUUAUCUUUCUUAUUCCAUCUUACCUAACCAAACGUAAUUUUUUUAUUCCCAGGAAUAACCCAAUUUUCAUCCAAACGCAAAAUUGAUUUAAUCCCCGCUUAUACCUCAAUUUAUACUUAUCCCUGGAAUAGCCACUUUUUCCUUAUCCCCGAACCAAACGAUACCUUAGAGUUUGAGCCUUUUCAUAUGUAGGAUUAGGUCAAUGUUAGUUUCCCACGCGGUUCAACCUGUCAAUGUCGCACCAACGAGUCAAAUUCAGCCUAGUUUGGCAGCGCGUUCUUCAAAUGUAUCAGUUUUCAUGCUUCAGAGCUUCAACAUCACAAAAACUACAUUAAGGGGCUGUUUGGUUGCAUGCAUUUUCAACUGCAUUGUAGUUGAAAAUGCAUGCAUCUAUCAAUUUUUUGUUUGGUUUGGUGCAGUUAGGCCCAACUAUUGCAGUUGCAUCUGCACGAGAAGGCCCAACUGCAACAGUUGGUACUACAACCAAAUUGGCCGUAGUACCAACUGCAGCAGUUGAGCCGGAGUCGGCUUACCCAUUAAAAAAAUAAACAAAGUGUGAUUUUUUUUUUCAUACACUCUUUUUUUUUUAUUUUUUUUUCUAAAAAUAUAUAUUCAAGAAAUCUGGUAAGAUUUAGUAAUGUUUGUUAGGGUCAAUAAAUUUUUUUCAUACGAUUCUUAUUUUUCAGUCUGUUAAUUUAAUAAUAUCUUAAUUUUCAUUUUGAUCAAAUUUAUAAUAUAUUUACAUUUAAAAUUUAUUGAAUUCAUAUAUAAUUUUGUAAUAUAUAAAUUAUAUAUAGAUAUAAAAGUCUUAAUUAAUAAUCAAAAUAUAAUUACGUUAUGAUCAGAAGAGGUAAUCUCACAUUUCUAUCUGAAAAUUGACAGAAUUUAUAAAAACAAAUCUCAAUUGCAGACUGCCAAACAGAAGAAAUGUAACUGUAGCAGUUGCAACUGCAUAAAACCAAACCGACUAAUAAGUAUAGUUAUGACUGCAGCAUUUACAACUGCAUAUACUUCCAACUACACUGUUUUUACAACUACAUCCAACCAAACGGCCACUAAAUUUCAAUGCUUCUAAUACCACAAAAUGAUGGCAGAAAUUUCCAGUAAAAAAGCAUGAGGGAAAAUUCUUCGACGGUAGAGAUUUUCACUUUUCUUAGGGCUCUCAGGCAAAAUAGAUGCGCUUGAAGAACUCAUGUUCGGCAUCUAUCAUUUUAAGACAGACAGACGUGUGUCUCAGUGCAGCACACCCCUUUCUACCAUCAUAUAACAUCACAACUCCUUCAUAGUUUGGUUAAAUGGAUCUAAUGAUAGAUAAUUUUGGCUGAAUCAUAAAAAAAAAAAAAAAAAAUUCCUUGCAUUUUCGCCCGAGUCCAAUUCCCUCGUACACAAAAAUUGCAUCAAACUCUACACAUUAACACCGUCUCAUUUAAGUCGGAAAAUAGACGCUCAAUGAUAAAUUCGAAUGUAAAACUUUAUAAAAAUUAAUUUGCAGAUGAUAGUAGUAAAACUUAUUAAAGUUUAAUCGUAUAAACUGAACAAAUUGUCUCAUAAAAGAGCCAAUUUUAGUCAGAACUACGGCCUAUUUAGGCAAAAUUCCAGUUUCUGCAGUUGCGCUUUCUCGUACAGUUCCAAUUGCAACAGUUGAAUUCAAAAUAAUUAUAAUUUCAGUGCAGAGUUGCAACUACCUGCGACAAUAGAGCCUAUAAUCGGCUUUAUGUCUCAAAGCUUUAGGUUCAAUUUAUGGAAUAAAAUAUAGAGAUUUUCAAUUCUCAUAUGUACUGUGACAAAUUAUAAAAAAUUAUUUUGGAUCGUGACAAAUUUGGGCCGGGCAUAGAUUGGCCCGACCCCGCCCAAAAAAAGUCGGAUGCGUAAAUUUGGCCCAAUCCAUCUCUAGCGGGCGAAAAUGUGUAGCCUGAUUUUUUUCGGAUCGGGUCCAUUAGCCCGAUAUGUCGCCCAACCCAUUUACACCCCAAUUGAGAAAUUAAUUGGGUUAAUUAUACCAUUGGUUAUAAAAGGCUCGGAAAAUAUCCCAGGAAAUAAUUCAUUGUGAAUUAAAUUCGUCCGUAACUCCACUUUCCCAAUUGCGUUAUUAUUUGACUUCGCCCUAAGUGGUAGCAAAGUUAAUUACGGAAAGAAAAAAAAGAAAAAAUUAAUUAAAAAAAUGUCGCAACUUUUUUUUAUCUAUUUAUAUACUAGCAUGAAAUUUUUUAAUGAAAUAAAUAAAAAAAUAUAAUAAGUACAGGUCCUAAACCACUUACUUUCUCUCAAACAAACAGCAAUAAAAAAAAAAAAAUUCAAUUCAAUUCAACUAAAAGUCAUUUUCGAUCUAAAACUCAAUUACAACAGAAGCCAAAAUCCGAACAAUUCAAUUCUGCAGAAAUUACUUUUUCAAAAUUUAGGCCAAACGGUCCGUAAUCUAAUCUGGUGUGCUCUAAAGCUCUCUCCCAUUUUAAUGUGGGCCACUUCCACCCACUAAUUAUUAGAGCAUAUAUUUUUCCAAAUAAAAAAGAAGUCAAACACAUAGUCAAAGCUGAUUUUUGAUGUUGACAUGUUUGAUUCAAUGAAUUUGAUUACAAAUUUGCUUACUAAAUUUGAACAGAUCCAAUAAUCCCAUUUACAACAAUGAUCACCUGCAAAAUAUUUCUCUCCACAUGCAAGAAUAAAUAAAUAAACAAUUAAUUAAUUAAUUAAUUAAUUAAUUAAUUAAUUAAAUCCCAGUUUCAACAUUCUCAAUGAUUACAAAAAUGCAGUAAUAGCAUAUAUUAUGUAGCAUUAAUUGUAGAUAAACCUUCCCUGAACAAGAGAGUAAUAUUGAAAGGGUGACAUGGGCCAGGUUGUGUGUUAUUCCCUCUUUUUGUGUUUUUUUUUUUUUUUAAUGUGCCAAAUGCUUGUGCUUAACUCUACUCACCCAAUCUACAAGGAAUAAAGUAAUAAUAAUAAAGUGUUUCAAAGUUUUGAUGAGAGUUAGGGCAACUUGUUAGGCUCUAAAUCUCGGACCUGGACACGAUUAUACGUAGGUAGUAUCUGGUGUAAGAAAAAUUACCUAUUGAAGUUUUGGGCAUAAGUCCGAAUACCUUAUAAUUAUCAAGAAUUUGACCCGAUCUUUGUAGGAUCAUUGGCUCUUACUAUUAAUCCCAAAAGUUUGAGUUGUUAGAAAGAUAUAGUUAAUUCAUUCAAAGUUUAUAAAAAGGGCAUCUACGGAUUUUGAUUCAGUUAUGACUCGGCCCAGUUGGCCUCCGUCACUUCGAAUAUGACUUGAUUCAAUCCGGCCUCCCGCCACAUCGAUAAGCAUAUGAAUAGUCGUACCUAAUCUUAAGUGAAUAGUAUACAAAUAGUUUCUAUCCAAACCCACUCAUAUGGAUCUGAUGGGUACAUUAAAAACUUAGGUACAGAAAUCCGAACCCAUCGCAGAGUUGAAUAGGUAGAGUACUUUCUUUUUUCUAUUCAUAUUUGGGUACUUAAGUACCGAAAUAUGAACUAUCCAACUUGAAAAAUUUUGAAGGCUAAAGUGAAGUUGGAUAUAUAUAUAAGUUCAGCAACUGGCAUUGUAAUUUGAUAUCACCAUCUUAACCUUCUUGCUCAGUUUUCAUAAUAGAGCCUUGUGAUAUAGCGCAAUUUUGUAUCGAUGUUUUGUGUUAAAUGAUACGAAACAUAAAGUACUAUGCUUUAAUAGCUUAAAGUUUUAGAGAAUAACGAUUAUUCAAUAUAACUUAACAUAGUAUCAGAGUAUGAGGUUCUGAGUUUGAGUCCCACCAGACUCAUAUUCGUUGAAUAAAUAUAUUAAUUAGAUAACCUGAGACCGGUACCAUGUUAGAUUUUAGGUUUUUUUAGUCAUUUUUAAUUAAAUUGAUCUCUUGGAUAACAUGGUAUCAGAACUACUACUAAGCUAACAGCGAAAGCUUAGGAUUAGCUCUAAUACCAUGUUGUAUAAAAAAAAAUCGUAGCAGAAAACAAGCCAUAAAAUACAAUUAACAAUUUUCUCUGUAUACAAGUAAGCGAAGGACUUGUUCGCCUUUGCUAUAGUGUUAAUAGUUAUUUGAAUGAAUUACUGUCUGUGUAGUGCUGUUAAAAGAAGCAUUAUAUGAAAGUUUUUAUUCGAUAAAUUUUCUCUGUAGUAGAAGAAGAAUUCUAAGCAGAUGCCUUAUAAUUUUUUCUUUUAAUUCCUGCCGCAGAGACGCCGGAUUCUUUUAUUUGCCAAAUUCUCUGCUAAAGGUAACUAUUGCAAAAAUAAAAGUGACGCUGAAAUCCGAUAGAAAACAUCAUAAUGGUAACGAAGCAUCGAUGCGAAAGGAUCUCAUCCACUUUGAUGAGAUAAACAUCUAGAUAGGGAUGCAAAUGGAUCCCCGUUGAUGGAGUUCAUGUCCUAAUCCGCGCCAAACGGGGUCGUUAUGUGAGGGCCAAAAAAAAGGAAAAAUAAAAUAACAUGUCCCGACUCUGUCCGAUCUACUAAAAGAAAUGAUACUCUUUCCUUUCUUUGAUCUGUCUUAAUCUGUCAAAAAUUCGCUCGUGUCCCCGGCCGCCCGAAUAGAGUAGUAAGUAGGGACAAAAAUAACAUAAAAAUCAAUUCGUCCCAAAUCUGUUCUGAUCAACUAAGAAAACAGAUCACGAAAUGAAGAUCUAUCCUGCCCCGGAUCUGUCCGGUUUGCAUCUUACAUCUAGAUACCUUCUACAUAGAGUCAUAUAAAGUAUGUUCACAUGUAACUACAAAAUAAAGAAAAGACAAUGAUAACAUCUAUCACCUUCUUUUUUUUUUUUGGAAAAACUUCAAAAACCCCACUGGUGGUUUCAAUUUUUUUCACUUUAGUACCCUAUGGUUUAAAAUAUAUCAAGUUAGUGCCCUGUGGUUUUUCACUUUAUCACUUUAGUACCCUGUGGUUUAAGAUGUAUCAAGUUACUACCCUGUGAUUUUGCACUUUAUCACUUUAGUAUCCUGUGGUUUUAAUUUUGUAUCAAGUUAAUAUCCUGUGGUUUUUUUAAACCAUAGGGUACUAAAGUGAUAAAGUGUGAAACCACAGGAUACUAAAGUGAUAAAGUGCAAAACCAUAUGGUACUAACUUGAAACACCUUAAACCACAGGGUACUAAAGUGAUAAAGUGAGAAACCAUAGGGUACUAACUCGAUAUACUUUAAACCACCGGAUACUAAAAUGAAAAAGUGUGAAACCACAAGGGGGUUUUUUAAAGUUUUUCCUUUUUUUUUUUUGAUAGUGAUAACAUCUUUAGCUCCAUUUGAACAAUGGAAUCUUCGACUAAAAAGCUCCACUCUUUUGAUAAUGUCCAACUUAGGCAACCACAAUUGAGACAAAUGGGUGAGUCAACCAAUGAGUGCUCCAUUAAUUGGUCUAUUGGGAACAUAAAUUAUUGUUUGCACUUGGUGCAUCUAUUAUCUUGUGGACCACACAUUAUAUUUCCCCCAACCAAUGAAACAAUCCAACCCCCAACAGUCGAAAAUACAGUCGAUUCUAUCAGCUCUCCAUAUAUUCUGUGUUUUCUAAAUGAUCGAUCUGAUAGUAAAUAAUCCACUCAAAUUUAAUAAGUUAAAAAUGGAAUUCAAUCAAAAAGAAUAUAAUGCGAGAAUCAAAUGCACAAACCUCAUAGAAUGCCUUUUAUUUAGCCUAUGUGUGCUUAUUCUAUGUCACCAAAAAAAUAGAUCUGAUAGUAAACAACCUAUGAAAAAUUGACAGAUGAGAUAAGAAAUGGGACUCAUUAGUUAGAAUAUGAAUACAGGACCUCAAUGAGCGGUGGGAUUUAAGUUUUGAAGCGGUAAACUUUUACCACAUUUAACAACCUGCAAGUACUAAAUAAUUGUGAUUGAAGUAUAUAAUGAGAUAGAAGGCCCGAAGAGUAUAAUGAUGAACAAAUACGCCCGGUGCAUGCAAUAAGUAUUUUAGAUUACACAUGGGAAUUUGUGCUAAUCUUCUCUUUGACCUCUAUGGAAAGCCAUAAACACAAGCUAGCCAUGAAAAAAUGGCUUUCUCAUUAAGGAAUUGCUUUCUACUUUAGAGGGUGUUUUAAUUGAGCACAUGGGUGUUUGGGACUUCAGUGGAGUUAGUGCUACAAAGGCAAGUUACAAAACCAAGUUUCAUAAUGGUUUUUAGGUGCCAAUAGGUUAAGGUUUUUAUUUGGAUAGCCAAAAAAAAAAAAAAAAAGUCAAUUUUAAAGGCUUAGCCUAUUUGAUGAAAAUAACUUCAGCGGAAAGCUCCCAAAUGAAAGUUCGCUGACGAAUUUCCGAUUUGCUGCCAUCUAUCAGUUUUUUCUCUAUCCAAAUAUUAUGGGGUUAAUUACACCAUUGAUCCUCAACCUUUAUAGUAUUUUUAAUUUGGUCCCAAGUCUUUUAUUUUUUGCAAUUGAGUCCCUGGACUCUUGAUUUUAUUGCAAUUAAGUCUUAGCUGUUAAAAAAUGUGUUAAAAUUAACGAAAUUGCCACAUCAGCGCCUACUUGUCUAAUUUGCUGGUACUGAUAUGGCACCUCUGUGGCACUGAUGUGGCAAUUAUGUUAAUUUUAAUACUUUUUUAAAAGUUGGGACUUAAUUAUAAUGAAUUCAAGUGUAACGGCCUAGCCCACUAACAAUAAUAACUUGUUGGAUCCAACCAUUAGCCCAAAAUGCUUAACCCCAGUUAUUAUUACUAGUGUCUAAGUCUCUUAUAUACCCAAUCGCAUUCCCAUUCAUAUCCAAUGUAGGAUUAUAUAUCCAAUCACAUCCUCAUUCAUAUCCGAUAUGGGAUUAUAUACCCAAUCACAUUACCAUUCAUAUCCGAUGUGUGAUUAUAUACCCAAUUACAUCUAUAUUCAUAUCCGAUGUGAAAUUAUUGAUCCGAUGUGGAUUAUUGAGGCAACCCAAUCACAUCCCUAUUCAUAUCCGAUGUGGAAUUAUUGAGGUGUGACAGACUCCCCCCGUUAAGACUCUGGCAUCCUCGUCAGUUCAAUCACACACACAGCCCAAGAUCACCAGGCGAUGUGAAACUUAUCUCGCUAGCCUUGUCAUCUAGACCCUGGCAUAGCCGGUCACCUUAUUAAUCAAACUCCGGCAUUAGCCUGUCACCUUGUCUUUCAGACCCUGACUCAACCGAGACUCGCUACACAUUUUCGGCUGGUGAACUGGCUCUGAUACCAAAUGUAACAACCCAGCCCACUAGCAACAAUAACUUGUUGGGCCCAAACAUUGGCCCAAAAUGCUUAAGCCUAGUUAUUAUGUCUAGCCCAAUCAAGCUUAUAUACUCCCACAUCUAGCCCAAGAUCAUCAGACGAUGUGAGAAUUACCUCGCUAGCCCUAUCUCAGCCAAGACUUAUCUCACACUUUCGACUGGUGAACUGGCUCUGAUACCAAAUGUAACAACCCAACCCACUAGUAAUAAUAAUUCGUUAGGCCCAAACCACCGGCUUAAAAUGCUUAAGCCCACUUAUUAUUACUAGUAUCUAAGUCUCUUAUAUAUCCAAUCACAUUUCCAUUUAUAUCCGAUGUGGGAUUAUUAGGGUGUGACAUCAAGAAGUUAGGAACUUGAUUACCAAAAAAAAGGCUUGGAACCAAAUUGAACAACAGUACAAAGCUUAGAGACCAAUGAUGUAAUUAAUCCAAUAUUAUAAUCCUCCUCUAGAGUUUUAUUUUCUAUUAUUUUUUUCUGAAUUUUAAUACUAAAGAAUAGGCAAUAAAUCUUAGACGGAGGUAAAAUUGACAUGUAGCAGCUGAUCGGAUGCUCCCGACCGCUUUCUGAAAGGAGCUCCCAAGUAAAGUUUUAUCCCUGUUAGUAUUGGAUCAAAAGAAAGGGACAAAUAUUGUUUAUUUAAAACUGAUGAAAAUAAAAAUGUCAGUAUAAAAUUAAGAGCAAUGUUAUGAAAAUAACCUCAUUAGAGUGAUAAGAAUAAUUCCAUGCAUGGGGAUGUUAAUGAAUGUGAUAUCAACAAUUUUAUCUGAGUCCAAAUUAACCUGAGUAGAACGAGGUUAUCCAAUGGUAAAUGUAUAUGGUUUCAUAUACGGGUAUAAAAAAAAAAAAAAUCUGAUCAAUUCAAAUUCAAAUUCAAAUUCGGAUAUGAAUUUUGUUAGUAUCUCAUCCAGAUCACCUGAACCUGAGUGAUGAAAAUCUAAUUAAUAAUAGAUUUUGUUUGCAUUUCUAAUUCUUAAAGUUGAUAAGGUUUUAUUUGUUUUUAUGUGGAGAUUAUGAGCUUAGCUAACUCCUUAAAACUUGGAACAAACCUAACAAUUUUUUUAAAAAAUUUUGAAUCUAUAUAUAAUUCCAACAAUUUAAUGUUUUUUUCAAAUAAAAUAACUACUUGGAGUUUGUAUUAAUUUUAAUCAAUUUUUGGGCCAAAUUUUUUUAUUGGGUAAAAUUGCAUAUGUAGUCCUGAAACUUUUCUCAAAGUUUUAUUCUGAUCCUCAAACUUUUACGCACAAUAUUUGAAGUCCCAAACUCUUAUAAAUAUCUCUUUUUAGUUAUUAUUAUCCUUAUUUAUUAUUACAUAAAUAAAUAUUAUCUACACAUAUACCAUCCAUUAUCGAACCAUAAAUUCUCAUCUCAUAUUUUAAAAUUUAAAAAUUAAAUGUUUAAACUAAAAGUAUGAGAUGGACGAGGGGCCAAUGAAUCCAUUAAUAAAAAAAUGAACUAAGUUUGAACAAUAUCUUUGUUUAAUUUUUAAAAAAAUUGAAAAUUUUAGAUGCUAAAAUAUCGAAUAUAUAAGGUUGAGAACCAAAAUAAAAUCAACUAAUAUUUCAAAGACUAGUACGAAAAGUUACUCUUUAUUUUUUUUGUAGAUUACUUUAUUUGUGAAAAUUAAUAUAUACUAGUUAAGGUAUUCACGGCGGGUAGUUAAUAUUAUAUUUAAUUUAUAAUUAAUAUUAGAAAGUAUAUUUUUAGUUAAAUAACACAAUAUUAAUAAAUUGUCAUUACUUAAAAAUAUUUUUUUUUACUGCUAAAUAAAUUUCAGAAUUAGUAUUCAAACAAAAAUUCAAUAUAGAGAAGCAAAAGAGAAGGAGAAACAAAUAUUUUUUUUGUUCACAGAUAGAAUAAUAUUUGAUGAAAAUUAUAUAAUUGAGAAUAUAUAAUUAUAAAGUGUUCACGGUUCACGUCCGAAAUAAAAUAUUAUCGUUAGUUGAAGCUUAAUUCGGUUUAGAGUUUGGUGCUUAUACAAAUUAAUACAAUCAUUCAAUGUGGAGCCCUCUGUCACGCCCCGGAUUACUCGUUCCCCCAGACACACCGACAAAUCCGCCGUAUACAAAAAAAAAAUUUAUGUAUACGAAGCAAUAGCUGUACCUGUACCUGUGAUCAUAGAAAACUACAACUAGUAGUAUACAGCUGCUACCAGAAUUGAAAACAUGCAUAAAUAAAUAUCGGGUUCACCAUACAUACAAGUCUCCAACAUACAGACAUCACUCGCCCCAACGAGUAUCCAACAUCAGUAUGUACAUGAACCAAAAGUCAAAACUAUCUGUAGCUGGUACUCUUCUAGAACAGCAACAAGACUGUAAGGGAUCUAGCUCGCAACUCCCUUUCCACGAUCAAUAUCAGCGAUAGCAGCAGCCGCAGAAGAAGGCUCUACAGAAAGGGGUCAACAACUGGGUAUGAGAACUACUGCAAAAAGAAGUAGUUCUCAGUAGGUACCGCUACCGACCUCAACGGCUCACCCAUUAAAUCUACAAAAAGUAUGCUCAAGGAUAGUAAAGGAAGCUAGAAGAACUCUACAGCUACAUGCCUCUAUACUAUCGCUAACCACUACUAUGUAGAUAUGAAGAUGCACUGCCUGACCCAAUCUCACUAGGGACUGUGAACACACCCGUCCUGCCUGUCGAAGCUAGACCGACCACCACCACGCUGGAUCGUCAGUGGAGAGCGAGUCCAACCAGGACACAACGACAACAACACAAACGCACUAUGCCCGACUCCGGAAUGGCACUCGUGGGUGCUACCCAACCGAAUAUGCAAGUGUGUCUCUGCCGAGCUCAAUCAGGCUCUCACAGGCUAUAAUCAAAACAAAUGGAUCUAACUCGCCUAACAACCAAAGCUCACGUGCCNUCGUCAGUGGAGAGCGAGUCCAACCAGGACACAACGACAACAACACAAACGCACUAUGCCCGACUCCGGAAUGGCACUCGUGGGUGCUACCCAACCGAAUAUGCAAGUGUGUCUCUGCCGAGCUCAAUCAGGCUCUCACAGGCUAUAAUCAAAACAAAUGGAUCUAACUCGCCUAACAACCAAAGCUCACGUGCCCUUGGCACAAUCUGAUGCAAAUACAGAAAUUUGGGUCCACCGUCAACCGCGACGACUCCCGACAGUCCGAAACAGUCUACACACUACUGUAAAAAUAAACUCGACAUCCUAGUACGAGCGUAAACUCAUCCUACACUAAUCUAGAUAUCCACCACAUACAAACUGCGGCGAUACUAACAAACUACAGCUCUUAAAGCUAAAUCUGGUAGUUUUUAGAAAAUUACAGUGUAGAACUUAUAGUUUUCGAUCUCCUAAGUCAAUUCUAUGUCCAACAUGUAAAAUUAAACUACUAGCUUAAUUCCGAUUUCAGAUUUAAACACUAAUCCAUAAAUUCGAGUACUAGCAAGAAGAUAAACGAAUGAUACAUGUCGACAAUGCUGAAACUUAGAAGAUAUUCCGACGAUUUCGGUAAACUCCAAGCCAUCUAAAAAAACUAGUCCAACUACGGCGAGAAGUCAAGAGAAGGGAAAACACGCGCUCGCCAGACCUUCAACGGCCCAACCACGACAUCCACACACUCGAACGACUCCUCGACGCAAUGUCGACGUCGAUCCGAGCUCAAGCCAUAGCCUCCACCAAGCACACAAUUAAAUUAGAGCGAGAGAGAGAAAGGAUAAUUACCCCUUCUCAGAAGAGUUGAGUGGGCUCCUUAAAUUUUACCUUCAUAAAAUUUUCCAAAUUAGCCUUUCGGCCGGAGCGGCGCAAAAGGAUGUUUAUUUUGCAGAAAAGGACGUCAAUAAUAGUCAAAUUAUUUUUUACCUCUUUUUUUAUUUUUUGUUUUUUCCUAAUUUUGUGGCGUUUAAAUCAAUAAUAUUACGAUCUUAUCUACUACGCGCCGAGUGUAGAUCAAAUAUUUGCAGUGGUGGAGUCUAACGGUUGAAAUUCGCUUCGUGUCCGGAUGAACAGCCUGAUUAACUGCUGUGGAGGAAUUUUCUAUAUGCUGUAUCUAUAAGGAAUUAGAGAGAGUGCAAUACCAAAGAGAGAGAGAGAAGUUGUAGAUUCUCUGUAGACCUGGUGCAUAGAUAAUGGCUUUUGUGGUCGUGUUGGCAGUUGAAAUAUGUUUCUAAACAACCGAAACAAUCGGUGCGUAGAAUUUUUCUGUGCAUACGAAAAAUCUCAACUCGGAGAGCUAUGAUAGCUCCAUUGAUAUAGAUAGCACCAAGAGAAUGUACGUGUGAAUUCUCUGUAGACCUGAUUCUCAUAAACAAGUGAUUCUAUCGAUUAUCUAAUAUAUAUAUAUAGAAUCCCUUGUACUCAUAAAUUUUUAAAAGUUGAUUGAUGGGAUGUGUGGUUAGGAUGAUGGUGGUCCACACUUAGAAUGAUAGUGGUCCCCUAGGGUUGAGUGGGUAGUUGGUUGAAUAGUAUGAUCUAACGGAUGGAAAUGAUCAUGGAAUAAAUCUAGGGGCAAAAAAUUUAUGAGUAUAAGGGAACCAAUACUCAUAAAAGUAUAGUAGCUGGACUCAUAUAUAUAUAUAUAGAGUGAGGCUACUAUGCUUCUGGAAGCAUGGAGCCUUCCGUGCUUCCAGGUCGUUUUUGAUGUUGCGACUUUCGAAUCGUCGAUCGGCUCUGUUAAACUUGAUCUAGAGUAUUUGAAGAACUUAGAAAAUAAAUUUUGCAAUUUUUCGAUAUCAUUUGCCUAGUGAACUAAGGGGCUCAAAAUCAACGGCUGAAAAUAAAAAUCUAACAAAACGUGAUAAUAUGACAUUAAAAUUCUAGAUCAAAGAUAUUGAUCUUGUUUUAUAUAGUAUAAAAAAUUUUCUAUCAAAAUUUCACGUGAUUUGGAUAUUCCUACACCAUUAAACUUGCAAACGGCUCACCGCCGCCAUUAAAAUUAUUGAUUUUGAGUCCCUUCGAUCACUAGGCAAAUGAUAUCGAAAAAUUACAAAAUUUAUUUUCUAGAUACUUCAAAUACUCUAGAUCAAGUUUAAUAGAGCCGAUCGACGAUUCAAAAGUUGCAACAUCGAAAACGACCUGAAAGCACGAAAGGCUCUGUGCUUCCAGAAGCAUAGUAGCCUCACUCUAUAUAUAUAUAUAUUAUAUAUAUAUAUAUAUAUAUAUAUUAAUAUAUAUAUAUUAUAUAUAUAUAUAUAAUAUAUAUAUAUAUGCAUUUCAAAUAUUUAUGGUGGUGGAGUUUGGCGGUUGCGAUUUGUUCCGUCUCUGUAGUAUCCUUGGUUUUUGGGUUGCUUGUGGAUCUCAGCAUCUGAGGCUUGGCGACACAUCGGGAGAGUGUCGGAACAAGUCGGAGUCGUUUUGGCACGAAACGGACGCAAAAUGGACUCGAUGCGAGGCGAGAGUGGAGUUUUGACGCUGAAAUCCGCAAAGUGCAGGAUUUCAGUGUUGAGUACCGGUACGGCAUCGGGCUGGUUACAAGUACCCUGUGUGCGAGCUUGCGAGCUGAGAGGCCGAGUACCGGUAACCAAAUCGGAUACCGGUACUCCAGCUGUAAAUUGAGUUGGUGAGGGGUAUGGAGGUUAUUUGGGUUGGUGGUUAUCCACACCACCAACUCUCCCUCGUAAUUAUCCACCUGAGGGAGAGUCCUUUGUUUAAUUAUGUUCCUCUCUCUCUCAAGUGUUAAUUUUGUCCUUGGUGGAGGCCACGACAGCUUGAGCUCGGAUCGACGUCGACGUUGUGUCGGAGAGCCGUUCGAGCGUGUGGACGUUGCGGUUGCGCCGUUGGAGGCCGGACGAGCGCGUGGUUUGCUCUCAUUUCGACUUCUCGCCGUGGUUGUAUUAGCGUUUCGAGGUGGAUUGUAGUUUACUGAAAUCAUUGGAAUAUCUUCUAAGUUUUAGCAUUUGACGACAUGUAUUAUUCGUUUAUCUUCUUGCUAGUACUCAAAUUCAUGGAUUAGUGUUUAAAUCUGAAUUUGGAGUUAAGCUAAUAGUUUAAUUUUACAUGUUGAACUUGGAAUUGACAUAGGAGAAAAUAUAUAGAUCCUGCACUGUCAUUUCUGAAAAUUACCAUAUUUAACUUUAGGAGCUGUGGUUCUAUUGUAUCGUCGCUGUUAGUAUACUAUGGAUACCCAGAUUAGUGUAGGAUGAGUUUACGCUCGUGCUGGGAUGCCGAGUUUAUUUUACAGUAGUGUGUAGACUGUUCUAGAUUGUCGGGUGCUGUCGCGGUUGACGGUGGACUCAGAUUUCUGUUUCUUGUAUAAGAUUGUGCCAAGAGCACGUUAGCUUUGGUUGUUAGACCAGUUAAACUCUUUUUCUUUAAUUGUAGCCUGCGAGAGCCUAAUUAAGCUCGGCAGAGACACGCUUGCAUACUCGGUUGGGUAACGCCCACGAGUGCCACUCCGGAGUCGGGCUUUGUGCGUUCGCGUUGAUGUCGUAGAGUCCGGAUUUGACUUACUCUCCACCAAAGACCCAGCGUGGUGGUGGUUGGUAUAGCUUCGACAGGCGGGGCGGGUGCGUUCAUAGUCCCUAAUGAGAUUGGGUCAGAGAUUACAUCUUGCUUAUAUCUACUAAUAGCUAGUGUUGGUUAGCGAUAGUAUAAGGGCAUGUAGCUGUAGAGUUUUUUUAGCUUCCUUUACUAUCCUUGAGCAUACUUUCUGUAGACUUAGUGGGUGAGCCGUUGAGGUCGGUAGCGGUACCCACUGAGGACUAGUCAUUCUUGUAGUAGUUCUCACACCCAGUUGUUGACCUCUUUUUGCAGAGCCAUCGUUCGCGACUAGUGCUGUUGCUGUUUUGGAUCGUGAAAAGGGAGUCGUGAGCUAGAUCUCUUCCAAUCUUGCUGCAGUAGUAGAGGAGUGCCUCCCACAUGUAGGUUUGGGGUUUUUUUUGUAUAUAUAGUCUUAUUGUCUAGAUGCUCACUGGAGCGAGUGGUGUAGUAGACAUUUUGUAUAUACUGGAACCUUUGAGGUUAUAUAUUACUUUUCUGUUUAGUAGCUCUUACCUUGUGGUUGUAGCUUGUUUUUGUUUAAAGGUACAGCUAUUGCUUCGUAUAUAGGAAAAAAAAUUUUGUAUACGGCAGGUCUGUUGGCGUGCCCGGGGAAACUCGGUAAUCCGAGGUGUGACAGUCUCCAAAUGGACGGUCUAAUUAAUUGCUGCGCACAAAUUUUGUGUGCAUUAGGUCCGCGAAAUUUUAGCUCAGAAAGCUAUGAUAGCUCCGUUGAUUCAGAUAACACCAAGAGAAGGUACGUGCGAAUUCUCUAUGCACCUGGUGCGUAGAAAAUUCUUGUAAACCAGUGAUUCUACUGUAUAUCUAAUUUAUCUAUAUGCCUUUCAAACAUUUAUGGUGGUGGAGUUUGACUGCUGAGAUUUGUUCCGUCUUCAAAUGGACGGUCUGAUUAACCGACACGCACAAAUUUUCUGUGCAUUGAGUCUCCAGAAAAUGAAAUCUCAUCUUAAAGAGGUUUGACUAUUCCACUAAUACAGGCGCAGAUUCUCUACAGAUAUAAUAGAUAUUUGAUAAAGUUUUUCAGCUACAGGGCGGCGCAUCUCAAUCAUCGAGCGAAAGUUUGGUCAUCAUAAGGACAGUCAGAUCAAUGAGUGGAAAGAGAUUUUUUGUGCAUCGGUUCUACAAAGAAUCUACAUCUACAAAAGAUUAAAGCAGUUAGAAGAAGAUAAUUCCCCCUAUUUAUUUUUCCAUUUUAACUUUUUCCCAAAUAUAUUAUAUAUUAUAUAUAAUAUAAUGUAAUAUUCUCUCUAAGCCUACAAAACAGGGGAAAACAGAGUACAUACACAUCUCUCUACACAAGUUCAAAGUAGAGAGAGAAACAAGAGAGAGAGAGAGAGAGAGAGAGAGAGAGAGAGAGAGAGAGAGAUGAGGAGAUCAUCAACCACACUUCUCUUUGCCUUUUUCCUCUCCCUUCUUCUUCUACAGAGGCCCAUUUUUGCAUCUAAAAAGGUACAAUAACAACACCUCCUCUGUUUCUUCUCCUUUUCUUUUUUUCCUUUUGUUUUUCGUUUGGUGCUGCAUCUUCAAUAUAAAUUUUUUUUUCUUUUAAUCUCUCUUUUUUCAUUAAGGAAAAAAUAAAGUUUCUAAUUGUUAUGUUGUAGUCUUAUGUGGUGUACCUUGGAGACCACAUCCAUAGUGCAAAGGAGUCUCCUUUAGAAGAAGAAGAAGCAUACAAAAGAGCAACAGAGUCUCACUAUGAUCUCCUCUCCUCUGUUUUAGGAGAGUAAGUAGUAGCAACACAAAUUUCAUUAUCAUCUCUUUUAAAUACAAAUAAAAUAUCAUGUAUUUAUUUAUAUCUAACCACAAUGCAGCAAGGAGGAGGCCCAAGAUGCCAUAUUUUACUCCUACACAAAACACAUCAAUGGAUUCGCGGCGAUGCUCGAAGAGGAGACGGCGAACGCGAUCGCAAGUACGCAAAAAUAUAUGUAUAUAUAUAUAUAUACAUCAACAUAUCUAUCUAUCUAUCACUUUUAUGAUCAAUGCCUCAAUCUUAUGAUGAUCAUAAUAAUAAUAUUUAAUUUAUAUAUAUAUAUAUAUAUCUAUAUAUAGAGUACCCUGGGGUGGUAUCAGUGUUUCCAAAUAGAGGGCACAAGCUACACACAACAAGAUCAUGGAAAUUCAUGGGGUUGGAGAGAGAUGGUGCAGGAGCAGUUGCAGGGGACUCAUUGUGGACUAGGGCAAGGUUUGGAGAGGACACCAUUAUUGCAAACCUUGAUACUGGUAUUUUUUUUUUUUAAAUUAAUUUAUUUUAUUAUUAUAUUAUUAUUCUAACUUUUUUUUUCUCCAUUUUUUUUAUUGCUUUUUAGAGAUCAUUAUGCAUAAAAAUGCACUAGUUUUAAUUGGUUUGCAAAUUAGCUAGUUAUGUGCAUUUCAUGAUUAUUUUCUUCUUCUUCUUUUUUGGAGGUUACUGUAGAAUUGCACUAAUUUUAAUAGGUUUACAAAUUAUUUUUGUGCAUUCCAUGGUUUUUUUUUCUUUUUUUCUUUUUUUUUGAGGUCAUUAUAGAGUUGCACUAAUUUUAAUAGGUUUACAAAUUAUUCAUGUGUAUUUCAUGAUGUUUUUUUUCUUUUUUUUUUUAGGUCAUUAUAGAGUUGCACUAAUUUUAAUAGGUUUGCAAAUUAUUAUUUAUGUGUAUUUCAUAAUGUUUAUUUUUCUUUUUUUUUUUAGGUCAUUAUAGAGUUGCACUAAUUUUAAUAGAUUUACAAAUUAUUCAUGUGUAUUUCAUGAUGUUUUUUUUUUCUUAUUUUUUGUGGUCACUAUAGAGUUGCACUAAUUUUAAUAGGUUUACAAAUUAUUCAUGUGUAUUUCAUGACUUUUUUUUCUUAUUUUUUGAGGUCAUUAUAGAGUUGUACUAAUUUUAAUAAGUUUACAAAUUAUUCAUGUGUAUUUCAUGAUGUUUUUUUUUCUUAUUUUUUGAGGUCAUUAUAGAGUUGCACUAAGGGGCCGUUUGGUUAGAUGUAAUUAUAAAUGCAGUGUAGUUAGAGAUACAUGUACUUGAAAAUACAGCAGUUAAAACUACAUGAUCUUGUUUGGUUGGAUGUAGUAGAAAGCGCUGUAAGUAUAAAUAAUUUAUUUGGUUGCAUGCAGUUGAGAAAUAAUUUUUAAAAUUUUAUUAUUUUAUAUAUAUGAUGGUGAGAUUACCUCUAAUGUAAAAAAGAAAAAUAAUUUUUGUUUAAAAAUAUUGAGGAGGUAAGCAUACUUUUUAUUUAAAAUUACUCUCUCCAACCGCUGUAGUCGGAACUGCGAUCAAUUUGGGUGUAGUUUGAACUGCUGCAGUUAGACCUCCUCCUACAGUUCCUACUGCUGCAGUUGGAGUUAAAUAUAUCAAACCAAAUACGAAAUUUGCAUUUACAUGUAGUUACAAUUGCAGUGCAGUUGUUGUCACGCCCCGGAUGUCUAGUUCCCCGGGCACGCCGACAAAUCCGCCGUAUACAAAGAAAUUUUCUCUGAAUACGAAGCGACAGCUGUACCUGUAAAUCAAACGCUACUACGAACAGUAGUAGAGAGCUGCUAAAAAAAACAGAAGAUAAACAAACUGAGUUUCAUAUACAUAGUCCAAAUCCAAAAUACAGAGCUACUCGCACUGGCGAGUUAAGUCUACUAUGUACAGAAACUCGAAACAACAUCUACCUGCAGUAGGGGCACCUCUAGCUCAGCACGACGGGUAGGGCUCUAACUCGUGACGCCCUUGCCUCGAUCCUGAUCCGCGGAAGGCGCAGCAGCCGGAACCUGUGGCUCUGCAAAAUAGAGGUAACAACUGGGCGUGAGAACUACUGUAAAAACAAGUAGUCCUCAGUGGGUACCGCCCAAAACCACAUCGGUCCACCCACUAAGUCUACUGAAUGCGGAGCAAGUAGUUUCAGAGAAAGUAGAAAGUAAACUCUACCUGCGUAAUCGACUCACUACACUAUCAUGCUCUAUCACUAACCAACUGUAGUAAAAUGCUCAAACUCUGACUCGAUCAGAUCGCGGACUGUAAAGCAUACGCCGUCCCCGGGAUGUGGAUAAUUACACCCGGUCCUCGCCCACGUUGCGACUAUCAGGCUCUAUUCAGCACUAACUGGUGUCCGGGAGUAGCGAAGUCGCAAACUGGCCAUGAGCGACACCAACGCGAAAAGGCACAAGCGCUGACUCCGCGGAGUGGCACUCGUGGCGCUACCAACCGAGUAUGCAGGUAUCUCUGUUCGAGCUCGUAACAGGCUCUGAAAAGUCCCCAAAGUCAAGUAACCGACUCAAACUGGUCUAACAACCAACACGGUAUAUGUGCCGCUCCGGCACAAAUCUUGCGCCAAAAAGCGAUAGCGGUCCACGCUGCAACUCUGACGCAGCCACUAGUCGGGAACAACCGUGAAUCGAAGUCUGUAAAAAUCCACUCGGCGCGAAUCAGCCACGAGUGUAAAUGUAAUCCUAAACUACCUGGAAGGUACUCGUUCUCGAAUAAUACUGGCAGAGCAGUACAAUUUAAUAACGGCUCUAGGGCUAAAUGCAGGCAGUUUAAAACAGGAGUACAGGUCCAAAUCGACGCAGGUUUUCUACCUUAAUUCAAUUUCAACAGUCGCAACAUGUAUCAACCUACUAUAAUCUUAAUUACCACAAUUUCAUCCAAAUUCAGAUUUGCAAUCUAACAAUAUAAUCCAUGAAUCGAGCUAAAUAGAGUAUCCAAAGGUCUGAAUUUAUACAUUGCCGACGAAUAUGAACUUGGUAGUAAAAAACCGAUGUAACCCACCCUCGACAGCGCACGAAGCACGGCGGCGCGCGUCGAAACGACGAAAAUGCACGUCCUCGCCCGGCCUCCAACAGGCACAACGACGCACGCCACGCUCCAACGAGACGCUCGCAGGCGCGGAGUUACGUCGCCUUCCAAUCUCCAACUAUAGCCUCCACGAGCCUCAACUUCCAACUAGAGAGAGCAGGGGAACAUUACAAAUCACCACGUAUCCCGUCUGUAGCACAACGAUAAGCGAUGUGCAUGGGGGGUGCACCGUCGCAUCCAAGCCACCCCUCGCAUCAUCCACACGACUAAAAAAAUUUUUAAAAAAAAAAAAUAAUAAAUAAACAAGGGUACUACAUCCUCCCUCACUACAAAAGUUUUCUGUCUCGAAACUUUAAAAACAUUACUCAAGACGCAGAAAGGAACGAAGUCGGGGUAGCAACUCUCUCAAUCACCAUGCUCGGGAUCCCAGGUCAGCCUCCCGCCCUCCUCGCUGAUGACUCCACUGACACUUUCACGCUCGCGAAUCGACCUGGGCUGCGCAAUUCUUUCGUCUCACGUGCGCAAGAAGUCGUGCAGACCGGAUCGCUCCUCGUACCUCAGGUCCUCACCAAUAUCGAGUGAGUGAAGUCAAUCACGUGAGAAUAAUCAGAAAAAUAUCUCCAGCGCGAGACAUGGACACCAUCGUAGGGAUGCCAGCAAGUCGCGGGGGCUAGAGCUAUCCGGUACACGGUCCGAAUACGCUUAUACCUCGAAAGGGCAUACAAACCGUGGACUAACCUUUCACGUACUCAAGAACGGCGUAUCCUCUGUUACGGCUGAGACUAUUGAGAAAAACAUAGAUCUCAACUGAAACUUCUAACGUCUGUCUGCCUGUAUCCGGCGUAGCUUCUUUGUCGGCUCUGUGCUUCAGAAAUGGUGUCGUCGGACGACUCUCACCUUUCCUCAGCUUCAAGUAAAAUCUACCGGUCCACAUGUCACUUCCGCUCACCCAAUAUCCAAAACAGAGGGAUCGACAUCUCGCGUCCAUACAACGCCUAAACGGAGCAUCGAAUCAUUGUUGGAUAAGCUGUGUUGAUUACGCAAAACUCAACCAGUCUCACAUGUCGUACCACCAUCUCCAAAAUUCAGGGCACGCAUGGCCCUCAGAUGUCCUCUAGACUGUCUGUACUGGUCCGCUUGACGACCAUCUGCUUGUGGGUGGAACGCGUGCUAAAAAUGCAUUGACUGCCCAAAGCUGUCUGAAGACUCCUCCAAAACUGACGAUACAACCCUGUCGGGUCUCUGUCUGACCCAAUCGAACACUGGACGCCGUGCGCCUGACAUCUCAUCCAAGUAUAGCUGCCGCAAGUCUCUCAUUGGACCAGGUAGUCUGAACGGUAGGAGUGAGCAGAUUGGUCGACGUUUCCACUAUCACCGCAAAUAGCAUUCGUAACUAGCCUGCCGCUCUAGGCCAAUCAACAACGAAAAUCAUAGUGACUGUGUACUUCCCACUUGCCCACUCUGGCACAUGGCAGACUCUGAAGCUAUGCAGCAGUAUCUGUUGCUCGGCUUUCACUUGGCAAGUCAAACACUGAGCCACAUAUCUGCAACUGUCCCUCUUCAUUCCAUUCACCAAAAAACCGUGCCUUAAAGAUCCUUAUACAUUUGGUUCCUACCUGGUCGACGGGUAAUAGAGGAGAACAAUGAGCCUCUCUCAGAAUGUCCUUCUCGGAUCUCAGAAUUCACAGGCACACACGUCGGUCCCAUGACCGUCAAUACUCCGAACUUGGUCAAAGAAAAACCCUCUGCCUUGCCCGCUGUCUAGCUGCCUCUCUAAUCAUCAACAAUAGGUAGUCUCGCACUUGUUUUUCUCGGAUCUAAUCCAACAGAGUGUGGCCCUGCAACUAUAGAUGUAGCCCGCCGGUAGACCCAGGGCGUACUAUCUCGAGGGUCAGCCGCUUGUAGCUCCGAAUAGGGGUUCGUCUGUCUCAGUAAUCCGUCCAAAGCUCAGGCUCCUGCACUGGACUUCACUGCCAAUGCAUCUGCCACCACAUUCGCUCCUGCCGGAUAAUCACUGAAUACUAAUGUCAUAGCUUCAGUAACUCACACGGCGCAUUUCAGUUUCAGCUCCCUCUGUGUGAAAGAUACUGAGACUCUGUUAUGAUCGGUGAAGACCCUCGCAGUGUGCACAAUAAAAUAGAUGCCGCCGAGAGCUUCAAAGCAAAACCACACGGCGCGGCAAGCUCAAGUCAUGCUACGAUAGGUAAUUCUUCUCAAUAAUCUUUACAUGCGGUGAGCAAUAAGCAAUCACCCUACCUGCCUGCAUCAGCGCAACCAAGUCCACUGUGCGAGUUGCCAUCAUUGUAGACACAAAAUCCUUCGCCGCAUAACAAGGCAGGGUAAGGAAGAGAUCUCUCUCUAUUUGNNNNNNNNNNNNNNNNNNNNNNNNNNNNNNNNNNNNNNNNNNNNNNNNNNNNNNNNNNNNNNNNNNNNNNNNNNNNNNNNNNNNNNNNNNNNNNNNNNNNAGUGUCCCAAAUACAGUUAUAGUCUCACACUAUCUACCACUGUCUAUUGGCCUCCAAGGCAACAUCACAUAUUACUAAUAGUGAAAAAUAUGUAUGUCUUAAUAUAUUCUAUAGCUAGGUGUCAAAAUAUCACUAUUAUAUUAACUAUGUCAACAGUUCAUCUCAUAGACUAAAUAACAUAAUAUGAAUAUUGGAGUUAGUCCACCAAUUUUGAUAACACGGUAUCCACCUAUAUCCCAAAUCCAAGGAGUAGAAUGAUCGUCGGAGUAGCGAGGUGAUUUGUUGCUGCUCUCUUAGUCCGUAUGGUAGCCACAACACCCUCGAGCAGCUCGAAAAAUCUCUUAUUGAAAAUCACACAAAAUCGGCUCCUAAAACGCAUAACAAUCGGUUUAUAACUCUCAAUAUCUACAAAAAUUUAUCAAAAGAGUCCAAACGAGAAAAUAAUAAUAUUAUAAUACUAACUCCGAUAUCGAAAUGUCAAGGAAAAAAAAUCACACGUGCGCAUGCUAGGUUGGCUCGUUGCGAAAACCCUAUCUUGCUUCUUCUCCUUUCAUAACCGUACUCCCUCUUUCUCUUGAAUGCUUGCAAGUGAACGAGUGACAUGCAUAAGUUGCCAGAUGCCUAGUUGGAACACAUUACCUAUUGUACAAAAUGCUAACAUAUCCCUCACAAUUUAAGUAUUCUAACUUUAGUCCACCAUAGGCUAAAUCUUGAGUUCCUAAGUCCAUUUUCGCGUUCAUUUCAUGCCAAAAUUUCUCCAACUCAGUUAAACACUAUAAAGAAAAAAAAUACUGACUAACAAUCCAUAGUGCAACUUUUCUUAUUUGCUAAGGUUCAGUAUAUCACAUCCUCCCCCUUUUAAAAAGUUUCAUCCUCAAAGCUUAAAAUAUUCCUCAAGUUGGUUCCUCAAAUGGACAGAGAUAAGAUUCUUGUAUCGCAUUCUCAGGCGACAAAGCUAACCAAUGUGCAAUAGGUCUAGUCACUCUAAUAUCUCAAAAGGCCUAAUCAUAGACUAAGCUUUUCGGGCAUUUCAAACCUCUUCAUCCCCUUGGAUGGCGAGACCUUGAGAAAUAUAUGAUCUCCAAUCUGAAACUCUAAGUCUCGACGUCUUGUGUUAACAUAGCUCUUCUGUCGACUCUGGGUGGUCUGCAAUGGACAAUUCUGACUUUUUCUUAUGCUUUCACUAAAAUAUCUGGUCCUAGGAUUUUUCUCUCACCUACUUCACUCUAAUAUAGUGGUGACCGAUAUUUUCUUCUAAAUAAUGCUUCAAACGGAGCCAUUCUGAUACUUGUUUGAUAACUAUUAUUUUAUGAAAACUCCACCAUUAUCAAAUGUCGAUACCAUCCAACACCUACUGGAGGACACAAUCGUCCUCUUUGACUAUCCAUCAGUCUGUGGGUGAAAAGCUAUAUUAAACUAUAAUUGAGUCCCCAAAGCUGUCUGUAAAACUCUCCAGAAAUGUAUUACAAACAUCAAGUCUCGAUCUAACAUAUAGAAGUAGAAACUCCAUGCAGUCUGACAAUCUCAUCCAAACAUAUCUGAGCAAGUUUCUCUCUAGACCAUGUCACUUGAACUAGUAUGAAGUGAGCAGAUUUAGUCAAUUUGUCUAUUAUCAUCCAGAUCGCAUCAUGUCCGCCCUGAGAUCAUAGUAGUCCAACAACGAAGUCCAAAGUGAUCAUAUCCCAUUUCCAGACAAGGAUUGAAAGAUUUUGAAGCUUGCCAGAAGAAAGUCGAUGCUUUACUUUUACUUGCUGACAAGUUAAAAACUAAGCCACGAAUCUUCCAAUAUCCUCUUCAUUCCUGUCUACCAGUAGUAUGCCUUUAAAUCUUUCUACAUCUUAAUUCCUCCAAGAUGAACGGUACAAGGAGAACUGUGAGCCUCUCUCAAAAUCUCCUCACAGAGUGCUGAAUCUACUGGUACACAUAACCGAUCCUAAAACCAAAGAACUCCCAAAGCAUCAACACUAAACUCCCAUGCUUGACCACUCUCAAUAGCAGUUCAAAUCCUCGUCAGGUGUUGGUCCUCAUUAUGUCUCUCCCUGAUUCUAUCUAUCAGAGUGGGUUGUAAGGCCAAAGAUACAAGUCUCGCAGAGACCCCAAGGGAUACAACCUCAAGCUCAAGUCGCCUUAUCUCCUCUAACAAUGGCGCCUGUCUCGUGAUGCACUGAUUUACAGCUUAAUGCAUCUGCCACUAGUUAGCUUUAUCGGGGUGAUAAAGUAUUGUUAUAUUAUAACCCUUCAGUAAUUCUAAACAUUGGCGUUGUCUCAAAUUCAACUUUUUUUGAGAGAACAAAUACUUGAGUCUUUUGUAAUCGAGGAAGAUUUCACAGUAUUGUUUAUAAAGUUAAUGGUGCUAAAGUUUUAAUGCAAAAAUCACGACAGCUAACUCCAAAUGAUGAGUAGGAUAAUUUUUUUCAUAUUCUUUCAACUGUCUAGAAGCAUAGUGAUGCAGGCCGUGAUGCAGACCGAACCAGACCUGUAUCAUCGUCCGAGUUCCAGGUCUAUCAACGAAGGCGGCGCAAGUUGACACUCGAACCCGCUAUAUGGAUUUGAAGAUUAUUCUUGAUUUACUCUGUUAUUUUAAGAUUUUCUUAUUAGGAAUAUUUGUUAUAUUUUUCUUUUAGAUAAAUCUCUAGUUAAGAUUUUUUUUGGUUAUUUUCCUUUUAGAUAAAUCUCUAGUUGAGAUUUUUUCGGUUAUUCUCGGAUGUAAUUAGGAUAUAAAUAACCUACAAGGUUUUACGAAAAGGGACGAUGAGUAUUGAAUAAAAAUUUUGAACCUUUCUUGCAAAGAUUUUUUGGUGAAAGUUUUUUUCCGGAGGGUUUUCCGGUUCUGGCGAGGUCCAGAGUUUUAAUAUUUUGUUGGAUCUGAGUUCCUCUUAUAGGUUUGACCCGUCCUGCAUCACAUAGGCAAUUAUCUUAUCAUUCUACUCAAUACACAACCCAAUCCACUCCGUGAUGCCUCACUAUAAAUCACAAAUCCCUCAUCGAUAAUGAAAAGGGCAAGGAUAGAAGCUGGCAUGAAUCUACUUUUCAAUUUUUCAAAGCUCCUUUGGCAAUCCUAACUCUAAAUAUAAUUAAUUUCUUUUUGAAUAAGUUGAAUGAGGGGUGUGAAAAGUUUUGCAAAAUCUUUCACAAAUUGAUGAUAAUAACCAGGCAAUCCCAAAUAAUUCUGCACCUCAGAAACACUCAUCGGUAGGCCAAUCUCAAAUUGCUUAAAUUUACUUUGGGUCAACAACAAUCCCAGUAGCUGAAAUCACAUACCCACGAAAAGCAAUUUUUCGUAGCCAGAAGUCACACUUCUUUAGUUUGACAUAAAGUUUCUUCUCUCCCAAAAUCUGUAAUAUAAUUUCAAAUGCUUCUAAUGUUUACCUAUAUUUCGAGAGUAUAUCAAGAUAUCAUCAAUAAACAUUAUCACAAACCUAUCCAAGGGUGGCUGAAAUACCCGAUUCAUCAUAUCCAUAAACGUGGCUGGAGUAUUUGUUAAUCCAAAUAACAUUACUGUAAAUUCAUAAUAGACCCAUAUUGUGUUCUAAAUGCCGUCUUGAAAAUAUUCUCAAAUUAAUUUCAAUUGAUGAUACUCUAACUAUAAAUUUAUCUUGGAGUGCACACAAGGCCCCUGUAGUUGAUUAAAUAUAUCAUCAAUGCGCGAUAAUGGAUACUUGUUCUUAAUAGUCAUCUUGUUUAAUUCUUGAUAAUCUAUAAAUAAUCUCAGUGACCCAUCUUUCUUCUUCACAAAUAAUAUUGACGCUCCCCAAUGUGACACACUGGGUUGAAUAAAUUCUUUUUCCAACAAAUCAUGUAGUUGUGCUUUCAAUUCUAGCAAUUUUGUCAGUCAUCCUUUAAGGUGUCUUUGAGAUUGGCGCAGUUCUUAGGAUUAUGUCAAUAACAAACUCAAUUUUCCUAUAUAGCGGCAUGCUAGACAAUGCAGAGGGGAACACAUCUGGAAACUCUUGGACUAUAGGAAUGUCCUUGAGUACUGGUGGCGCCGUAGGGACUUCCAUACUGCUGCCAAAAGGGUUGCACAUCCACGGUUCAUUAACUAUUUUGCCUUUGAUGUAGAAAUCAUCGUAACAAAUAAAGUACUCUAACAACCCUAUACACAUACUCCUCCUGACCCAGCUUGUGAAAUAUCACUGUCCUAUCCCUACAAUCAAUCAUCGCAUAAUAGUGAGUAAACCAAUCCAUCCCUAAUGCAACGUCAAAGUCCUGCAACUAUCUCACGGUCAAUAUUUCUACCGGCAUAAUUCACAGCCCUAACUACACUGUACACCAUAUGCAACACUCUCCCACAUGCAAAAUAUGAUCAGAAAUAAGAACCUCAUGUACAUAUUGUAAUGUCUCUAUCUUUGAACUAUGAAAUAAUGUGAAUACUUGACUAAUAAAAGAAUGAGAUAUAGCAGUAUCAAAUAAUACUCGAGUUUUAAUGCUUUAAUCAAAAUAAUACAUGCAACCAGUUUGUCGGUUGCUGAUGCAACCUCCACCCGUGCAACGUAGACACGCCUACUCGGCACUUGGGACAGCCUUAUAGUUGAGUUUCGGGUUAAAGCUCGAUCAACAGGAAUAUAUGCUACUGGGGCUUCUGAUGUCUGUCUUGAGGUAGAAGGGGAAGAAGCUAACAAUGGGGCCGAAGUGGUACCACGGGGACACGCUGCCCAAACAUGUCCACCUGCCGACAACGAAGACAUUUGCAAGCUCGUUAAGCAUACAUAUGAGGUAAGUAUGGCCUACCACAAAUCACACAUAUCUCUCAUUAUCAUUGCUGCUGCUGUUGCUGUCCCCUAAACCUCCAUCCCACAAAGGACCCACGACCCUAGACCGAAAUCGUGAAUACUUUGUCGGUCUCCUCGAAUUAGGUUGCUCCCCACUAUUCUCUAUUGGUUUCUUCUCCUCUUUCUCCUUUUCCCAUAUCUCUGUUUACUCCUUCAUCACUGUCGCUUCCCUCUCAACCUAUAAAGCCAUAUCAAUCACCAAAUCUAAAAUCCGGAGAUGCUGUGGCUGUACUGACUGAUAAGGUUUUGGUCGCAACCUCCUCUCAAAUAAAUGUCUUAUGUCGCUCGUCCCAUGCUGCAAAGGGUACACAGUUUAGGAUCCGAACAAACUUCCUUGUAUACUCCUGUACAGACUGAUCUCCCUGUCUUAUCUUAUUUAGAUUAUCUUCAAGUUUUUCCUUUACACUGUCAGGAAAGUAGGUCCCAUAAAACAUCCCUUGAAACUCUUCCUAAGUCAGACUCUCAGAGCUAUAUUCACAGGCCCUCAACCGCCAGACAUGAGCAUUUUUCGCAAGACAAUGUAUUUUCAAGUGUACUAUAUCCCUCUUUGGAAUGUACAGAUCUCAAAAAGCUUUUUUAAAUCUCUUACCCAAGCCUCUGCCACCCACAGCUCUAUACUUUCACUAUUGAACCUGUGUGGAUCAAAUCUCAUAAACUUAGCCAAUCUCGCACGUGCCCUCUCCUACUCUGCUCUGAUACUUCUUGACUACACUCUGUCAUCACCCUAAUCAAUCUCAGUAUCUCUGUAAUAGUCCCUGUUGAAGAUACCAUUGCUCUAGGAACAUCUACUAGAACACCUAAUGGUGGAGCAUCCUAUACUAGCCUCUACUGUGAAGCACUGACUUGUUAUGCCAAUAACUCACAUAAUCUCUCCAUCAUCCCUAUCAUUCCAACCUCUCUCGAAGCUCCUGUAUCACACUAGAACCACCUUGACCCUGCUUCUCUUGUUGUACUGGGGUAGAUCUUGUAGGUGACUGUGAUCGCUACUCCAUCAUGAUCACCUGAAAUCAAAAUAUAGGUCAGUCAUACUAGAUCUCGCAACUCGACAUAAUCAAGCGAAAGUCUAGAAAGACAUCCUUUUUCCUCUGUGUUAUUAAACUGUCUGCAGCCAACAUAAUCAUCCAAAAGGAAAAGACAUAUCUCAUUCGAUCACUCUUCAACCCUCUAAGAAGAGUUUGCAUAAUUCAAUCUAAUGACUUUCGUCACAAAUCACGUCUCUCUUGUCCUAUAUCUUCGAGGUCUGUCCAGCCUAAAGUUUUCUAUGCCACAAAUUCUAGGCUCUAAUACCAACUUAAUAUGUCACGUCCUGGAUUACAGUGGAAGCCCGAGUUACAUCAACAGACAAACCGUAUGCAUAAGGAUACACCCUAUACACACAAAGCAUCAACAACCAAAAAAGUUUAGUAAAAUUUAACAUCAACAGAUAUCAGAGUAGAAUAAAAACUAUAUAGUAUAGCAACACUGUAAAUAUACAACUAUCACUGCACCAAUCCUCAAAAUGGUACAACAUCUUUGGCCACUCCAAGUCUCAAAACAUCGUACAGACUACUAUAUACACUGAUAGGUGAUCCAACUACAUAACAAGAAAGAGUAUGAGAUGCUAGCUAUCCGCUAUCUCCUUAUUUCGAUCAGUCGCUGGUGCUGAAGGCUCUGAUAUAAAACAAUAAUAAUAAGAGCGUGAGAAUUAAAAUCAAUAGUGCCCGGUGGGUAUGGUUGACAAUGUUGAUGGUUUACACCACAAGGUCUAUAAGAGGCAGAAAUAAUAAAUAACUAAGCAGCAUUAAUAAAUAGGUAAGAUAUAAAUAACUGCUGAAAAUAAUUACUCCUAUCAUGCCUCUACAAUAUAACUAAAAUUAUAUCCCCCGCAUCAAUUAGAUACUGAAUAAAGUAAUACAAUAAUACCCAAUUAUGGUGACCGCCUCAACAAUCAGGUCUAACCUGUGCCGCCUCAUGUCCAACACCCACCUAUAGUGGUCCACUAUGAUGCAGGCUACUGUCUGGUCCAUGCCAUAACAAUACCUCAUAAUCUAACCUUCAGAGUGGAAUUCGUGGGUGAUACCCCAACUGAAUAUAGUAUCACUGUCGAGCUCAAAAUAGCAUACAGACUGUAGUCAAAUACGAUAAUCGAACAAAUUAUAAUAAUAAUGCCAUAGUGUCUCAAAUACAAUUAUACUCUUACACUAUCUACCACUGUCUAUUGGCCUCCAGGACAAUAUCACAUAAUACUAACACUGAAAAAUAUACAUGUCUCAUUAUAUUCUAUAGGUAAGUGUCAAAAUACCACUAUUAUUUUAAUUAUGUCAGUAGUUUAUCUUAUAGGUUAGAUAAUAUAAUAUGGACAUAGGGAUUAGUUUGCCAAUUUUGGCGACACAUGACCCACAUAUAUCACAAAUGUAAGAAAUAGAAUGAUCGUCGGAGUCGCAAGGUGAUUCGUUGCUGCUUUCCUAGUCUGUACGGCAGCUGCAACACCCUCGAGCGACUCAAAAAAUCUCUUAUCGAAAAUCAUGUGAAAUCAACUCCUAAAAUGAAUAGAAAUCAAUUUCUAACUCUUAAUUUCUACAAAAAUUCAUCAAAAGGGUCCAAAAAUUCAUCACAAGGAUCCAAAUGAGAAAUUAAUAGUAUUUUGAUACUAACUCCAAUGUCUUUUUUUUUUAGAGAGAUAGGUAGCAUGCUACCCGCUUCGUUUAUUUCAUUUAGAAAUAAACUUAGUUAGAAAUGUGAAUCAACUAGGAUUCGAACUUGGGUCUCGGGUACCAACCACCAAGUCCUUUGCCACUUGCUCUAGGGACGGUCGGUUUACUAACUACAAUGUCGAAACGGUAAAAAAACAUCACAUGUGCGCGCGCUUGGUAGUUGGCUUGUUGCGAAAACCCAAGCUCGCUGCUUCUCCUUUCUUAACUGUACUCUCUAUGUCAAAUGCUUGCAAGUAAAGGAGGUGAUCAUGUAUAAGAAUCCAGAUGCCUAGUUGGAAUCCACUACCUAUUGUACAAAAUGCCAAUAGGUCCCUCACAAUUCAAGUAUUUUAAUUUUAGUCCACCACGAGUUAAAUUUUGAACUUCCGAGUCUAUUUUCGCGUCCAUUUCGCGCCAAAGUGUCUCCAACGUAGUCAAGCACUGUACAAAAAAUAUGCUAACUAACUGCAGUCUUUGUUUAUUUGUUAAGAUCCAGUAAAUCACAUUAUAUUUGUCUUACAUUAUUUUGGGAGGAUAUUAAAAUCUUUUAUUUUUGUUUAUUAUUUUAAAUUUUUAUUUUUUGAGUGAGAUUUCUCAUUUUUCGAGAAAGAGAUGUAUGCAAAUAUUAUAUGUAGUUUCAUUUUUUAAGACAUUUAAUAUAUAUACUUCAUAUUAUUUUGAAUGAGGGGCAAUUUGGCCACAUUUCUAAAACAAUGUCCCAAAUCUAUAAGUUCCAAAAACAUGGCCCAACUUUGCGGAAUUGCAAAACUAGUUGAUUUUUUAUUACAAAAGGCUAAUAUAUUUCUCUAUAUAUUACCUAGUGCGCAACCUUCAUUAGUUUAUUAGAUAAAACUAUAUUUUUUCUUCUAUAAAACAACCAUUGUAUUCUUCAAUGUAAAUUUUUUUAAGUAUAUUAACACCAUUUUUAUUUCUAAUAUUUUUAGACUAAGCUUUUAAUUUGUUAUUCUACACUAACACUAAAUCUUAAAUUGUAAAUUUAUUUAGAAAUUUAUUAUUUUCAAGGGGAUAAUAGUGCUAAUGGUCAAAAUUUAUGAUCAACAACUAACGAUGGUCGACCUGCAUGAAUAAAUCUUUAUAUUUUUUAGCAUUAGAGGAAUAUAUUAAUAAUAAACAAUAUCGAUUUACAAGAAUAAAUUUGCAUUUUUAGAAUUUUGUAGAAAGUUAUAUAAAAUUUUUCUCGAUUAAAUAAUACUACUACACUCUGCAGAGAGAGAGGUGGUCUUCUGUGUAGCAACUAUAUCUCAUCAUCUUUUCACAAGCUAAUCAAACCUCUCCUUUUGAGAGAUUAGUCAACAAAAAUAUUUCUUUAGAAAAUCAUGAUAGAUUGAGAACCACAGGGCUUCGUUUGGUUCGGAUAUAAAUAAGAACUAGCUUAUACCAGUGAUGGGUACAAGUUCUCUCUUUCUGUCAUGACCCCCUUCUAAAUUCUCUCUCUUUCUCUUUCUCUCUCUCUUGACAAGAUUUACAGGAUUUAUAACUCUGCAUAUAUACUUGUGAAAAAUGCCCUAAAAUAUAGCUAGGUAAAAUAAACAAAGGGUGCGUUUGGUUCGAGUUAUCCUGACAGGAUUACAGGCAAUCCUGCCAGGAUAACUGUGUUUGGUUAAUCCGCUAUGUAAUCUGGUCGUUAAUGUAGCAUUACAAAUCGAGCAGGAUUACAUCAAAAAUAUUAACGGGAGGGGGGUCGUGUAUCUUGCAUUACUGAAACCCGUUAAUACUACAUAUUAUGUAAAAUGACAAUUAUACCCUCCAACAACCCCAAAUCUAAUUAACAGUAUUAUUUUCAUCUCUCUCUCGCCUUCGUCCCGGCCCUCUCUCUCGCACGCCGCUUUCUCUCGCUCUCUCUCGACGUCUCUCUCUCUUUCUCUCUCUCGCGCACGAACACCUAUCAUCUUCUAUUGCGUCAUCCUCCCAAAUAAUUAUCACGAUCUCCUUCUCUCCAUUCGUCAUUUCCUCAAAAAACAAUAUUCAAAUGACUACAACAUAGGCAAUUUUGGAAAAAACUAUACUUUUAUGUCAGGAUUACUAAAUUUUAUAAACUGAACCAAACAUAUUAAUGCUAUAAACACUGUAAUCUAGUAUUACAUUACUGUAUUAAACCAAACGCUCUAAUGCAGCAUUAGUAGUAAUCUCACGCCGAAAUCCAACAUAUCUGGAUAUGUCGAGAUACUUUGUAAUAUUACAUAACUCGAACCAAACGAGCCCAAAGAGAGUCCUUACAAAGAUCAUUAAUUAGUCUCAUAUCCUGAUUUUAUUUCCCCUAGCGUUUACAAUAAUAGAGUCAAGGAAAGGGACAGGUGCAUGUCAGAUUAUGAAGCUAUCAUCCUUGGUUGUAACGUAAAGCUAUGAAGCUACCAUCCUUGGUUGUAUUCAAAACAAGUGCAAAGUGGGAAAGACAAGAACCACACUAGACCACAAGUUGUCCACCAAUUUCCUACCCUUAAUUAGAGUCCAAAUGGGAGAAAUUAUUCAAUGCUCCUGGUGCAUCAUGCACCGCACCUUUAAAGUCUGAUCGCAGAGACCUCAAAAUUAAAAUCUAAUUCAUUUGAUGUGUUCCACGGCACUUAAAAGGAUUAUAUACUAAAAAUGGUUGACUAUAUAUUUCUAUUAUUUGAAGUUUUGGGUCAGAAAUUAAUUAAUUAAUUAGUCGAUCACUACUAAGCAAGUUAUGAUUUAUAAUUUUAUAAAUGUAACAAUACAGUGAUCCGUUUGUGGAGGAAGCAAUGUCGCAGCGCCUCCCCGAUGGAUAUCUGAAACCCGAUUAAAGAGGAAAAAAAGAAAAGAACACAAUAUUUGUAUGUGGAAUAGUCUGUAUAUUAAUUCUCUCUAAAACUGGAAUGGUUUACAGGAGCUAGUAGGGCCCCCUAGCUAUUUAUAGCCUUCCGGCUUACAAGAAGAUAAGAACAAAAUAUUUUAAAAAUAACAACUUUAUUCUUAUUCUAACCGAAGUAGUUGAAACCACCUCGAUCUUAUCCUAAUCGAAUUAGUUGGAACCGUUUCGAUUCAUAUCUUAACCGAAUUAGUUGGAACCUCCUUGACCCAUAUCCUAACCGAAGUAGUUGGAACGGCCUCCGCCUUAUCUACAACGAUUGAGAAUUAUCCGGAUGGUUUGAUCGUCCCGGAUCAUGGCUCCCUAAUUUUGAGAGGAACCAUCACCUGCUGGAUCUAGAACUGCAAGUGAGGAAACUGAGUUUUUCCAGUUUCCCUUGUGAACCACUUAGCGGCACUUGCUUUUGACCUUUCCGUCCAUCACGGAAGGAUUCACGUUCACCUUUGCAUGUCGUCGUGAUAGCAUAUCAGCCAGUUUGUUGUAAGCGCCUUUCUUGUACUUGAUCACCAGAUUGAACUGCUGCAAGUACUUCAUCCAUUUCGUGCGACGCGUCUGUUGCAAUUUUGAUUAUAUUUGGAGGUACUGAAGCGGACGGUGGUCUGUAUGCACCACUGUCUCUUUUCUUAGGAGAUAGGACGGUGGUCUGUAUGCACCACUGUCUCUUUUCUUAGGAGAUAGACCUGCCAAUACUUCACCGUCUGGUGUAGUGCCAAGAGUUCCUUGUUAUAGGUCGGGUAGUUCUUUUGAGCUCCUUGGAACAUCUCAGAGUAAUAUGCAAUAGGUCGACCAUUUGCAUCAAGACAGCCCCAAUGGCGUAUCCCGACGCAUCCGCCUCCAACUCAAAGGGUCGUUGCAGAUUUGGUAGCGCAAGAACAGGCGCCUCGCAUAUCUUUCAUUGCAAAAGUCGGAACAUGUUCUCAUGUUUCGAACUCCAUUCGAACUUUUGGUUGGCCUUCAUUAGUGCAUGUAGAGGGGCAGCAAGGAGAGAAAAGUGUUGAAUAAACUUCCGGACAUAUUGGCAAGCGCCUAUGAAGCUCCGCACCUCCGUCACAUUUUUAGGCCUAGGCCACAACUUGAUAACCCUGACCUUAUCGGGGUCGAUCUAAAGCUCGCCGCCGCCCACCACAAACCCGAGAUACAACAGGCUUUGCUUGCCGUACUCACACAUUUUAGGGUUUAAGCGGAGUUGGUGUUCCUCGAGUAGCAUGAAGACCUUCUUGACAUGCGUCAGAUGCUCCUCCCACAAUCGACUGUAGGUGAGGAUGUCGUCGAGGUAGACGAUCACGAAAUCAUGGAGGAAGGGGCGUAGAACAUCGUUCAUUAGUCGCAUAAAAGUGGCUGGUGCAUUGCAAAGGCCGAAUGGCAUGACGAGCCAUUCAAACAAGCCUUGUUGAGUCUUGAACGCGGUCUUCCAGGUGUCAUCCUCUCGGAUUCAGACCUGAUGAUAGCCAGACUUCAGGUUUAGUUUGGUGAAGUAGCGAGCAUGCUUCAGUUGGUCCAAGAGAACAUCGAUCCGCGGUAAGGGGUAUUGGUUCUUGAUGGUGAUUUUGUUGAGAGCGUGGUAGUCGAUAAACAUUCGCCACCCGCCGUCUUUCUUUGGUACCAACAAGAUCGGGGAGCCACAGGGGGAGCUACUCGGUUUGAUAGCACCACUCUCGAGUAACUCAGUCACCUGUCGCUUUAUCUCCUCAUUCUCCACCACCGAGUUUGAUACAUGCCGAGAUUCGGUAACGGAGCGUCGCUGAUCAAUUGGAUCUCAUGUUCCACGACUGGCUUUGGUGGCAGUCCCUGUACUUCUUGAAAUAAAUCUCGAUGCUCGCCGAUCAGUUUGGCUACAUCAUCACUAUUUUUCUUGCAUGCUAGGCUUAAUAUCUUGCUAUUUGCCUCUUAAGCUAUAAUUGGCUGAAUUACAGUAAGGCAAACUUUUGACAGGCAUUGAUCAUCCUCUUAGCCUGGCAAGCGGUUACCAGAUCUACAGUUGUUGAUAAUGGCUCUGUAGUGAACAAAAUUUUUUGUCCAUCCUUAAUAAAUUGGCAUUGCUGAGGACGACGAAAGAAUGUAGCAUCACGGUCCCACAGGUAGAGACUGCCGAAGAUGAGGUUGCAAAUGUUCAACGGCACAACCUCGCACAGCAUUUCGUUGAUGUAGACGCCGGUCACCGCAAACUUUACCUUACACUAGCGAUCGAUCUUCAUCUCGAUGUUGCUGUUAAUCCACCCUAAUGGAUAUGGGUGUGGGUGUGGUGUAGUCGACAAACCUAGCCUUUGAACUAGGUUCUCCAAGAUCAAGUUCUUUUGGCUGCCGGGAUCGAUAAUGGCAUCGAUCACCUCAUUUUUGACUUGAACUCGGAAAGUGAACAACUCCUCUCUCUUAUCAGUCAGAUAUGAUGGACACCGGCUUGUCUCCUUCGGCAUAGCUAGCUAUCAGAGACAAGCUAGUGUCCGCUUGAUCAAUCCGUCCGAUUAAGGUAGGAGCAUCACUUGCCGAUCCUGCCGUUGUCGUUGUACGUUUACCAUGAUCGUCCUUCUUCUUUGGUCUUAUCUCUGGAUGGAGCUUCCAGCAUCGAUCCUUGACAUGUCCUGUGACUUUACAAUGAUCACAGUACAAAUCAGGAUCAGAGGACCCCUCUUUUUAGAGCCCUUCCUUUUGAACUUUUUUGAGCCCUCAACAGACUCUCUAGAUGGCUUCUCCUCGUGAGAUAGUUUGUUCUUUCAUUCAAUCGCCAUGGCUGUUUGACUCGCCGACGCGUUGGUGCGCUCGGAUUAACGUUACGAAAAGCCGAUGUAAAGUUAUGGCCAAAUAAGCCUAAUUUGGCUUCGUUAACUCGCAGGUAGCGAACCGGGUGUCUAAAAAUUCUAAGAAAAUCGUCGGAGCACCUAAGUAAGCCUAGAAGGUGGGUGGUGCUAUCCAAACUCGUUGAAUUUCCUUCUAUGCCUAAUGUGUCAUUCAAUUGAGCAUAUGUUAUAUGCAUCGUUGCAUGAAUCGUAGGGUAUAUGUAAUGAGAAUAAUGUAAUGUUGCAUGUUGUGAAUACAACUUGCCUAAUGAGAUGGUUGAGAACCCCUGUGAAUGUUUAACCCUAUAUGUAUGCAUGAGAUAAAAUGUGAGCACCCAACUGAGACAAAAGAACAAAGUGACACAAUGAGCAUAGAUCGAGUGGCAUUCGAAAGUAUAGCGAUGGUGCCAUUUGAGGCACUAUAUGGAUGUAAGUGUCGUUUUCCUAGUCAUUGGAGCGACGUGGGGGAGAGAACGGCUCUUGGCCCUGACGUAGUGCGAGAGGCGGAGGAGAAAGUCCGCCUUGCCCGUCAACGGUUAGCGACGGCGCAAUCUCGGCAAAAGAGUUAUGCCGACAAGCGAAGAAAAGAUUUAGAGUUCGCGGUUGGAGACCGCGUAUUUUUGAGAGUAUCGCCGAUACGAGGGGUAAAGCGGUUUUGGGUCCGCGGGAAGCUAAGUCCCUGUUAUGUCGGACCAUUUGAGAUAUUGGAGCGUGUGGGUGCGGUAGCGUACAAGCUCGCACUACCACCGAGACUCGCGGGAGUUCACAAUGUUUUCCAUGUGUCAAAUCUCCGAAAGUAUAUUCGCAACUCGACACAUGUAUUGGAGUACGAGCCCGUGGAGUUACGUGAGGAUAUGUCUUACGAGGAGUACCCGGUGUGCAUCCUCGAUUGAGAAGAAAGAAAACUGCGGAGUCGCAGAAUUCCAUAUGUGAAGGUCCAAUGAAGCAACCAUGCGGUGGCGAGAAGCCACUUAGGAGCUUGAGGAAACUAUGCGGAGAGAGUAUCCGCAUCUAUUUGAGUCGACAAGUUAAGGUAUGUAUAAUUUCGCGGACGAAAUUAUUUUAAGGGGUGGAGAAUGUAAUAUACCGAAAAUUCGAAAAAUAAAUAUCGAACUUUAGUUAAAUUGACCAAAGUGCGAGGUUGGUACACUUCGAAAAGUCCGAAGAUGUUAAAAUGAUCAAAAGUGCAUUGUGGGAGAUUUCCAAGAGCUAAAGGAUCAAAAAUUUGCAAACUGCAGUUUUGAGCUCUCGGGGACCGGUCCCUGGUGGGAGAGACCAGUCCCCGAAUGCGUGAAAAUUGAGAAGGCUGAAAAAUUUGCUAAGUCCCUGAGAUCAGGCUCUCGGGAACCGGUCCCUGCUGGGGAGAUCGGUCCCCGAGAGACCGGUCCCCCAGAGAGAGACCGGUCGCAUUGUGCGGGAGCCCUCGCUGCCCGCAGGGAGGAGCUACGGGAAUCGGUCCCUGGUCGGGGAGACCGGUCCCCGCACACGAAAUCUGCCCAGUUUGGGCAGUUUAAUAAAGUGAAAGUUAAGGGGCUUAUUUGCAAUUAUGCAUUAUAUGGGUUAUAUUGAGGGCUAAGAGGGCUUGUUCCUCUCAUUCUCUCCUUCACACUCUCUCUCUUCUCUCUCUUUCUCUCUCUAGAAGACAAGAAGGAGAAGAAAAGACAAGGAAAAGAAAGAAAAGAAAAAGGAAAAGAGGAAGAAGAAAAGGAGAAAGAAGGUGAAAAAGGAGCUAAGGAGUGAAGCUAUCUCCUCUUCUUCCCCUUCGGAGCAACAUAGGAGCAAGCUUAGAGGUAAGCUUGAACCUUAUUUAUGGUAAAACCCUAGAAUGUGAACUAGUUGACCUAAAAAUGGUUUUAGUUGAACCUAAUAAGUGUUUCAAGCUUUAUUUUGCUUGUUAAUAAGAUCAACACUAUGGGUUGGGUGUGGGUGGUGAAGCUUGAAGGAGAGCUUCAACCCCUCUCAUAGUAGAAUCCAAACUAGGGUUUGGAUUGAGCCAAAGAUGGUUUUUGUGGAGUCUUUAGAGUAGAAUGAAGCUUCUUUUGCUUCCCAAUGAGAUCAAACCCUAGGUUUGAUGUAUGCUAUAGAGCUAGGGCACCCAAAUUGGGGCUUUUGCUUGCGAGGGUUCUAAAAUAUAAUUGACCCUCUAGAAACCUAAUUGGGGAUAUUUCCGACGCGUUGGUGCGCUCGGAUUAACGUUACGAAAGUUAUGGCCAAAUAAGCCUAAUUUGGCUUCGUUAACUCGCAGGUAGCGAACCGGGUGUCUAAAAAUCCCAAGAAAAUUGUCGGAACACCUAAGUAAGCCUACAAGGUGGGUAGUGCUAUCCAAGCUCGUUGAACUUCCUUCUAUGCCUAAUGUGUGAUUCAAUUGAGCAUAUGUUAUAUACAUCGUUGCAUGCAUCGUAGGGUAUAUGUAAUGAGAAUAAUGUAAUGUUGCAUGUUGUGAAUACAACUUGCCUAAUGAGAUGGUUGAGAACCCCUGUGAAUGUUUAACCCUAUAUGUAUGCAUGAGAUAAAAUGUGAGCACCCAACUGAGACAAAAGAACAAAGUGACACAAUGAGCAUAGAUCGAGUGGCAUUCGAAAGUAUAGCGAUGGUGCCAUUUGAGGCACUAUAUGGAUGUAAGUGUCGUUUUCCUAGUCAUUGGAGCGACGUGGGGGAGAGAACGGCUCUUGGCCCUGACGUAGUGCGAGAGGCGGAGGAGAAAGUCCGCCUUGCCCGUCAACGGUUAGCGACGGCGCAAUCUCGGCAAAAGAGUUAUGCCGACAAGCGAAGAAAAGAUUUAGAGUUCGCGGUUGGAGACCGCGUAUUUUUGAGAGUAUCGCCGAUACGAGGGGUAAAGCGGUUUUGGGUCCGCGGGAAGCUAAGUCCCUGUUAUGUCGGACCAUUUGAGAUAUUGGAGCGUGUGGGUGCGGUAGCGUACAAGCUCGCACUACCACCGAGACUCGCGGGAGUUCACAAUGUUUUCCAUGUGUCAAAUCUCCGAAAGUAUAUUCGCAACUCGACACAUGUAUUGGAGUACGAGCCCGUGGAGUUACGUGAGGAUAUGUCUUACGAGGAGUACCCGGUGUGCAUCCUCGAUUGAGAAGAAAGAAAACUGCGGAGUCGCAGAAUUCCAUAUGUGAAGGUCCAAUGAAGCAACCAUGCGGUGGCGAGAAGCCACUUAGGAGCUUGAGGAAACUAUGCGGAGAGAGUAUCCGCAUCUAUUUGAGUCGACAAGUUAAGGUAUGUAUAAUUUCGCGGACGAAAUUAUUUUAAGGGGUGGAGAAUGUAAUAUACCGAAAAUUCGAAAAAUAAAUAUCGAACUUUAGUUAAAUUGACCAAAGUGCGAGGUUGGUACACUUCGAAAAGUCCGAAGAUGUUAAAAUGAUCAAAAGUGCAUUGUGGGAGAUUUCCANAAAGAACAAAGAACUUGCAUACUUGCAUGAUUUAUAUUGAGCAUAUUUAUUGCUAUUUAUUCAGGCAUAUUAGCAUCAUGAUUAUAGUUUGGUUACUAUUCUGCUUAUCCUUUCUAUUAUGCCUGAGUUAGUCCUAGUGGGAAAGUCGGUGAUGUUGGGGCCAAACCCACUGGAAACUUCGUUGUAGUUCUCACCCCACAUUCCACAGAGCCGGGGCCGAGCGAGCCGGCGAGCGACCGCGGUAAAGGUAUCGCACCUUAGUCAGAGGCCGCCCGAGUUGGGUUACUUACAUUUUGUAGUAGCAGUCCCUUUUAUCAUCUUUUGUAUUUGAUGAUUUAAGAUGUUAAUGUGAAAAAUAAGGAAAGAAAAGAAUGUAAUGUUUAUUUUGAGCAAAUGUGAUGUAAAAAGAAAUGAUGCAAGCAAUGUAAAGAAUUAUGAAUGUACAAGUUGGUUAAAUGCAAUGUAUGUGAUCAAAAGAGAAUCAUAGUACUUGUGUAGAUGUUUAGUUCCUUUCUCUCACUCAUGGCUAUUGCUUACCCUCGUAUAAGACGUUUGUGUAUGUUUCCGCUAGUGCACUUCUUGACUGAAAUAGUACAUGUGAUGAGCCUUGGGCGGACAGGAGAAACUCUGUCCGUUCGGCGACUAUUUGACGUGCUCGGGCCGGCCCAAAUUGGUAUCGGUCCCGAGGCGUGACAGAUAUCGUGGUAUCAGAGGCAAGAGUGAAAGGAUAGGAAUGGACCUAGAAAUCCUUAGGAUUGGAAACCUUAAGGAUCUAGGAAACGUGAAUGACGUGGAAUUAAAGUUAGUGAAAGCAUGUGAUUGGGUUAAGUUGGGACGUCUCUAACGUGAUUAGAGGCUAAGUUUAAUCUUCAUUUGUUUCCUACUCAUUGUUUUGUGUCGGGCGGCCGAUGACAUGAUGCUUGGGGCGAGAACAAAUGCAUAAGUUGCUUUCGCCAAAUUGGGUAUGGUCAAGUAAUGUUAGUUAUGUAGCUAAUGCGAGUUGCUUCUUUUCAGGAAGCAAUGGCACCUCGUGGUCGACUGCAGACAAGGUCGAUGCCUGAGCACCGAGUUCCUGCGGGGAGGUUGUAGAGCUUACCGAUUCUAGUAUGAAAGUGGGAGAAGAUCACUAUGGACUUCGUGAUGGGAUUGCCCUACUCACAGGCCGGGCAUGACGCUAUUUGGGUGAUCGUAGAUAGGUUGACGAAAUCGGCACAUUUCAUACCUAUCCACACUACUUGGACCGGUGAGAGACUCGUACAGGUAUAUUUGGAUGAGAUAGUGCGACUGCAUGGGGUACCUACUUCUAUAGUAACAGAUCAAGAUCCCCGUUUCGUGUCUCAUUUUUGGAGGAGUCUACAGGAUGCUUUCGGUACGUGCUUGGACUUCAGUACCGCUUUUCACCCACAGAGUGACGGUCAGUUAGAGCGCACCAUACAGACUCUUGAGGAUAUGCUCCGAGCUUGCGUAAUAGACUUCCGGGGAGGAUGGUCGCAGCAUCUACCGAUAACAGAGUUUGCUUAUAAUAAUAGUUAUCAAGCAAGCAUCAAGAUGGCACCGUUCGAGGCACUCUAUGGACGGAAGUAUAGAUCAUCACUCCACUGGAGUGAAGUAGCCGAGAGAGUGGCUUUAGGCCCUGAUGUGCUCUAGGAAGCGGAGGACAAAGUUCGCAUUGCCCGGAAGAGGCUGUUGACAGCCUAGAAUAGGCAAAAGAGUUAUGCUGACAAGCGUUGACGGAACUUGCAGUUUCAGAUUGGAGAUCACGUCUUCUUGAAAGUCUCGCCGACCCGAGGGAUUAGAAGGUUUGGAAUUCGGGGCAAGUUAAGGCCCCGAUUCAUUGGACCAUAUGAGAUUUUGGAACGUAUAGGCCCGAUAGCGUAUCGACUUGCUCUACCACCGAACCUAUCGGGUGUAUACAACGUCUUUCAUGUGUCGGUCCUUCGGAAGUACAUCCAUGAUCUGGCUCAUGUGCUUGAUGCGAUGCCAUUAGAGCCGAGGGAGGAUUUGAGUUUCGAGGAGCAGCCUGUGAGGAUCUUAGCUCGUGAGGUGAAGAGGCUGCGAAACCGCGAGAUCCCCUACGUGAAGGUUCUUUGGAGCAACCACGAGGAGCGCGAGGCCACGUGGGAGUUGGAGAGCGCACUAUAGGAGCGCUAUCCCUAUCUUUUUCAGAUGGAGACUUGAGGUACUUUGCUUUUCGAGUUUCGCAAAUGAAACUCUUUUUUAGGAGGGGUGAAUGUAACACACUGAAAUUUCGCAAAUUGUAAGGUUCGAGUGUUUAGGUUUGGUGUUCCAAGCUUUUCCCACACUUGGAGGAGGGUCGUAAACUGUUUUCCGACCAAAAAGUUCGAAAUCUGAAUUUCUGGACAAGUCCUCAGAUUUUUACUCUCAGGGAUCAAUCCUUGGUGGGAGAGACCGGUCCCCCACGACGAAGCAACCGGUCCCUGGCUGGGGAGACCGGUUCCCGAGAGCUGGUUUUGCGGGAGGGUCCCGAGGGACCGGUCCCAGCUGGGAGAGACCGGUCCCUCUGGGCGAAAACUGCCCAGUUCGGGCUGAUGCAUAGGAUGAAAAGUAAAGGGACUUUUCUGGAUUUUGUUAUAAUAGAGGGCCUAUAUGGCCAUUUCACUUCUCUCUCUCCCUCAUUUCACACUCUCUCUUGCAUCUUAGAGAGAGAAGGAGAAGAAGGAGGAAAAGGAGAAGAAGGUAAAAGAAGAAGAGCUUGUUUGAGGACUUGGAGCUUCACCCUCUCCCUCUCUUCUUCCUAUUGGUGGCUUGGAGCUUGUGCUUGGUGCUUGUGGAGGAUCAAUCUUCAACCCUAGAACACUUGGAGCUUGGAUUGGAGCUUCUAAAGAUGUUAGUUGCUUAUUCCUCCCCUCUAGGCCUAGUUUUGGUGGAUUUUAGGAGAUGAAACCCUAAAUUUGGAUUUUAGGGUUUAUUUUGGGGCUUUUUGGUUUGAGGCUUUUGGGGCUAAUCUAAUGGGAUUAGAAUCUUGGUUUAGAUUGCUUUGGAAGGGAUUUGACUUCCAUUUGAGCUUUGAUGAGGGAUUUCUUCACUAUAGGUGAGAUUUUGGCCCAUUUGUCUUGUUGGUUAUUGAUUGAGCUAGUAGUUGUUCGUUUACUUCUUGUAGCUCACUUUUUGAUGCUUCUAGGGUGUUAGGAGCUUAGUGGACAUCUUCGUUGGAGCAAACGAAGGGUUGCGCGAAGUUCGGUGGGUUUGACCUAGCCUAGCAUAUGAGAAAUUCUCAUAUCUAAUAUUUUAUGCUUCGUAAAGUAAAAAUUCAUGCAUUUCCAUGAUAAAUGUAUUUAUUGGAGAUUUUAGAAUGCUUAACAUGCCUAUGUUGUGUGUAAUGAAUUUUUGGGCCUCUAUGUAGUAGAGAACUAGCAUCUGGAACCUGUACAUGAGACCGGCAUUCCAUGUAAGGCUUGGGAUCGCGUAUCUAUAUUGAAAUUGGAAAUUAUAUCAUGCCCUUGGAUUUACGUUUAAAUGAGAAGCUACUUUAUGCUCUAGAGAGGCUUGGGAAACUCGCACUACUUGAGAAUAAUUGGGCUAAUGUCAUUAAGCGGCAUUGAGCUCGGGUCAUGUUUGAACCUAGUGUUAAAGUCAUGUUUGGAACAUAGAAUAUGAAAUGUGCUUAACUUAUAGCAAUGCUUAAGUGUCAUAAAGAGGCACUAAGCAAGGUGAGUGUUGGGACAUCACUUUGAGACAUAGAACUAGACCGUUGGGUUGCUAGUGGCUUUUACCAUGUUAGAGACAUGAUGAUUGGUUACUUGAGACGAUGACUUUGCUUGCUUGCCAUUUGUGCUCAUUCGCAUAUGCUUGUGAGGGUCGCUCCCUACAAGCCGGCACUCCGGAGUUGGCCUACGCGACUUAUGCUCGCCCGUGCGGUAUAGAGAAGCCUACGGGGUCGGGAGUGAUAGACUCAUUUCCAGAGUGAAAAUGCUGAAGCUACCACCGACACUUAGGCGGUGCUAGCCGGACUACAAUCGUGUAGGUCCUAAGACAAGAUUGAGCAUGGACAUAAACUCUUAAAUAUGAAUCACUACUACAUAAAUCAUAGUAGUUGGAUCACUUGGCAUAUUUAUAGUGUGGCUUUGAGAUUUCUGGACAUAUAGUAUACUUGAUAGAAUUGCUUUGCAUCUUAGUAUACUUGGCAGUUAUGAUGAACAUAUUCCCCUUGUAUUGGCAUAUUCACUCAUGAUAGUAUUGAUACACAUCAUGUUUACAUGUGGCGUAGUAGCAUAGCAUUUCAUACAUGCUUUCAAUUCAGCAGCUUGUUAUUGCUUAAUAUUAUCAUUACUUACUCCUUUUCUUUGGGCCUAGUGGUGCAUUGCGCUGAGGUCAGUAAUUGCCCACUGGAAACUAUAAAUUAUAGUUUUCACGCCCUCUGUUUCAUGUUUUUAUUUCAGAGCCUUCCACUCCGGGUGAGGCUAGGGACCGCGAAAAGGGAAUCGCCACGAGCUAGCUUGUGAGCGAGGGACGUUCGAUAGGUGGUCCACCUCUUCUUUGUUUUCUUUUUGGGAGAGGAUGAGAGUUGUACCUUGUAUAGAGACCACCCUUUUUGUAGUAUUUUUGUGAUGACUCUUGUACUGACUUUAUCUUUUCGUUUAGUAGUUUACUUUCCCCUUUCUCUACUUGUCGUUAGUUGUUAGCUGUUAGUAGCUUUGAUAUCUCUAGUGACUUUAUUUCUUCUUGCUUCUAUAUCUCUUUUGUUGUAGACGCCUUAUAUGUGCAGGCAUAUGGCGGGUCUGGGCACGCAUCGGGCGGGCCUAUGCCGGGUCCCGAGGCGUGAUAUUAAGUUGUCAAACAGAAACAAAACAAGAAACAUGAAAUAAGUUAUUGUGAAGGGAAACUUGAACUAAAAUAUUCAUGUAUUUUCAAUAGUCAACAUUAUGUUCUUAUAUAAACCACCAAACCCAUACAUAAGAGUGCUUUAUGAAGUGACCUUUCAAUUUAUAUAUAUUUUUUAGAUCAUAACUACCAAUUAGUUAUCGAUAUCUCUUUGAACGUUAACCGAUAUAUAGGAGUUAAAUUUAAAUAUUUAUAAUGUAAUAGUCAAUUUUGAUGGGCUCAUACUCAAAGGAACGCUAAUAAAAUGUUAGGCAUUACUUAAAAGUUAAUGGUUAACUACUGGUGACAUCAGUAUGAAAUCAUAAAUAUUUAAUUAUUAUUUUAUUUUUUUAUAUAAACAAUAUGUUUAUAUUAAUAUUUUAAUAUUAUGCUUAAUUAUAAAAUACUGAUUUUAGACCAAAUUAAGUAGAUAUAACUUUUUAAGAUUCACUUUUUAUAAGACUAAUAUGUGUUAGUAAAUAACAAAACUGAUUUUACGCCGUUGGAUUUUAAUAUGACUUUAUCAAAAAUAUCUGAUCGGUUUGAUUAAAAUCGGAUGUAACACACUGGACCUUCGCGAAUUGCAAGGUUGGAGCGUUUGAUAUGUGCUCCGAGCUCUUCCAUGCUUGGUGGAGGGUCGUAGACUGUAUUCUGUCCUAGUAGUUCGAAUUCUGAGUUUUGGCUACGUCCUGAGAGUUUAACUCUCGGGGAUUGGUCCCUGGUGGGAGAGACCAGUCCCUAGUAGCACGGGUUGCGGCAGUCGGCCGAGGCAACCGGUCCCCUGGCUAGGGAGACCGGUUCCCGAAUGCGCAGAUUGCGGGAGGGUCCUGAGGGACCGGUCCUUGGUGGGAGAGACCGGUCCCUCUGCCCGAAAUCAGCCCAGUCUGGACUAUGUGAGAGAGGUGAAGUGGAGGGGUUUUGCUGCAAUUGUUACAUCUCUUAGUGUAUGUAGAGGGGGCAGGGCUCUCUCCCUCUCUCAUUUCCCUCACUCCCUUUCCUUUCUUUCUUUCUUUUUCUCUCAAGAAGAAGAAAAAGAAGAAGAGGAAGAGGAUCAAGCUUGGAGGCCUUUGGACAUCUCCUUCUCCCUCUCUUCCCACCUUGCUGAUGCUUGAAGGCUUGGACUUGGGGCUUGUUGGAGAGGAGAUCAUCGCUCUUGGGGCUUGGUUUGGAGCUUCUUAAGAGGUUAGUUGCUCCCUUCUCCUCUCUAGACCUAGAUUUGGUGGUUUUUGGGAGAUAAAACCCUAGAAUGGAAAAUCUAGGGUUUAUUUGUGGCUUUUUGAUUUGAAGCUUUUAGAGCUAAUCUAAUUGGAUUAGAACCUUGGUUUAGGUUGCUUCGGAAGGGAUUUAGCUCCCAUUUGAGCUUUGUAGGGGGAUUUCUACACUAUAGGUGAGGCUUUGGCCUCUUUUGCCUAGAUGGUUAAUGUUUACUCUUGUGGUUGUUCGUUAGCUUCGUGUAGCUCAUUUUUUGAUGCUUCUAGGGUGCUAGGAGGCUAAUGGACACCCCCGUUGGAGCAAACGAAGGGUUGCGUAAGUUUCGGUGGGUUUGACCUAGCCAAAAAUAGGAAAAAUUUUCAUUAUUGGUGAUUUAUGUAUCGUAAAGUGAAAAAUCAUGCAUUUUCAUGCUAGAUGUAUUUAUUAUGAAUUUUAAAAUGCUUAACAUGCCUAUGUUAUGUAUAAUGAAUUUUCGGACCUCUAUGUAGUAGAGAGCUUGUACGUGGGACUUGUGCAUGAGUCUUGGCAUUCUACUUGAGACUUGGAACCUUGUUCCCUUAGCGAAAACGGAAAUUGCAUCACGCCCUUGAACAUUAUGAAAUGAGAUAUGAGCGAUUACCUUAAGCCAUAGAGAGGCUUGGGACUGGUACUAUUUGUGAACGAUUGAGCUAAUGUCAUAAAGGGGCAUUGAGCUCGGGCUAUGAAUGAACCUCGUAUUAAAGCCAUAAAGUGUCCUAGAAUGUGAAAUGUACUUGGGUUAUAGAAAUGUUUAAGUGUCAUAAAGAGGCACUAAGCACAGUGUAUGUUGGAAUUUCGCUCGAGACAUAGAACUGGAUCGUUGGGUGGCUAGUGACUAAUGCCAUGGUAGAGACAUGACGAUUGGGUACUUGAGCUAUUGAUUUUGCUUGCUUGUCAUUUGUGCUCAUUCGCACAUGCUUGUGAGGGUCGCUCCCUACAAGCCGGCACUCCGGAGUUGGCCUACGUGACUUAUGCUCGCUUGUGCGGUAUCGAGGAACCUACGGGGUCGGGAGGGAUAAACUCAUUUCCAAAGUGGGAAUGCUGGAGCUACCAUCGACACUUAGGCGGCACAAGCUGGACUACUCGUGUAGGUCCUAGAACAAGAUUUAACUUUGACACCAAAUCCUAAAAUGUGAAUCACUACUAGAUAGAUUAUAGUAGCUGGGUUACUUGACAUGCUUAUAAAGUGGCUCGGAAAUAUUGGGACACGCAGUAUACUUGAUAGUGUUACUCAUUGCAUCAUAGUAUACUUGGUUGCCGUGAAGAACAUAUUCAUCUUAUAUUAGCAUAUUCAAUCAUGAUAGCAUUGAUAUACAUCAUGUUUACUUGUGGCUUAGUAGUAUAGCAAUUCAUAUAUGCAUUCAAUUCAGCAGUUUACUAUUGUUUCCUCUUUUAUGCUUACUUUAUUUUGGGCCUAGUGGUGCAUUGUGCUGAGGUCAGUAAUUGCCCACUGGGAACUAUAAAUUAUAGUUCUCACGCCCUCUAUUCAUAUUUCUUUUUAGAGCCUUCCACUCCGGGCGAGGCUAGGGACUGUGGAAAGGGUAUCGCGUCGAGCUAGCUGGUUGGUGAGGGACGAUCGAUAGAUGAUCUACCUCUCUUUUAUUUUUUUUGGAAGAGGUUGAGAGUUGUACCCAUAUAGAGACCACCCCAUUUUGUAGUUCUUUGAGAUGAUUUGUAUCACUUUAUGUUUACCUUUAGUGAAUUGCUUUCCUUUUCUUUACUUGUCUUUAAUUUUUAGCUAUUAGUUGCUCUGAUAUUUUUAGUGGUUUUAUCUCUUCUCGCUUUUACACCUCUAUUGUUGUAGACGGCUUAUAUGUGCAGGCAUAUGGGGGGUCUAGGCACGUACCGGGCGGGUCUAUGCCGGGUCCAGGGGCGUGACAUCGGACCGGUUCACCGGUUAGAUAAUUGAACCCCCAGUUUGAGCAUCAAAGUGAUUUUUUAACUUAUCCAAUUCAAAGGGUUGAACUAAAUCCUUUUAUAGACUAAUUUACAGGAAUGUCGGUUGGACUCCGGUUAAAACUACACCUAUACUAAGGCCAACUAGAAGUUAAGGAGUAGUAUUUAAUGGGUAUUUUGGGUGUAUGGUAGUGAGGAAAACUUAGAAGUGGGUAAAUAAAUAAAUUUAAAUUAUUGACAAAAAGAAGGACCAUGACUUCAUGUGGUCAUUUGGUGUAUGGACAAAUUGGCAAUUAAUAAAAGUGAUUUUAAAAAUUAUUUAAUUAAGCCAAAGAAUGCUUUACCUAUCACUUUGCUCUCUCUCUCUCUCUCUCUCUCUCUUAUGUGUCUCUUUCUCUUAAAUGUUAGUGGCCAUAUGGAACACCACCCACAUAUCAUAUCCUUCUUUGCGCACACAUAAACCUACCAAAUCCAAUACACAACACUCAUGCACUUGCCCUUUAUUAUUUUUCUCCUUUUUUACGCCUUCCCCCCUCUCUCUCUCUCUCUCUCUCUCUCUCUCUGGCUGCUUUGGGAUACUGGAAUAGCACUCCCAAUUACUGGUUCCUGACUCUCUCUCUCUCUCUCUCUCUCUCUCUCUCUCUAGAGGCCAAAGAGGAACCCUAAAGCUGUGAUCUUUGACAAUUAGGUACACACACAGAUCCUUUCUCCCCACUUUUUUACUGGUUUUUACUUUUAUCAAGAAUCUGUGUGUUGCAUCUCCUCUCUUUCUUCUUCUUCUUCUUCUUCUUCUUCUUCCCCCAUUUUUGGAAGCUUGGAUCUGAAUUAGGGUUUUGAUGGUGAGGUGAUUUCCUGAGGGUGGCAUUGCGGAUGAUUCCUGGGGAUCUCCUCUUCUCUCGCAUUAAUGAUGGGUUUUGCUAAUUGGGUUGUCGAUUUGAUUGCUGUUUUUUGUGGAAAGGUAACAAAGGUUGGAUCUUGAUGAGACUGGUUUGAUCCCCUGUGAGUUUAUAUUGGCGAUCUACUUCUUGGUUGCUUUUGUUCUUGCAAGUUUUGGGUUAAAAUCGUGUGCAUUUGUUCAUAUUCGGGAUUUUUAUCAAUUGAUGUGGAAAAAUUGCAUGCUUUGUAGGGAUUCUUUCAAACAAUAUCUGAUUUUUAUGUUGUUUUGUGCUGAUCUAGCAAAUUACUUUCUGUCUUCUAUUAAUUUUAGUUAAUUUUGAUCUAUUAAGAUGUGAUGUGUAUGGUACAUCAUCUUAUGAAUUUGGUUUGGUCGGAAACCGAUCUCUCCGGCGUUAUUUCGUCUAGUUCUUGUAGUUGAGCAUUUUGAUGCCUCUUCUCGAUGCAUAUAAACCUAAAAGUGGCAGAUUCAGAUAUAAAAGUUUCUUUUUAAACUCGACAUACUGCUUGGUUUCAGCUUUAAUCGCGACCUCUGAAUCCGCAGGCUCUACAGUUUCUUCUAGUUGCGUUGUUUAUAAUUUUUCUUCUUGGAAAAAGAGAAGAAGAAAGUAACAUGAUAAAACUCAGCUUCUUGAACCUGUCAGAUAUCUCUAAUCUAUUGCUGAGCAGUGUACUUCACAUUUUGAUUUCCUUCUCAUUUGUUAUCGAGCAGUUUUGUGCUUUCGUCGCAGACAUCUCAUGUCCAUGGUAGGGUGAUGGGGGAAGUGAAGUUUUAUGCGUCAGAUAAGAGGGUUCUCCGUAGAAUACAUUCAACACAAUCGAUCUUGCAUUAUCAAGAGUUGUUGUGAACGUCAAACUCUUUUCCUUAAUUGAUGGCUUCUGACUCUUUGCCCGAAAUUACCUCGGAGGAUCAGUACAAUAGCCCCACCAGUAGUGAAGUAACUGAACCAGCUUCUACCGACUCUUCACUUCCACAGACUUCUGUGCCAAGCAAAUCAGAAACCACCUCAUCGACCGAUUCGCUAAAAUCUUCGCUCCUAAAUACAGAAAAACGACCAAGUAGAGAAGCAGUGCAAGAUCAAAAUGGUCAUUCAAAACAUAGUAACUCAGACCCAUCUUCUCCAAAAGGCGAUUUUGUUGGCUCAAGUGAACCCCCAAGCGUAGAAUGCAAUAAAGACCGAGAGAAGAAGAAUUCUGAGCAUGGUAGCGUCAAAAACAGCUCGGCUUCUGCUAAAGUUAGUGAUGGUACCAGCAGUUUGGAGAAGACUAGUGAGAGCGGUAAAAUAAGCGACCGUGCCGAUUUCGUCGAGAGCGGAAAGAGUAGUAUGUGCAGGGCCAGUUCUAGCAGCAAUGUGAGUGAUGAAAGCUCUUGUAGCACCAUAAGCAGCAAUAUAAGCAAACCCCACAAAGCAAAUGAUUCAAGAUGGGAAGCUAUUCAGGCGAUUAGGGCUAGAGAUGGUGUUCUUGGUCUGAGCCAUUUUAGGUUACUUAAGAGGCUUGGAUGUGGUGAUAUUGGCAGUGUGUAUCUAUCCGAAUUGAGUGGAACAAAGUGUUACUUUGCAAUGAAAGUUAUGGACAAGGGAAAUCUGGCGAGCCGUAAGAAGCUGUUUAGAGCACAAACGGAGAGGGAGAUUUUGCAAUGCCUCGAUCAUCCGUUUCUUCCGACGUUGUACACACACUUUGAGACGGAGAAGUUUUCUUGCGUGGUGAUGGAGUUUUGCCCUGGAGGAGAUUUGCAUACACUUCGGCAGAGGCAGCCUGGGAAGUACUUUUCAGAACAAGCUGUCAAGUAUGGACCUUGAUCUUUUCCUUGUUUCCUGUUAAAGAUAUUAGUGGGUUUUCAAGUCUUCAUGUCUUUUAUUUUCUAUUGAAAUAUUUUCCCAAAACUUAGCACAUUUGAAUUGUUGUCUUUGGUAUUUAUGGUACAGAGUAAUUUUAAAACAUAGAUAAUGUUCUUUAUGCUCAUGCAGUUUAUUUUAGCUCGUAAUUGUUUGAAAAUGGAAUUAUCAUAUGAUUGCCUCCUUAGUUUUACUGAGGAAAAAAAAAAUUCUUAGUGUUAGUAGAAGCCAUGGAACUUAUCAUUAGAUUGAAAACUGAGAAUUGAAAAGAUUGGUUGAUAAAUAAUGAACAAGAUUCUUGAGAAAUCGUAAUAACUUAUUGCUAGAAUAGAACUUCUAUUUAACUACUUUGAUUCUCUGCCAUGGUGAAGAGCAUAUGCCAUCUUGACUAUUUAAUUGUAUUAGCUUGCUCAUUGGUUGAUUAGAAUCCUGUUAAAGUGAGCUGUUACUAGUUUUUCUAUAUUUGCAUGUACCUGCUAUUGGCUUCUGCUGUUGUCUUUUUUGUUCAACCAGGUGAGCUUGAUUUUGUGAUGACUCAUUUGUAUUGGUCAGAAAGAUUUUUUUUUCCUUUUUAUGUAUGUGGUUUGUUACCGGCGAUGACUUGAAUAGCAUCUGCCAUUUAGUUGGUUUAAUUCAGUUACUCCACUUAUAUAAGUUUAUUACUGAAAAAGUAUGAUCAGAUUCACCCUUAGACCUUCUUGCAACUUCAGAUUGUUAAUUCCUUUAUGGCAUCUAAAUGAACAACAAUAGUUAUACUUUUUUUACUUUGGCAUUAGAGCAAUGAUACCUAGCUGUUCGAUCAUGUCUUUUGAUCUUUAGGUUACAUAGUGGCUUCUAAGAUUGAUCUUUAAAGAACACUUAAAAUGUUUUAGUCUUUCAGGCAUGGAUGGGGUGCGCAAUGUACAUCCAUGCGGGCUGCUGAUAUAUAGGAUUCCCAUCGCUGUAUGAUGGGGAUCAAAUCAUCUUCAUCGAAGUCUCAGCAGGUUUCAUUAUUUACAGGGAAUUCCACGCAAUGGCACAAACACAUAAAUCAUUUAAAAAACUUAUAAUUUGAGUAUUCUUCACUCCAAUUUCAACUCAGUUAAGCUUGAUAUCAAUUUUUGGAUCUUCUAAUUAUCACGACCAAUUAAAGUUAUUGUCACUAUAUGCUAAUUUAUUAACCAUUAUGUAUCAAAUUGCUAAAAGACAGAGGAAUCCAACAACAUUUAACUAAUAUACUAGGUAACUAAAUAACUAUAUUCAAUUACAUUCGCUGCCAUUUACUAAUUUUUAAGGACAUCAAAACUAAUCAGCAUUAGAUAAAUAACCAAGUACAUAGACACAUGUACUUUAAAUAUGAGAACCUUGAGAGGGGAAGGGGUAGUUGCCAUUCCAUGAAAGAUAUCACCCAACAAUCAAUUUGGUUUCAUCAUAGGAGAACUUGGUGUUAUUCAAGUUUUCAACAUUAUGAAUUAAGGCCAGAAUCAUGUCAUAUCAGUUGAUUUAUGUUGCAAACUUGGAGGGGAUAGUGUUUUCUCAUUUUCUUUUCUUUUCCUUUUGAUGAAUGGUCCAAAACGGGCAAAUUUCAUCGGUAGAUGAUUAAGGUAACCUUGUCUUAUAUUUGGGAGAGAAGCAAAAAUGAUAUGGCAAAUGCGCCAUACUUGUAGAAAUGUACAGAAUUGGAAGGAAAGGUAUGGUGCCAGCUACAUUGUCAGGAGAGGAUUGUAGGUACGGGUGGCAAAAUAUGGCCCUCCGGUUGACUGAUUCGGUCUGAUCCAGAAAGUAAUCGGGUACGAACAUACAAUCGUGCUGAAAAAUUGGAUUCAGCCAAAAUUUUUUGUCUGAAUAAAAAAUCGGGUCUGGGUUCAGUCCAAUAAAUCUGGACAAACAGGGUCAUAAUACCCAGAAGUCUAAUAGACUCAUAUAGAGAUUUUUCUUUUAGUCAUCUCCUAUCUCCGAGGAGAAAAUUGAGUAUGUGAUACUCAAAGAAUCUCUCUUUCCAACUUUUAGAAGUAUAGCAGGCAACUUCUCAUCUUCUUUCCAUCUUUUCAAAAUUUUUCUAUUAUUUCCCACUUUUAAACUCAUGAUUCCUUUCUUCAAUGUUUAAAACGGACUCGGUUUAAAACCGGAUCAAACUGGGUUUAGUUUCAUACGAAGUAACAGCCUAAAAUUGGGCCUGGUUUUAAACAGGCAAUCUUGUCUGAAUUAUGGAUCCGGGUCAGAUUAGGACAUAAUAGAUGCUCAUUGUUCUUACCCAUUGUCCUACCUGAUUUUGACCUGGACCUGAAUUUUUGCCACCCCUAAUUAUUAUAGAGAAUUAUGACUUGCUUUCAGUAUAGAAGUUCACUUUCUCUCUAUAGUUGUAGGGAUUUGUCAUUGUACGGUGCUUUUAAAAAAUUGUAUGAAACAUUUGUUUGACAUUGGGAACAAAUUGCUCUCUAAAUCAAAAUCUCAGGUCUUGUUUGAAAUUGGUUACUUAAUAGCUCAAAUACUUGGACCUCUUUGGUACAAGCAAAUAUUUUUGCUAAUUUAUAGAUGUGAUUAACAGUAAAAGCCAAACUUCCAAGUUGGUCCACUAUGUUUUGCGAGUUAUCUAAAUUUUGGACUAAAUUUUGUACUUUUUUCCUGGAAAAUAGUCAUAUAACCUACUGACAUGAUUUGUUAAAUCAAAAUCAGCCUAAGAUUGAGUAUAUAUUUGUCCACUAGGGAGGGGAUCUGCAACAGCUAAUCUUUACUGUAGGGAAUAUCAUUAGUUACCAUCAGAAAUAACAGUUCAUAAGAACAUGUAAAAUAACUACUGUGUAAAAGUCACAAUACUAAACACAUGAUUACUAGAAUUGAUGAAUAUAGUUAUACAGUUAUCAAAAGUUAUAAGAAGAGGUCAGAAAUGGUGUAAACCAAUGUAUCGACUUACAUGAAAUUUGGUUAGUAACGAACUAAUCUUAGGUAACAUUUUACAUUUAGGGAUUUCAUUGACUAGUUUAUGUGUAAGGUUAGCUAUGGUACGUCAUCUAGGAGAUAAUUCUUUGGAGAUAGGAGGCUUUCUGUCUCAUGGAAUGCAAGUUCAACACUUAAUGUUUUGCUGGUCUGAAAGAGUCGUAGAUCUUUGGACAUUAUGUAUAUAGUACAAAUAUGUCACAUGUCCAGACUCGCGCAUUAGUACCAAGAUGGCUAGGAAUAUUCUCAUGAACAACUGUAAUGGCUGAUAGUGCAUUCAAAGAUUAUUGUGCUGGCGUUGCCAUUUCGUAUGGAUGAUUUUUCAGUUGUACAAGAGCAGUCUUAUGAUGAGAUUGGCAAAUUUUGGAGCAUUUGUUUUACUUUGAUUUGAAUUUUAAACUUUUCAAGAUCAACAAAUUGUAUCAUCCUAUGAAUUUUAUCUCUUUGAACUUCUCAUGAUAUUUUUACCUUAAUUAGUUCACCAAAAGAAAAAGUUAUGCUGUCUUUUGCCUUAUGAUGAGAUUUAUGCCCUUUGUGACAAAAUAUUCUCGAUUCCAUUUUUUCUAUAUGUUUCAUGCUAUUAUUUAUUCCUUUGAUAGAUCAUGUUUAGAAUAUGCUGUGAAUAUUUUCUUGCUACUUUAGUCAUGUUCUUCUUGCUUCAUCUCAUUUUAGCAACAAUUGUAGUGUCUUUUUCUACCCUGUGUAGUUAGCCGUGUGUCAACGAUUAGAACUAGUCCCAUGUCUCCAUAUGGUGUUAAUUAUGUAUAUGCUGAAACAAAAGAUUUAAAUGCCGUGGCACGGGGGCAUGCUGAAAACUUGCUAUCAUGAUAUAGCAAGGUGUGUGUCAUGUCAUGCUGAUGCAAGCCGGUCACAAAAAAUACCUAUGUGCCAACACACAGUGGCAUGAAAUAUUUCUUUCGCGCCAAUAUGUUCUAAUAGCUUAUUAUAUUUUUUUAUCAAAUCUUUUGCACUUUAUUGAGGUAACUACUUGCUAAGUUCAAAGGAAAAAGGGUUUUGGCUGUGCUAUCGGUGUGGGUGCCGUAUCGUGUCAAUAUCUUGUCAGCACAAUACGAUAUGUUGGGCACAACCUGUGUUGAUGGGCAUUUAAAUCGUUGGGCUGAAAUGAUAUUUGCAACAACCCGAUCUGCUAGAACUAAUAACUUGUUGGGCCAAAACCACUGGUCCAAAAUGCUUAUGCGUAGUAACCUAGUUACUAGUUUUAGUCUGUUUGUCAUAUAUAAGCCCUAGGCAUUUUCCCACAUUAUUCGAUGUCGGACUAUUGGGUUGUCGCAUGCUCUCCCUGUUUUAGGGGUUGACAUCUUUGUUAGUCCAAUCACACACAUUGCUUAAGAUUACCAAACGAUAUGAGGCCCACUUUGCACUUCCGGCUGAUGAACUGGCUUUGAUAGCAACUAUAACGAUCCGGCACACCAGCAAUAAUAAUUCGUUGAGCUCAAAUCACUGGCGCAAAAUGCUUUAGCCCCAUUAUUAUUCUAGUGUGCUCGUCAUAUAUAAGCCCCUUACACUUUCCUACAUUAUCCGAUGUGACACUAUUGGGGUGCCACGAUAUUAAUUGUUGAUUGGUUGGCCUUUUAUGUAGAAAAGGGCUUGUAACCAAGAACGCAGUAAACAAUGGAUAAGCACUUCAGUAGUAGGCAUGACGGAAGGGGCUUGAGUGGUGUGCCUCUCUGCAUUGCAACAUUUCAAAUCCACAACCCAUCCUGGCUGUCUUAUAGUGCGCCCAGAACUUAAUAUGUAGUUAGUUUCUUGAAAAUGACCUCGUUUGAGUUCGUCUGUGACCUUACAAGUCUAUUUGGGGAAAGAUUGUUUGACAAAUAAGUUCUAUCAUAUCUUUUACUAGUUUUGUUCUAUUCUUCCAUUCCUGCUAAAACUCCUUUCUUCCAUGAGAUCUCAUUAUUGCUGCAUUAUGUUGUUUCUUUGAUCAUCCCAUAUCACCUCAAUCAAUUUUCCUGCAAGUCUCUUUGGUUGCCAUAUGUCACGGUGUCAGACAAAAAACUUUUAAGGCUAUCUUCUUCCAUUCCUUGUCUCAGCAUCCUUGGCCGUAUUAUUUAUUGUUUUAAUAUGUUGUUUCUUGCUCUUUAAAAUUCUGAUCCAUCAGCCUAAGGGGCAUAUGAAAGCAACGUAGUUUCCUGUUUCAGCUAUCUGAGCUGAAUUAUAUUAGCAAUUUGAUUGAAUCUCUUCCACCUUCAACUAAUGAUCUCAGGUAGCAGAUUGACUUCCUCUUAGUUAUUUUGAUCCGUCAAGGAUACCUCUGUUUUAUCCCUCUAUACAGAAUUGCAUUCCAUAUGCUAAGUGUUAAGCCACUUAUCUUAAUACCCUUAGAUUUCAAGUUACUGCAUAAUGCUUAAAACUGUCUUCAAUCCAAUUUUGGAUUCAUGAAUUAAAACCAUGCUACUAAUAAAUAAGAUACAUAAUGGUAUAUUUUAGUUUUGUCUGUGUAUCUCAUUAAGAUCUCAAUUCCAAAAUAAGCUUCUUCUGUGGUGCCUUUUUAACCCUAAAAAGGAAAAUGAGAAAGUAAAAGAGAAAAAAGAUGCUAUCCGCAAUACCUGAAUUCCAUUUUCAUGUUUUGGAAUUUCCUAUUCUACAGCAGCUCUGUUGCUUCUAUUACUUUCAAUUGGGUUUCUAUGUUGUCAGACAUUACUGUUGUGGUUUUUUCUCUUGCGCCUGUAAGCCUUAUCAGCUUCCAAACACACUGAUUGCAUUAGUUCAUUUCUUAAGGAAGGGAAUCUCUGCAUGAUUUUGUUAUUUUCAAUUAUCUAAAACAGGGUCCUACAGAUAUCUAAUGAAGUAACUAGUGAUGGCAAGCAACUAAGGCAUGAGGGAAUUACAAACAUCUUUGAAGUCAUCAAUUUCCCAAAUAUGGUUUCAUAGAGCAGAGCCCUAGGAUGCCAAGUGUCACGGACAAAACUUUUUCUUCGUAAAAGCCCGUGCGGCGCCCCCUUCUUGCUCGAAGAUGGGCAAGCCUUCCCCAAGUCCAAAUACGGACAAGCCUUCGAAACUUAACAGCGGAAUACCAAUCCAAGCAUUUGCCAAGCUUGCUCCUGCGCGAGACUGACAGCUCAACCAAUCGCCUGCAAUCGAACCCCUCGUCGGACUCCACGAGUUCCCCAACGAGCAACCCCAAUACUGAGGCUGGCCACCAAGCAAGGUCACUUCUCCACCAUUGUGCCUCAUGCACCCGACAGCAUCCACGGCCAUACCGCCCACUCGCGGCCUGCUCGCUCGGUCCAAUGACACACGUCAAAGCAGCCACCCAAGUGUGCGCCACAAGCUCGUCUGUCUUCCAACGCCAGCGACCAGCGCGACACCCCGCACGCCCAUGCUCCGCACAUUCGUGCUUCACAUACGACCCGUACGACACACGUGCCCUCAACGCUCCUGGCAAGGAAGCCAACAAGCCCACACCGUGCUCUUCGACUGUCCACACGACCUCGCAUUGCCAUGGCGCUCCGCGCCCUCGAUUUCCAUAGUUUCGCCACAUAAGGCCCCAUACAAACGAGCCGGCCACACACCGCGUCGCAACCCAUCUAACCCCUCCACGGCUCGACCACCUCUGGCCGCAGACUAAUGGUCCGAUCCCUCAAGGUUCACCAUACGGAUACCGAUGCUGUUUGCCUCACUGGGUUUCGUCCCUCUCGAGUCUCCAAGACCUACGCGCCUCGCGAGUCUCCUUCGACGUGCCUCCUUUUUGGCGAUCCUACAGAGAUCCAUCUCCUUAAGUCUUCGCAGGCACCGCGNCAACAAGCCCACACCGUGCUCUUCGACUGUCCACACGACCUCGCAUUGCCAUGGCGCUCCGCGCCCUCGAUUUCCAUAGUUUCGCCACAUAAGGCCCCAUACAAACGAGCCGGCCACACACCGCGUCGCAACCCAUCUAACCCCUCCACGGCUCGACCACCUCUGGCCGCAGACUAAUGGUCCGAUCCCGCGUGCUCCCCCACAGAGAUCCGAGACGGCAUAAGGUAGUGCAAGCGAACCUAGGAGCAAAGCCUCCCGGGUGCUUCCCGCUCCACAAUGUCUUCGACCUCUGUCUCAGACAUUGCCCUAGGCCCGUGACCCUUCAACCAUCCGUUGCACAGUCACACGAAACACUAGGCUUGGCUACUCCGCUAGCCAAGGGACGACCCAUGUCCUAUGAGUCGGCGGGGGAGUCGGGGCCACUCCAGCGGUGUCCACCCCUCCUCCUAUAUACCAUGCAAGACAUCCAGCCCUUUGGCACCCCGGGGGUACAAAGGUGCCCACCGAGGAGUACGUUUUGAAACCCCGCAUGCGGUACCAAAAUCCUUGCCAUGGCAUGGGCCAUUGCUAGAGAAUUGCCUCCGUAGACUUGACAGCGGCUCCAACCUGACGGAACGCUUCAACUCCGCAACUCCAUAGCUUCGUCAACUCAAUGACUACCAAAUAUGGCUCCCAAAGAGCAUCACGGUCGAGCCCUAACGAUUGACCCGUGACACAAGGCUCUGAAGGUUCUUUUUGCUGUAUCGAUCACCUUGAACAUCUCGAAAUCAUGUAGGAGGUGCAUGUAGGCUAAGAUCAAAAGAUGUGUGCAUUAUAGUGCAUGUUCUUUUCUCUAAUUUAGUUAGUAGUACUACCCAAAAAUUUCCCUCAACACAGAAAUUGCGUGGACUAAAGAGAAAGAAACAUUUUCCUUUUAUUUUUUUUUCUCUCCCUGAUGCAUGGAUUAUCUGAUGAACUGAUUGAAUCUGAAUUUAAUUAACACAUUCUUCAAGGACAUGUUACUAAUAUCACAGUAAAAUAAAGAACUAGAUUCUGUUACUAUUAAUCCCUUUGAUUACUAAGCUAUGCUAGCCUCUGCGUUGAAUUUCCUUAAUCAGUAAACAGAUCUAUAUGUUUUUUCUUUACAACAACUGUAUUCUAGUAUUUUUGGCUUGCAACAAAGGAAAUUGUUUCUGAACUGCUGAUUGCAAAUUUUGUCAUCACUGUAUAUUGUACUUUGUAUCAGAUCGUGUAUAAGCAGUCAAAUUCAUCCAGAUUCCUGUUGAGAACUUUAAUGGUCUAGAGAAAAGUAAGCUUAUAAUUCUUCUUUUUUUCUCGGUGGUCAAGUUUUGUCAAUACAUUGCAUGCGAAGAGAGCUAAUGUUAGGUUGUAAUUCAUAUGUUGAUUCAGCAUCAAUAAAAUCGACUAUUACUGUCGAUUUGUAGCAAAAGUUGAAACUGUGUAGUACUGCUGAUUAGACUUGACUAGAGUUUGCUAAAACACAUCUUCGCAAUGUAAUGUGUUCAAUUCAGAAAUAUAUGUAUGUUUAUUUAAGAAUUCUAGAUUUUUCUUGAGCUUAUUUGUAACUACUACUCUUAACACUAGAGAUACAUUACAAACGAAGCAAUGUUAGGUGGAGAGAUUGCAGUUGUUCCUGUUUACUACUGUAAAGUUUCUUUAUCUGUUAGGUGCUUUAGUUCCUUAACAGCUAUUACUUCAUUUUGCAAGCAGAAAGCAUAAUAAGAAAUUUAUAGAGUGAUUCAUGUUCUUCGGUGUGAUGCUCUUUUACAAAUUGCAGGUUCUAUGUAGCAGAGGUUCUUCUCUCCUUGGAAUACCUGCACAUGCUCGGUAUCAUCUACCGCGACCUCAAACCCGAGAAUGUCCUUGUGCGCGAGGACGGCCACAUCAUGCUGUCCGACUUUGAUCUCUCCCUUCGAUGCACCUUCAGCCCUACCCUCGUCAAAUCCUCCAACCCUGACCAGAGAAACAACAACAAUUCUAUGUACUGUGCCCAACCUGCCGCCUGCAUCGAGCCAUCCUGCAUUAUCCAACCAUCCUGUUCAGUCCCAACAACGUGCUUCUCCCCUCGCCUCUUCUCGUCCAAGUCCAAGAAAGACCGGAAGCCGAAGCCCAAGACUGAUAUAGGAAACCAAGUCAGCCCGCUCCCAGAGCUCAUCGCGGAGCCGACUGAUGCCCGGUCCAUGUCAUUCGUCGGGACCCAUGAGUACUUGGCGCCGGAGAUCAUCAAAGGGGAAGGGCAUGGAAGUGCCGUGGAUUGGUGGACCUUUGGGAUUUUUCUCUAUGAGCUUUUAUUUGGAAAAACUCCCUUCAAAGGGUCGGGCAAUCGAGCCACAUUGUUUAAUGUGGUGGGCCAGCCCCUGCGGUACCCUGAAUCGCCAGUGGUGAGCUUCGCUGCAAGGGAUCUGAUAAAAGGUUUGCUCGUGAAGGAGCCGCAGCAUCGCCUUGCCUACAAGCGUGGGGCCACAGAGAUAAAGCAGCAUCCGUUCUUCGAGGGCGUGAACUGGGCCUUGAUACGGUGCGCGACCCCGCCGGAGAUCCCAAGGCCCGUCGAAAUCAACCGGCCUAUAGGGCCUGUUGCAUCGACGAGCCAAAAGGCCACAUUAACUGUGGAGAAAGGCAACGAUAACUACCUGGAAUUCGAUUUCUUUUAGGGGAUUUGCAAUAUAUAUAUAUAUAUAUAUAUAUAUAUAUAUUGUAUUUGGGGGAAUUGUAGAGUUUCUUGUUAUUAUUUUCAUAAUGCUAAUGGGUCCCAUAUAUAGAUUGUGACAUCUGUUCGUAGAUCUACCUUUUCUAUGUUUUCUUUUUAAUUUUUUUUUUCCCCCCGAACUUUGUCUUCUUGGAUUCGAUGUCUGUAAUCAGUGAACUCUGAAUUAUCAUUUUCCUUAUUUAUGAUGGUUUUCUAUCUUCUGCAAGUCUGUAAUCAGUGAACUCUGAAUUAUCGUUUUCCUUAUUUUUGAUGGUCAUCUGUCUUCUGCCUUCUGUGGUGUCAAAAAAUCAUAAGUUUGAUUCACUGUAGGAUUUUGAAGGAUUUUGUGGUCCGCUGGUCGGAUUUUCUUCCCAUUCUGGGAUACUUCUACUUCCUGAUUUGAUUUUGAGAAAAACAGGUAGUUUGUGAUCAUAUUUUGUAAAAAAAAAAGAGGAAAAAAGAAGAUCCUUAUAGCUCUGUAUUUUGUGUUUGUAUUGUCCUUUGCAGGUAUAAGUAGUACUAGCCAGCACUGUGCAACUGAAUAUUUUUGGAAUUUUAUAUUAAUUCUGUCGUAAGGGAGUGUUUUUUAAGUAAACAGCUUUAGCUUGGUACUUUUUUGAACAGAUUUACUUGAAAUGUAUUUCUGUAAAAGCUCCAAUUGAGCCUAACAAUUUUUUCUACUUGUAUAGUUUAUUUCCUAAGCCCAGUAUUUAAGAUAACAGGUGGCAACUUUGCCCUUCACCUCCAGACUCGGAUCUAUUUCCUUCUCUAGUCUCUUCGGAAAUAAAAAUUUCCUAUCUAGCCAACUUUUAAAAAAUAUUCUUAACCUAGCAUCAUUUUUAUAGAUUAGGAAAAAAGAGAUAAAUUAAUAUCUUUUUAAUAUAUAUUAAUAUGUUAAGUGGGUGGAGAUUAAUUUUUUCUCUCUCCUCUCCUAUUUCCCGAGAUUCCUUCUCACUCUCUUUCUCUCUCCUCCCCAACCCCAAACAACUCCUACCCUCUUCUCCUCCCUCUCUCCUCUCUUCUCCUCUUUGGGAGGGACCCCUCCCCCUUAGCCGCAGUAAGGGGUUGGGUAAUCCCCCAGCUCGCCGUUCGGAAAGCCAGCCCUUUCGUGUUCGCUUGAAAUGAGCUUCGAGAUUCGAAUCCGCCUUCGUUUUAGUAAUACGAUUUCGAAAUAUGAAGGCCCUUGAAAAUUUUUUUCGGCCCUCGUUUAUAAACAAGCCGAACAACGAGCUGGGUUUAGCUCGCUCGUGUUUCGGCCUCGAUAACCAGCUCCGAAUGGCAUAUAUUUUUAAUUUAAUUUUUAUAAUAAUUUUAAUUUUUAAUUUAAAUUUUUUAUAUACUAUAUACAUAAAUUAAUUUAUAUAUAUAUAAAUAUAAUAUAUAUAUAAAUAUUUUUAUUAAUUAAAUUUUAAGUAAAAUAAAAAUAUAAUUGGAGCUUCAAAUUUUAAAAAGAAACCCCAUUUUAUAUAAUAAAUUUUUUUGUUCAAACUGUUAGAUCAAAAUCUAAUGAUAAGAAAAUUUUUUAUAAAUUUAUAUAUAUUAUCUAGUCUUUUUUUUUAACUAAAAUUUUUGUUUCUUGGCUAAGCUCGUAAGCUAAGCCUCCGUGUUCCCCGGCUUGUUUUAAUUAAUGAGUCCGAAACAGAAGCCUGAAAUUUUUCGGCUCGAUACUUUAACGAGCCAACUCGUGUUCGGCUCGGUUACACCCCUACCUAGCAGCACCCUUUCUUCUCUCUCCCCACCAACACACAGAUGUGUGUACACACACUCCCCCCCCAACUCUCUCUCCCUCAUCAAUAUUUAAUAAUAAUUAAAUUUUAUUAUAAUAUUAAUAAAAAAUUAUUUAUUAAUAAUAAUAAAUAGUAUUAUUACUAAAUUAUAAUUUUUUAUUAUUACUACUAUUAUUAUUACUAGUACUUAAUUUGACUAUAUAUAUAUGACAUUAUUAAACAUCCGAUAAAAAUACACACUCAAAAUAUAAUAUGAUUAUAUAUUACAUAAAAAUAAAGGUGAUAUAACUAUACAUUAGAUAUGAUAUAAAGUUGAUUAUAGUUGACAUAUGACUUGACUACACAUGUGAUAUGAUAUAAGAAUUAUAUGAAUAUACAUUAUAUAAAAAUAAAGGUGAUAUAACUACACAUUAGAUAUGAUAUAAAGUUGACUACAUUUAUAUAAAAUUUGACUUGACUACACACUGAUUUAAUUAUAGAACUGACAUGACUAUAUUUAAUAUAAAGUUGAUUAUUUUAAAAUUAAUUAUAGAACCGACAUGACUAUAUUUGAUAUAAAGUUGAUUAUUUUGAGAUAACAUUUGAUUUGACUACACAUUUGAUAUGAAAUAAGAAUAAUACGAUUAUACAUUACGCAAAAAUAAAAGUGAUACAACAAUACAUUAGAUAUGAUAUAAAGUUGACUAUACUUAAUAUAAAAUUUGAUUUGACUACACACUGGAUUUGAUCGUAGAACUGACAUGACUAUAUUUGAUAUAAAGUUGAUUAUUUUGAAAUAAUAUUUGACUUAGACUACACAUUUGAUAUGAAAUAAGAAUAAUACGACUAUAAAUUAUGCAAAAAUAAAAGUGAUAUAACUAUACAUUAGAUAUGAUGUAAAGUUGACUAUACCUGAUAUAAAAUUUAGCUUGAUUGCAUACUGGAUUUAAUCAUAGAACUGACAUGACUAUAAUUGGUAUAAAGUUGAUUAUUUUGAGAUAACAUUUGACUUAACUACAUAUUUGAUAUGAAAUAAGAAUAAUACGACUAUACAUUAUUCAAAAAUAAAAGUGAUAUAACUAUACAUUAGAUAUGAUAUAAAGUUGACUAUACUUGAUAUAAAAUUUAACUUGACUACACACUGGAUUUAAUCAUAGUUGACUAUACUUGAUAUAAAGUUUGAUUUGACUACACACUGGAUUUGAUCGUAGAACUGACAUGACUAUAUUUGAUAUAACGUUGAAUAUUUUGAAAUAACAUUUGACUUAGACUAUACAUUUGAUAUAAAAUAAGAAUAAUACAACUAUACAUUAUGUAAAAAUAAAAGUGAUAUAACUAUACAUUAUAUAUGAUAUAAAGUUAACUAUACCUGAUAUAAAAUAUAACUUGACUGCACACUUGAUUUAAUCAUAGAACUAACAUGACUAUAUUUGAUAUAAAGUUGAUUAUUUUGAAAUAACAUUUGACUUGAUUAUACAUUUGAUAUGAAAUAAGAAUAAUACGACUAUACAUUAUGCAAAAAUAAAAGUGAUAUAACUAUACAUUAGAUAUGAUAUAAAGUUGACUAUACUUGAUAUAAAAUUUAACUUGACUAUACACUGGAUUUAAUUAUAGAAUGACAUGACUAUAUUUGAUAUAAAGUUGAUUAUUUUGAAAAAACAUUUGACUUGACUACACAUUUGAUAUGAAAUAAGGAUAAUACGACUAUACAUUAUGCAAAAAUAAAAGUGAUAUAACUAUACAUUAGAUAUGAUAUAAAGUUGACUAUACUUGAUAUAAAAUUUGACUUGACUAGACACUUGAUUUGAUCAUAGAACUGACAUGAUUAUAUUUACAUAAAGUUGACUACACUUGAUAUAAAUUUAAAUUGACUACACAAUUGACAUGAUUGUAGAGCUGAUAUGGCUAUACAUUGCAUAAAACUCUAGAAAUACUAUGACUAUAACUUAUUUUAAUAUUUAAAAAAUUAAACUUCGCUAUAAAUAGUUGAACUUUGUUAAUUCCAACCUCACUCUCAUUCUUCCCUUCUUGAUACACUAUAGAUCGAUAUACUCAUUUCUCUUCCACUUCUCUAAUUUUCAUUACAUAUCUUAUUUAUAUAAUCUAAAGGGUUUCAAAAGUACUAUUUGCUCUAGAUUAGAUUCGUGAAGACCAUUUGUGCUUUUCAGAAAUUUCCUAAGAAGAUCUUUUCUACACAUUUGGUAUUAUUUUGUUGGUAUGUUUUUUAAUUUCAUAAUUUAUUUUUAAAUAAAUUAUGCUAAUUUUUGGGUACAAUUUAUCUUAUAUCGAUUUAUUUCAAAAUAGAAAAUUUUCAUAUGGCGCAUCUACCAAUUCCAAUCUUCUUAUAUUUUGAUGGAAAUAUUGUGCAUGGUCCCGAAGGAGUUGAUUAUAGUGGUCCUGAUCCAAAAACUAUUUGGAUUUCUCGUGCUUCAAGUUUUAAUGCAUUAAAAUAUGGAAUUUAUAUAUAGGCAAUCCGAAUGGGAUCAAGAUUGUUUUAAUAUAAAAAUUAAUGGGAGAUAUCAGGUUGGUGGGAGAAAUAGACUUUAUUUCAUGCUCAUUCCUAUCAUCGAUGACUCUUCUUUGCAUGGCUUUAUUGUAACGAUUCAAACAAAACAUGCGUGCAGGAGUGCUGUCCAACUAUAUCUUGAGAAAAUUAGCAAGACGCACUGAGGUAGGAAAGGAAAUAUUUAAACAUGUUUUUUGGGCAUUUGGCGCAUCAAUUGAAGGUUUUAAAUAUUGUAGACCGGUGAUUAGUUGUGAGGACUGAGAUUUUUGCGGGGCAGAUAAAUCCUUUGUUGAUGAUGUUUUUGUGUGAAAUUUAAUUACAUAAACAUUCGUCAAGUUUCAGAAGAAAACGAUUUAGGAUGGCACUACUAUAGGUACAAGAUUUAGUGGCGACAAAUGUCGCCACCAUUGCCAAAAUUGUCGUCACGAAAAACGUUUUGGCAGAGACAAUUUGUCGCUGCAUGCCGCCGCCUAAAACCCCGUCAGUAAAACUAUUUGGUGGCAACAAUUUGUCGCCACGAAAAGUUAGAUAAUUAGCGGCGACAUACGGUCGCCACGAAAAGUUAGAUAAUUAGCGGCGACAUGGUGUCGCCGCUAAAACCCCGUCGAACCCGGACCGGAAUAUUUGGUGGCGACAAUUUGUCGCCGCUAAAAGUUAGAUAAUUAGGGGCGACAUACUGUCGCCGCGAAGUUUUAUGGUGGCGACUAUUGUCGCCACCAUUUUUCUGAUAUAAAAUUAAGUUUUUUUAAAAAAUAAUUGAUAGUAAUAGAUAUUAUUGAUUUAGUAUAAAUUGCUAAAAAAUAACCUAUAGUUAUAAAAAUUUCUCAUUCUUAAAUUUUAACCUUUAAUUUCAAUUUAAUCCUCUCAAAACCAAAUUAAACCCAAGCACUAUGGCUCAAACACCUUUUAACCAAUAUAUAUUAGAUAUACCUACACUUGAAAAACAUACCUACACUAGAGAUGAACCUCAAUUUGAACAAGUAAUGAUCCAAGAAAAGAAAACGUCGAUACUAUUGCCGAAAGGAAUAGCAUGUAUUGGCAACAUUAUGAUAACUUCUUCCUAAACUACACCUCUUUCAGCAUCAUUCACGUAAUGCACUUUGUCAAAAUAUAACCUGUUCACUUAAUACAAACUAAGAUCAAAAGAGCAAAUUCCUUCACUUUUAAAGUCUUAAAAGCUACUGGGCUAACAGCAGAAAUUCCAGUAAUAGUCAAAUAACAUACCCAUUCAAUGUUGCGAAUAAUAUCAGCACCUCGGUAAAGCAUCAACCUUAAAGUGAAUACUAACUCCGGUUUUCCGGAGAGGCCAAUUAGUGGAGAUGGUUUCUGGUGCGUAUUGGACUCCGUUCAUAGUGAUCCAAUAGCUCGUUUUCGAUGGUUCGACUAUCCUGGACCCAAUGGAACUGGCAGAAUUGGGUUUUAAUGCACGGUUUUCAAGAAAAAGGGGGUUUAAUGGAUUUACACAUAUAUAUAUAUAUAUAUGUGUGGUUUUGGGAGAAAUUGGAGGGUGGAUGGGUUUCAUCGCAAAUUGUCGAUCAUACCGGGUGAAACAAAAUUGUGAAUUCGUUGCCCCAAUCGUGCUGAACGCGCUAGCGCGAUCCAAUCGAAAAUCUGACUGACAAAUCUCCAGGAAUCGCAUAAAGUUCGCUGAGGGGCCGAAAUUGGCAAAACAGAAAAUCUACGAAAAAGCCCAAUAUUUUAUGUACCGUUUCGUGCGAUUUUGAACGUCGAGGUGCGUACGUGCGAAAUACACGCGCUGGGAGGGACAUGGCUGAAAACAUUCAUCUUUGGAGGACUCCUCUGCAAAACGACACCUAGUAUAUAAGUAGGUGUUAGGGUUUCAUGCACCCUAGUAGCCACCUAGCUGAGCUGGCCCUCUAGCCAUCACCAGCACCCCCUCCCGCCCUAGCCGAGCUCACACCCCGGCUGCCAACGAGCGACUGCGGCAGUCGAAAAAGUCAGGUUUGCUUCUCCUCCACAAUCCUCUCCACCAAACCACCUCCUCAUCUCUGCCGUGGACCACCCAGGAUCAUCCACAGCCUUGGGCCCCCUCCCUCGGCCGUGGCCUGACCUCCGGCGCUGUCCCCGCCGACCCCCGCCGUCUGCACGCACCGUUGUCACCGCCUGGGCGACCCGCGGCCAGCUAAGGUCUGCUCGGGCCGAGCGCCGCCGCAGCCCUCCUGGGACCCUCCGCAUGCCGUCGUCGCCGUCCCUGCGAGUCACCGACCGCCGCCUAGCUCCCUGCGGCCGCCCAGACUCAGCGCGGGCCGAGCCUGGGUCUGCACCGUCCCUGCGCGCCGCCGCCACCCUCGGUCGGCGGCGUCGCCCUCCCUCGGCCUCCGACGUCAGGUCACCGUCGCCCCGGCGCUCCCCUAGCCGUCGCUCGACCGCCGUUGCUCCUUGAGCUCAAGCUGAGCCACACGGGCUCGUGCCGCUCCAUCGCGCCACCGGUCGCCUCCCGUCGCCGGACAGCGCGUGCCCAGGCCCCCUCCGACCGGCCGCAACCUCCCCCUGCCGGCGCGGCCGCUGUCCGGCGACGCCCCUCCCCCUACUGGUUCUGGUAAGCUUAAAUUAGUGAUUUCUGCACACUGUUUCGGGUUUCGGUCGCUAUUCCGGCGAUCCGAGGGUACCCGGACACUCCCGGAAGUGAGCAUGAUGAUCCCUGAUUUGUGCCGAACAUUGUGCUCACCUCUUUUGGGGUCAGCGAAGCCCCAAUUUGCGUGCUAAGCACUGUUUAGGCACUGUGUGCGCUGUUCGCUGAAGUUCGCGUCGCUCCUGAGCUCUCCACAGUGGUCGGCCAAGCUCCGAAGCGCGAGCACGGCCUCCGGCACAUCAAGACCUGUCAGCGGGUGUCUCGGCUAGGCUCGAAUGUCUUCGGUUUGUGCUGUCGAGCUGUAAAACCCUAUAAAAUCACAUAAAAUGAUGUGAUUUUAUGUAGUCGGAGGGGCUUAUUUGCAAAUACAUUUCGUGGCUGCUGUGGGCAGUGUGUGCAGGCAGCGGGUGACCUCUGGACUGGUUGUCCAAGGUCCCAGGCCUUUUCGAAAAUCGGAUGUAGAUUUUCGAUGCGUUUUUGCGAUGAAAUCCGCUGACGGAAUGCGAUUUCGGUUCGAAAUUCUUCCGACGAUGCCUCACGGUAUAUUAUGUUGUCGCUGAGACUUGUUGGCUUGUCACCCACAUCGUUUCUAGGGUUUGAAAAUGACGGGUGAGCGACGGUGGGUUCCGGUGUCGAAAUUGACACUUUCGGGAACUGGAAUCGGAAUAAUUAUCCGACGAUAAUUGUUUCGAUGUGAGGAUAUGUGUUUACUGCCAAGUCACACAAAUUAUUGUGUUCAGUGGCAGCAGGUAACUCGUGGCACGAGUCGGUGAGUUCUGGGACAGUUCGUGGGUUCCGGCGGAGUCCCGGUGCAAUUUUCGGGACUUCAUGCGAGUUACGGUAAUCGAUUUUGGAAAAUCGAUUCUCGUGGGGUUUACUGGUGGGGAUUGUGAGUUAGUGGUUCAUAUUCGUGGGUUGGAUUCUAACCUGGUGGACCCUUCGUAGGUCCAGUUGAUGUUCUUCCACAGUCGGGAGACCAGUGCUACGUACAUACAGGUGGGUACUUCGACCCGAAGUCGGUACAGUGGUGUACGCUCGGUGACAUAUUCUUACCCCUUUUUUCUGUUAUUAUCCUGUAUAUACGUUAUGUUGAGCCUAGCACCUUUGUUAUUCCUGGUAUGCUCUACUUGGUUGUUUUCAUGUCUAGCAUCAUGAGUAGGAGUAGAGCAGGUUUAUGAUUACAUGUGACAUUCGUGACCUAGUCGGUCAGUUUUUGUAUCUCGUACUGUGACUGGCCUAUUCAGUCGAUUCACUGCAUCUGUUAUUGUGAUCUACUUGGUCGGUUAGACUACUUGGUGACCUUCACGGUCAGUAUACCCUGAGGGGUUGGAUUGUCGGCUAGUUGCCGAUGUUUGGCUAUUGAGCAUAUCAGCAUUGAUCGCCACUGCUAGUAGGCAAUUCACGAACACCAACGGUCUGAUCCACCGCAAGAGGGUGUUCUUUUCCGGAAAAGUGGUUGGGAAUGCCAACCCGUGAGUCCAAGAGUUUAUGUUGGGGUUAUAUACUUUCACACCUAAGAGCUUAUGCUGGGGUCAUUUAUAGAUUAGAGCAAGUGUGGCACAGGCUUGAGGUGUGUAAAUCAACAUGGCAGAUUUCUAAUUGGACUAGUCGUCCAGUUGAUACAUGCAUAUAGUAGCAGUAGUGAUUUAUAUAUAUGUCCCAUUUCUUUGUUUAUUAUUGUUACUGUAUUACCGUUAUCUAUAGCUUUGUUUAUCCUCCUUGACUGAUGAGUACCCCUCGCCCUUGUCGGCUUGCGGUACCUUUUUGGGAAGGCCCCUUACUUUACCUCUGGGGGUAGGAAAAUCAUGAUCGGGAUAGCGGACGCAAAGCUAUUGAACUUGGGUAUGGUCUUUUGUUGAUAUGGAUCACCCCUUCUUCUUGCGCCAAAGAUCUUACCAUUUCCGAAGGAACUGGAGCUACAUUUCUUUUCAAUUUCCAUUCAAGAGUUCCUAUGUGUUUCCACGCCCUUUUUUUGAGACCUCGAAAAAUGAAAUGGACAAAUUCCUUUUCUUAGGAACACAUACAAGAAAAAGGAUAAUGUAACCCUACCAUUAACUACUUCAUUUUCAUUUAUGAAUUUCAUAGUAAUAGAAAUACAUGUCCUAGCGAGACAGAAUUUGUAACUUGCUAUCUCUUUUGACUUUGGAAUAAAUUCUCUUUAUCAAUAUACUGUUUCUUCUACACAUCCGCCUACAAUCCAUAAUAAAGAAUAAUUAGGAUUCUGAAAAAAAAAGAAAAAAUCAAUGGUUCACUCACAGGAGAACCCACUCUUUCCCGCAUUAGGCACUAAUUCAUUUUUAACGUCUAAUUAGAUCGGGUAAUCAUUCCAAUUAAGAACAUAAGCUCGUUGCUUUUUAUUUUACCAAAAUUGGAGCCAUAGAGCUCUAUCCAUUUAUUCACUAGACCCAAUUUGUCCCCUUCCUAAAAUCAAAACAAUCUUUUGGAACUGUAACGAUCCGGUAAGGAUAAACUCAAAGUUCUACUUUAACUUUGACUUUCAUUUCAAAUUAAAUAAAUUAAUAAAAUCAAAAUUAAAUAAAAUANGGUUUUUACGAUCCGAUAAAGAAUCAAACUUAUUUAAACGUGGAAGGGGAGACAUGUGUACAUGUUCUCACCCCCCACCCUCUUUCAGGUGACGUCGCAGGUCCGAGUGGGGACGAUUCGUGAGGCAUGCAGCUUAGCAUUCGAUAUAGUUAUCGGCCCGUCGUUUAGUUAAAUUCUCAAACUCGUCUUUUAAAUAAUAAUUGACUUAGUAUUUAUGGUUCAGUGGUUUCCUUUAUUUGAAUAAUUGAGAUUUUGUGAAUGUAAUAAAGGAUUUAUGGAUUUCUUACGAAAUAGAAAUGGUUUUCUACCCCUCGUGGUAGCGCGUUUUUAAAGAAAAAAGUUUCCGGGUGGGAAACGGUUUUAAAAAGAUUUCUUGGUUUCAUGACUUAGUGUUUCAAAAUGGGUUUCCGGGUAGGAAACAUUUUAAACUAAUAGAUGUGGAUAUAUGAAUAUUUGUGAUGAAAUGAAUGUGGAUGUGAAUGGUGAAUGUAUAUGGAUAUGCAUAUGUGUGUGGUUGUAUCUUGUACUUGUGCGAACCGUGCAAAUAUAGGGGAGACUCUGUCUGUGUGAACAGUGGACUCCCUGUAUUUGUGACGGAUUUGGCAUACCCUGAGGGUCAAGGUUUUCAAAAAAAAAAAAAAAAUUGGGCACUUCCGCAUUGGGUUCUUAACUCAAAAAGGGACCCCGGGGCGUGACAUUAGUAUAGACGGCACAUUUUUAUAUCGAAAAUAUAAACGCACAAU